This 99629-nucleotide long non-coding RNA is filed under the name Triticum aestivum (bread wheat). Its description in RNAcentral is "long non-coding RNA (TAES_LNC021979)". The stretch from base 6666 to 6738 matches the Rfam family "tRNA". The record is from RNAcentral. Lineage: Eukaryota; Viridiplantae; Streptophyta; Magnoliopsida; Poales; Poaceae.
UUUUUAUUUUUUGUCUCUAAUCUAAAUUUUGUACAUAUGUUUAGUUUGCAUCAAUUUCAGCAAUAAAAAUCAGUAAACUGCCUACUUAAUGGACAAAGAAGAAUGCUCAAUUUGCCUGAAAUUCAGCAAAAAAAAUUAGUAAACUGGCUAAUGAGUGGAUAGAUAAGCAUGUUCAGUUUGCACCAAAUUAUUGAAUGAACCACUUAUGUCUGGUACAUUUGAAAUGAGACACUCAAUGAACUACAUUUGAGCUCUAUAGUUUCAAACACUCAGAUUUAAGUUUCUGCCAAAAAAUCACUGAAAUACAAGAGCAACAGCACUGCUUCAUUUGAACUCAUCAAACAUGUUGACUCUUUUCUUCUUGGGCACAUGUCCACUUGGCCCUCCUUCUUGCUUCUUCUCUUCAGCUCUUCUUCUCUUGGCCUCUUCUUGAUGUUUCUUCUUUGCUUCUUGAUAUUCUUUUUUCUUCAGUGCUGCAAUAGCUCUCUUUGCUUCUUGCUCUUCUCUUCUCUUCAUUGUUGCCUCUGCCUUAGCUGUAAUUGCUUCAAUUGCCCUGGCCUCCUUCUCUUCUUAUAAUGCAGCUUUUCUUGCUGGUGAAGCCUUUAGCUUUGCUGCUGUUUCCUCAGCCUUCUUCUCUUUUGCUGCUCUUCUUCUUCUGGCUGCCUUCUCUGCUUUCCUCAUAGCAAUUUCCUGCCUUUUUGCUUCAGCCUCCUUGGCUCUCCUCUCUGCCAUCUCAUUCAUUGCCUCUAGUGCUUCAUCUCUUCUGGCUUCCAUCUGCCUUUCUUUGUCUCUUUUCAUCUUUAGUAACUUCAUGGUUAGGUUGCCACCAUUUGUAGAUGUUGUUGUAUGCGCUGAAGCUUAAGAACAGGAUGCCUGUAAUAUGCGCAGAGUGCCUUCAGUUUCUUCUCUAGGUACACGUCUAGACUGCUGCAUCUUAUGAAGCAUUGUACAUCCAAAGUCUUGCACCUGUACACAACCAAUCAUCACAUGCUACCAUCACUGGUGUAUCAUAUUAAAUACAACCUAAAAGAAAUGGAGAAAAACUAUUAGAAAUUACCUAAAAGGCAACUGGUGUAUCAUAUUCAUCCUCGUGUUGCUGCACUAGGCAAUCAUUCUGUGUGGCAUUGACAUCCUCCUGUGUAAGUUGGCCAUCAUCUUGUGUGGCAUUGACAUCCUCCUGUGUAAGUUGGCCAUCAGCUUGUGUGACAUUGACCUCCUGCUGUGUGACCUGCCCACCAUCUUGUGUGACAUGAACCUCCUACUGUGUGACUUGCCCACCAUCUCGUGUGAUAUGAACAUCGUCCUGUAUGACCUGGCCAUCAUCCUGCUAUGCCAUAACUUGUUCAGCAUCAGACACAUCCUCAGGAAUAGACCUUGGCCCCCUUCUCACUGGUAGUUUUGUCAAAAUGCCAGCUUUUCUAGUAUUAUAUCCUUUGAUGUUGUGGCCUUGUUCAUGGCAGUAUGAACAUGUUAUUGUGCCUCCAUGUCUGGUUAGUACCUUUGUGCCAUCUUUCUUUUCAAUCUCAUAAGGAUGCUUUCUCCUACUCUUGUUUGAAGGCCUCCCUACUUUCUUUUCAUAGAUAGGUGGCUUGAUUUCACGACCAUUCAUAUUCUACCACUCACUCCUAUCUCUGCAAGGCUUGAUAAUUGGUUUGUAUGAUAGCUUGAAUGCUUCAAUACUGUAUCAUGAGUGCACCAAACUCUCUGGGUCAAUUCUCUCAUGUCUGCAACAUGCAAUUGCAUGGUGGCAUGGAACUCCACUAAGAUCCCACCUUUUGUAUGUGCAACUCUCUUCCUUGAGGCCAACAAUGUAUGUCUUGCUCCUAUUGUCAACCUGGAAAAUGCCAUCACUAGCCCCUGAAACCAUGCAUGUAGCUGCCAUCUCUAUAUUCCUUUCAAUUAUUUUUCUUAUUUUUGGGCAUAUAGAACAAGGCCAGUUCUCUGCCUCUUUUCUUUUGUUGUAGAAUCUGACCAUGAGCUACGUUUUGAUCUUCUCAAUCAUUGAUCUGAGAUGCAUCUCCCUGGUCUCAAGAAUAUAUUUUUUGAAAACCUCACAGUUGUUCAGAAGGAUAUCACACUUGACCAAUUAUAUUUGGAAGCCCCUAACCCAAGUGUUGGGUGGUAGCUAUUCAAGCCAUUUGUAUGCUUCUAAGCUGAUGACCUUCAUUUCCUCCAUGCUUGCAUCCCAUAGUUCUGGUGUUGUGCUCCUUGCACACUUCCAUAACUGGUUCUUAAGACCAUCUCCUUUGUGUGUUUGCUAAAUUUUUGCCAUAUAUGCCCAACACAGUUUUUGUGCUCUGCAUCAGGAAAGUGCUGCCUCACUCCCUUGAUCAGCCCCUUUUGCUUGUCUGAAAUUAUAGUCCAUGGCUCUAUGUUCAGAAUUCCCAAGUCACUCUUCAGAUUUGACAGAAACCAUUUCCAUGUGUCAGUGUUCUCUACCUCAACAACUGCAAAAGCUAGAGGGUAAAUGCAGUCAUUAGGAUCCAUGCCAACAGCACAGAGCAGAACACCUCCAUACUUUGUCUUCAGGUGGCAUCCAUCCAAACAAAUGACAGGCCUACAUGCUGGCAUGAAACCCCUUUUGCAGGCAUCCAGAGAGAAAUAACAACUUCCAAAUAUGCCAUCAUUGACACCUACAUAGAAAGAGCUGCCUGAGUUUGAUAUUCUGAAUUCUCCUGCAUAAUCCCACAUAAUGUAUAUUGCUCUAACUCAUCUCCUUCAAUGACUUUCUUCACUAUUCUCCUGGCCCUUCUAAGUUUGCUCCUUGUUGUUGUCAUGUUCCAGUCCUUCUGAACAACCCUUGCAAAAUUCUUCAUGUUCAUGUUUUCAUCUGUUCUGAAUGAAUCAAGAUAUUUUCCUACCAUGAAGGGAGCAACGAAUGACUUGACACUCCAUUUCUUUAUGCAUGUAUGCUUUGGGUUAUACUUCUUGAUCAUGAAGUAGUUGAUUCUCCCAUUAAAUGAUGCAAACAAAGACCAUGGACACCAAUCUUCACAAAUGGCCUUAAAUCUUUUCCUAUCAUUUCUAGGGCACUUGAUGUCAACCCUUUCAUGACAGCUAUCACUACAAAAAAAUACACUUCCGUGAUGAUAUGUGUUUGUCAUAGUAGGUCACGUUUCCGUCAUGCAUGUACAUCCAUGACUAUUUUAUGACCGAAUCAAGAUAAUCAUACAUGUGAUGUCGUAGAAGUGUUCCAUGACAUUACCAAAAUUAUCAUCAUGGAAGUGUCCACUUCCAUGAUGAUAAAUUGCGCAUCAUGGAAUUGCUUUCAUCAAGGGUGACCGACACGUGGCAUCCACCAUAAUAGGUCGCCAUUAAGCUAUAGGGUCCGGUUUUGGAUCUGAUAACCCAUUAACAGCCCGGACCAAUGGGGAUUUUCCAUGUGUAAAAUUCUCAUUGGCCAGAGGAAACACAUGUUAGCUCACCGUUGGGACAUAUGUCAUCUACUCAUUGGACAGAAGGCGCCUAUGAUACAUCGACACGUGGCACGGCCCAACAGAGGCCCAUUCUGGUGAAAAGGCUGGCCCGUUUGACUUGGUCAAAAGGUAACGGGCCGGCCCACGGAAAGCAUGUUAACGGCCUGUUCGUAUAUAGCCCAUUUACGACCCGCUAACUCCUGGCUCAUUACGACCUAUCGGAAUUAAGCCUAGUAGCUUCAUCUGGGCCGUCCAAUAUGAUUCCAGCCCGUUGUAACUUCCAUCCCAUGUAUGGCCCAUGAUGUCUUUCGGCCCAUAUGUGGCCCUCUGUAACUCUCAGCCCAUUAAAGGCCCGAGAUGAAACUGGCCCAUAAUGAACAGUGUAUCACUUUAUAACCAUUAAUGGCCCAUUAUUCCGUCGGUCAUUUCCAGCCCGUGUUAACUUUCGGCCUUCUAAGGGCCCAUUUAUACUUGGGCUCAUUUCUAGAAUUCGGGUAGUUACGGUCCGUUACUGGCAUGUUCCGUUUGUGGGCCAAAUUCAGCCUGUGGUUACAUUUGGCCCAUUUGUGGCCCGUUAACCCGUUGGGCUAUUUUCAUAGCGUUAUCAAAUACGGCCUAUUAACGGCCCAUUAUGGUCCACGAAUAGUACGACACAUGUUUUGCGAAAUGAUUAUAUGCCCCAUAGAAGGUCACCCAUCGCAUUAUUGCAAAAUCCAAAAAUGCAAUUUUCCAUAUUCCUAGUUACGUAUUUACUGGACUGCAGCCCCGAGAAAACAAGCAGUUCGGAAAAGCAAGUCAGGAAUACGGUGGCGAUGCAGCAACGAUACGCAUUCCCGCAAGGGGUAGUGAAAAGCCAUUAGGGGGAAGAGAUAGGUUUCUUAAGCUAAAUUACUAUACAAUAAGGAGAUUACCAUUAUGAGAUGACACUUGAGAGGGCACUUUAAAGUGAUUGAACCCACUUUCCAUGUUAGUUUAAUCAACAAUAUCACCCUCAAUUCUACCAAUUGUGUGUGACUUGUACUCUUCUAGGCUUCCUCUUUGCCUCAAGUGAUUAAACUCAUCAACUACACCAACCACAUUUCUGAAAAAACCCAAGAGAAGCAAAAGUAACUUUCGAAGGUUUAGUUACGGAAGCCCUACCAAUGGAAUGUUCCGUGUUCGGCUAGAGAAUGACACCAUCAUCCUAGGCUAUAUUUCAGGAAAGAUACGGUCUAGUUCUUUAUGGAUUAUUAAGUUAUAGUAAUAUAAUAACUAGGAAUAUUCUAGUAAUGGAAUUCCAUAUCGUGAAUCAUUUAUUCUUGGCUGCUUCAAGAUAUGAUGGCUAAUUAAAAAAUAUCAACCUUGGGAUAAAGAGUUUACACUGCUUAUGUUUACUUCCACUUUUUUCUUGUAUGUAGGAAAUGAGAUUUUUUUCUUUUUACUACAAAUUUAUAAGAUGUUUCGUUUCACUCAUAUAGCUAUCUAGUUUAACUUACCAACCCAAAUACUAAAUAAGAAAAGGAAUAUAAAUAGUUAAUGGAUUUUAGAGGAAAAAGAUCCAUUUUAACGAAUCACACGUAUUGUUUAUGGGAAGAGGGAAAGAAAGAUCAGGGGAAGAAGCGGGGUAGAGGAAUUGGUCAACUCAUCAGGCUCAUGAACUGAAGACUGCAGGUUGCUACAAAGUAGGAAUUUAAUAAAAAAAUAGAAUAAGGAUAUACAAACAAGAACUAAUCCCAGCGAAAAGGCGAUAAUGGCAUCCCCUUUCCUUAGAUAUAAAAGAAUCAUUCUUAGCGAGUCCAUAAGAAGCGACCCGCUUUUUCAUCGGUUCUGGGGGAAGACCAAAGAUCUUGCCACGAGAGGCGAGGCACCUUAGGUGCAGACUCGUGACCGUGCUCCCAAUCUGGAUCUGGAUAUGAGAUUGAAUAAAGUUAUGAUAUCGGAUCGGAGUAUCAAUGCAUCCGUACUGACUGGAACUACUUGAGCCGCAUAAAGCAAGCAGUUCGAGACUCAACAUGCCCACCUUUUUGGUGUAUCCGUAGCUUUAAAAUACUUAGGUAGCCUAUCUUACCGUUCUUCUAUCCUUCUUCAUCACGGGACAGAAGCAUAACGCUGAUCUAUGGACGAAGGAAGGUAUCAGAAAAUUCAUUAUGACCUAGACCUAAACCAGGCUGAUAUUGAACAGAGAAGGAGUUCUUGUUACUACUUCUCGCCGGCACCAAAAGAAGUUUCACCUAAUUCGGACCUUUUGUAGUGGUCUGCCGAGGACAACACCUAAAAACAACCCUUGUGCCAUGGAAUAUUCCCUUUUACGAUUGGAGAACCUGGCUUUGAUGACAUUCCUGAGGAAGGUAUUUCCCCUACUAGGCUCGUUGCUUCGCUUAUUAAAGAUCAAAGAAGCGAAUGCCUCUCAUAAUUGAUUGAAAAGUGCUCGCCUCUAGUUCCGACAGAUGCCUGCCAUGUACCAUCCGUGGAGGAAGUACUGGGUUAUUGGAAGUAUAGGAUUAUUUCUCAAGUGUCACCAAGGAUACACCCCACUUACUAAAUAGGCAUGUGGAUGCGGCAUCUGGCUCUAUGCGAUGAAAGCAAUGGGAAAUGAGAUUCUGGGUUUGAUUACUGGUACAAACAAGUUCAAAGCUAGCGAGAGCAUAAAGAACGGUAGAUUCCAACUAGGGAGAGAGCAUAAAGAAUGGUAGAUUCCAACUAGGGCUUUGGCUGAGCGGCCACCUUCUUCCAGUAUUCUUAGCUUAAUGUCUGCUUCCUGCCUGAUCGGUGCUGACUGACUGUUCUUGCUUGUCUUGGGCCUGCUCUAGUUUUGGUGAUGCUAACUAAGGGUCGAAUUUCGUGACUUGAUGAAGAGGAAGCCGAGUAUCUUUGGUCUUGAAGAGUCAGGCCAAUCCAACCGCUUGCUCCUGCCCAACUCAGUCUCAGUCGUACCAUAAUGCGCCUGGACUCAACACUUGUCUUGCUCCAAGACCACCCUCUAGCCCUCAUGUAAAAUAGAUGACAGAAUUGUAAACAAUCAUAGAAUGAUUUAAGCUGAGGAACAUAGAGGUCUCUCCCACAGUUUUUGCCAUAUACCUCUGGAAUAGUGUUGAAAUCACACGCCACUAAGCAGUUUUUUAAACCAAGUGGUUUAUCUUAGUGUGCUAGCCGUUGCUUCAUUUCGUAUAGCGAUAGCGCUUUCUCUUUCAUAGCGCUCCACCCCACAGAGAACUCUGGUUGCGCUUUGGUUGGCUUUCUCUUUUUUUUUCUCUGACUUGACUCAUCUUGACCUACUUGACUCAGCGGUUAGAGUAUCGCUUUCAUACAGCGAGAGUCAUUGGUUCAAAUCCAAUAGUAGGUAAAGUCGGCCGAUACCCCCGCUUUUGCCAGCAUGACAGCAAGCACAGACUGGCAUCAAGGAGUAGAAUGACCAAAGCAUCGGUUGCUUCCACUUGUUUGUUGCCUUCUUCGACUGACAGACAAGGUGCCCCCCCUCUUUUUCUCUUGUGAACCUACGUUGAGCUUGGGACAACCCGCGACUGGCAUAGGAUAUUUCAAAAGCCCUUCAUCAGUGGUUGUGAAUGACUGACUUUUUCAAUCCUUUCGACCUUGGUUCCGUAGGAGCAAGUCAGAAAGGUUGAGAAAUAGAACCAUCUGAUUUGAUUCGUUCCCAAUAGCCAAGAUGAUCAUCUUAGGGUGAUCCUUUUGUCAACGGAUGCUCCUAUUACACGCAUAGUCUCUGAAGGAUGAGAACCCACUAUGUAGCAUCUACAUCGAAAAUUUGAGCAUUAUAUACGUCAUAGUCCGAUUCUUUGUAGGAACUACCCGUAAUAACGAACUUGCAACAGAGAGCUAGAUUAGGGAUCAGAUGUGCACCUUUCACUAGAUUAAGGUACAAAAUUCCUUACUAGGUUUGGUAAGUAUGUUAUGAAGUUGAGAAGUCAUCCAACUUCUCAGUAGUGCAAUGGAUUAAGGUAAAUGUGCUAGCUUUCCUCCUGCUGGUUGAUGCAAACGGACCUAUCCCAUAUCUCAAAAUGGCCCCAUACACUCCAAUGGGAAGUAGAGAAAAGGGGAAGUGCAGAAAAGAAGGAUCCCCAAAUCGGAGGGUAUAUAAACUUUGUUUGAUUAAGGGAAUUAGAUAAUAAAGAGCAGAACCGGAUGGUACACAACUUGGUUUUGGAAGAUAUGGCACCAAAAGUUGUAGAGCUGGUCGUCUUUCAUAUCGAGCCAAAUAGUAAAUGCUCCCGCGGUUGGAGUUGAGACUUUCUUAUCCCUCUUGUUAUGAUGGAUCGAGCAUAUGAUUCUUUUCUUGAUUGUUAGCGAAUCGUGUGCUCUGUGUAAAUGUCUUUAUUAGUCUAUUUCAUUUAAGCCCAAAGGAUCUUUGAAUACCGACUGGUCGUCCCAAUCCAAUCUCCCUUCUGCUUAUUCCAAUUUUUCCUAUUCCUAGCGAAUCAAAUGAGAUUUCUGUUGUUCCAUCAAGAGGAGAUAGUUAUCGAUAAAGCAAAAAUGAACCCAUUGACAUAGAAUGCAAUCGAAAUAGAGACAACUAGGAAAAGACCGAAAUAAGAAACUUCGACUCCCUAGGUGGUUAUUUGCCGCAUAAGACAGCGGUAGAAGCUGAAGGAAAGAGUGGGCUUUGAAUCUAGGUAUGCUUUCUAAGGAUUGCGUCCUCGAUCGUUCCCUCAAGUGAUCGGUCUCUCCUUGUCAACCUUGUUCUGAGUUGGGCGCCUAUGCCAAUCCCAUUUCCGAAAACUUGGAUCUAAAAUCCAGAUCAGAAAAAGCAUAUCACGAUCAGUGGCACAGGGCACUAGUUGGUUUGAGCUAAACUCAAGCCGCCCGAAAGGGCAUGCCUGAAGGACCGUUGGCUCCAUACCGGAAAGCGGAAAAGGUCUGCAAAAGUGAUAAUGCAACACCGCGCUCGGGGGUGGAGGGAGACCGAAGAAGAAACAAUUGUCUUGAAUGCUAUGCUAGGAUCAGCAGCUUCCAGUGUUUUCAAAAUGAGUCGGGCAGGAAGAGGAAGAUCGGGCGGGGAAAACGGGGUUCGAACCCGCGACUUCUGGCGCGAACUCAAUCGUCCGUUCGACUGAAUCACUCGUUUAUGGCUCUGAUUCCAAGUCAGGGUUUAAAACAGCAGUGACCCAGCUAGUUGAAAAGUUUUUACUUGGAACACCAGACAUGAGAGCCAGCUACAGAGAUAGCUAAUGAUAUCAAAGUUGACGAAACAAGAGAGUUUCAUUCAAUUCUUUUCAGAGUGUACGCCUAUGAUCAAGAGUUCCUUAUGUAAAUGAUCUUUCCCUUCUCAUAUUCUAUUCGAGAGUUGAACGAAGCGAAUGGAAAAGCCAAAGAAAACAUAAAUCCAUUGCGGGGACUCCCGCUUGUGAUCUUCUUCCUUGGGUCGGAGAAAAUAGAACUUACCAAUUGGAAAUGGAAAUGCAGAAGCUGUCACAAUCAUUAAUAGGAAUAUGAAAACUCCGCCGAGUAUUCCAUUCAUUUUCAUCAUAAUACUAUGCUUCCUUGCCCGUGUGGAACAUGUGUGAGCAUUAUGUUUUUCCAACAAGUGAUCCGGUUAAGUGGCACAUUGUGCUAAGUGCUCGAACCGUUGGCUGAUCGCGCAUGGUGGAUUCACAAUCCACUGCCUUGAUCCACUUGGCUACAUCCGCCCCUUAUCCAGCUAAAGGAUUUUUUUUCUUUUUUCCAUUGAUCAUUAUUCUAUUUAUUCUGACCUCCGUACUUCAAUCGAGAUAUUGGACAUAGAAUGCUGCUUGAGAACAUCAAAGGAUUGCUUUGGCUUGUCCACACAAAUGGUACUCCUUUCUUUAACAGCUCACCUUUUGCCUGCUUCUGCUUCAUCUGUAGAUCGGAUUCCUUCCCCAGAGUUCUUACUUAUAGGCUUUAUAACCAAGCAAUAGAAUAGCUGCUUCUUCUAAAGCGGAUUAGAGAGCGACGACCAAAGCUACGGAGCGGCCUCUACCGCUUUCCCUACUGUUCUGGUUGAACUAGGGCUUUGGCUGAGCGACCACCUUCUUCCAGUAUUCUUAGCUUACUGUCUGCUUCCUGCCUGAUCGGUGCUGACUGACGGUUCUUGCUUGUCUUGGGCCUGCUCUAGUUUUGGUGCUGCUAACUAGGAUCCUACGACCCGUAGAAGACCAAUGGAUCCUACGGCUGGUAGAAGGCCCAUGGAUCAUAUGGCUCAUAGAAAGUCCAUGGAUCCUAUGGAUCGUAGAAGGCCCAUGAAUCCUACAACCCGUAGAAGGCCCACAGAUCCUACAGCCCACAGGAGGCCCAUGGUUACAAUAGUCCGUGUGUUGCCAUGAUUAUUGUGGCCUAGUUACCAAAAAUAGUUAUUGUGGCCACUAGAAAAACGCGGAAAAAGAACUGUAGUGACUACAAGCAAACAACUAAACAAGACAAUGAGGAAAUAAAUAAGCAAGCAACUAAUGCUAGCCCAUUGGGCAUCAAAGUUCGCCACCAAUGCAAAUAUAGGGAACAAAGCAGCAUAUUGCCUACAUUGGCUGUCAAAAUUGGCCACUAGUGCAAAUAAACGAGGCAGCAAAACAAGUCCAUAACUGAAACAACUUCAGAAAUGUUAUCCUAGGUAUCCACCAUGCUGGCAAUAAGCUUAGCAAGCUUAUUAGCUUUGUCCUGUUUGGCGCUAAAGUCCUCCAAUGCUUGCUGUUGCACCAGAAAAGUAUGCAUCUGAAUGCUCCAGGGACUUCCGUGGUCCUUCGCUUCUUGUUGUAGCACAACUGAUUGAUGUCUUUCAGCUUGUAGAUGAGACUCAAGAAACCGAACUGAUUCAGACAGUGAGUUUGAAUAGCUUGUGCAAGCAGUAGUGGCGAGUAACUCGAACACUAAACCAAGACAGGACUUUGGGGUUGUCUCACUGCCUUCAAGAUAGUCUUCCUUAGCUAUUUUAUUAGCUUUGUUGGAGACCAACAAGGAUGUCUCACUAACCUGAACCUUAUCUUCAUUACUUCCUUUACCAUUGCUUAAUAAGGCACUCUUCCCCAAUGUUAUGUUAGCAUUCUAAAAGAAGACACAAGCAGACACAUAACAGGUUUAGCAUGUACUAGUAUAUGAAACUCAUUUCGGUGAACCAGUUCAUUAGUAAGGUGGACAGGAUUAAACUACCAAGUCUUCUAUUGCCAAGUACUAGUACAUAAUAAAAUCAUCAAACAAACAUAAAUCUAUGUCCUAUGGUCACUGCAUUGUGUCUUGCCAAAUCAAAAUAGAGACACGGUUCAAAUCAUAUCAGUUCAAGACCAAGCAGCAACGAAAGAAUACAAAGCGUGGGAAACUACACUGCACAAAAAGAUUUUAGAUGGGUACCACGGGUCUACAUGUACAACAACACUAUUGGCUCUGUUGUGAUGCUAGUAACGUGCAUGAUAUGAGAAGUCAACUGUAUACACAAUUGAAACUGAAAUCAAUAAAGCUAUUGAUAGGAGCAAACAUGUUAAAGAAACAUGCGUGAACAUACCUGUUGUGCCAUUGGAGUUUCGAUUGGAUCCUUCAAUUUUAAAUAAGUUUGUAUGAGUAAAUACAGUGAUACAAGAGCAAAGCAGUAUGCACGAUAGCAAUGGAAUCUUAAAUUAGAAUAGUUGUUCUUUAGGUUUAAGCACUUGUUCUACAUGAACAGAGUACAGUAAGACAUAAGAAUAUAGUAGUUAAAAAUAGAAAAUGAGCUCAUAGACCUUACCACAUUCUUGGUUCCAGACCAGUACAGAACAAGGCAUUCCCAGUCAUCGUCCAGUAAAUGUGUCUCAGGAGAACGCAAGGGAAUUUGAUGAGUUCCUUUGCCGGUGAAGUACAUUUUCUUCAGGUAAUUCCGAUAUAGCCACCAAGCAUUCUUGAAGAUAGCAGAGGUAUUAGCACAGGUUACCUCAUCCUGAGUUUCCAAAUCGGUCCUUCUCUAUAGAGAAAAAUGGGGAAAUUUGUUGUAUUAUAACCAUCAUGGAGGUAGGAUGUAUGGGACAAAGCAAAGUAAUUGCCAUGAAUAACAUUACUUACACAUAACUCCUCGACAAACACCUGCAAGUGGCAUUUUCCUUCAUCUUCAGUAUAAUAUUUCCAAGAUGGGAAGAUACGCACAUAGGAUUUGACAACAUCAAAUGCGAUAGAUGCUAAACUACGACUGGCUGGUUAUGCUUCCUCCACGGGAAUAGGCGUACUAACUAGUGGAGUUGGGGUUCGUCGUGGUAGUACUGGCCCUUCGGGAACUAGAGAUGCAUUACUAACUCCUCUUGUUUGGGAGCUCUGUGGUGGAGAUGGUGUUGUGUUAACAGGAACUGGGUUACUAUCUGCUGGGGUUGGGGUUAGAUUGGGUGAAGCUGGUUCUCUGUCCAUCGCAGUAGGGGAACAAUCUGCAAGAGUCUGGGUUAUGUGUGGUAGGGCUGGUUCUCGUGCAUGUACAACCGGGGUGCUAUCUCCACCAAGAGGUAGCAAUGUUUUAUUUGAAGACCGUGUUUUUACUCUGCCAGAUACUGGCAUCACCAGCUCCAAUUCAAAUGGCUGAUAAACAGGAAACAUAGUUGAAUGUACAGACAUUGUAUGAGAGACAAAUGCAAUAGAUAGUGUGGAAAAAAGAGGGCAUGAAAUAGUUGACAUGUAUAUUGUUUAAGUAAAAUGGAUAGCAUGACAUAAUUUCACAUAUAUGAUGUCUAUCUAAACUGGAUAGCAUAGCAUAACAUAAUUCAAAGAUAUGAUGAAUAACUAAACAGGAUCACAUGACAUAAUUCACAUACAUGUUAUCUAAGUAAUCAAGAUCGCAUGAUUUAAUUCACAUAUGUAAUUUAUAUGCUAAACAGAUGGCAUUCGAUAUGAUGUCUGAACUAAGAACAUGGUGUUGAAUAUUGUGUAUAUGAUGUCUAAACUAUGCAGCGCAAGACACCAUAUGCAUGAUAUGAGCAGUAUAACCGUGCCAAGUUAGAGCAUACACCUCGAUGGGGGAAUAGGACUGGUCAUCUAUCUCUGAAUCCAUCUCUGAGGAGCUAUCGGGACCCAACAAGAGAUCUGCUUCGACAGGCAGUACUGUCUGCUCUGAAGGCCUUGUUUUCACUCCAGAUUUUUCCAUCUCCCACCCAAAUGGAUGAUUCACAAGAAGAGUAGUUUAAUGUACAAACAUUGUCGACAAUGGAGCUGUAAUGAAGAAAAGGAUGGGCAAUAUAUCAUUCAAAUAUAUGAUGCCUGGUUAAACAGGAUGGCAUUGCACAUUUCACAUAUAUUAUGGCUGGCUAAAAGACAUGAGACUGCAUAAUUCCCAUAUAUGAUAUAGAAACUAAACAGGUGGCAUUAUAGAACAUGUCUAAAAUAAGUAGAUGACAUAUAUGAUGUCAAAAGUAGGCACUGCAAGGCAACAUAUGCAUGAUAUGACUAACAUCAUCAUGCCAAGGUAGAGCAAACACCUUGGGGGGUAAAUAGGAGUGGUCAGCUGCAUUUGAAUCCGCCUCAGAACAGAUAUCUUCCUCUGGAUUACAAUCUAGAGAGGCGGGAGGGUUUUCCAUUGAACCCACCAUGGAGAGAUGCCUGCAUGGCAUUGUAUUGCCGCACAAAACUCUUCUCUUUUUCUCUACAUGUCCAGCAUGACUGUGUACAAUAUCUGACAUGCAUACAAAAAAUAUGGUGAGAUUAUGUAAGGAGAGCAUGCAAAAAUUUAGAGUGAUGGUAACAACCAGUGGAUGGAUCCAAAAAUAGUGAUAAAAGGCUGAUGAUUGCUUUAGUUUAAUAAAAAGACAGAUGAUGAUUGCUUUACUAUUUGUUUCCCACCCAAGAUGAACAACAUAGGCAUACCAUAGGUGAACCAGAUAUUAGACAAAGAUACUAUUCAUUGCAGCCUCGAUAUGUGACGCACAACUAAUUUAGAACUCAAGUUUGAACAUUAGUUUGGACUUGACUUGGAGUCUAAGAGGCGAACAAGACGAUAAAGUAGCAGGUAAUUUUAAGCAAUGCAUAACAUAAGCAAAAACAACAGAGUGCGGCCUCUCUUGUGGACCUGUGUACUCCUUAGGUUCAUCUGCUGAGUCGAUGAUGGUGAUGCCGUUGUGGUGGGUGCCGGCGGCAGGGAAGGAGAUCUAAGGUGGCGAAAGACAGUCGGGAGUCAUGAUGUCUGGUUUGGUGGAUGCUUCUGUCGAUGAAGCAGCUCAGGUGAGGUGGACGACGUCGCGGCAGGAGCAGGACAAAACACACAAAGUUCCCUUCGACACCUACCUGUAACUGAAGUAAUUCCAUAAGGGCUCAUUUGGCUUGCAUGAUUCUAAAAACGCAUGUCGGUGUACCAAAGUAGGGGCGCUCUUUUGUACCCCUUAUUUAUGCAUGAGCAGUCAGAGCCACGCCCACGACCACACUUGAGCAGGACAGAGACAGAAAAUCAAAGCCACGGGACGGCUGAAGCAACGCCAAGACAGAAGCAUAAAGAGCAAGAAGGCGAAGUGGUUUCCCCCAGCAAGGCCGUUGCCGGGGCAGCCCCCACGGCCCCGGCAAGGCCCUUGCUGGGGCAGCCUACCUGACGCCAGCAGGGCGCGCCACCCUUGAGCCCCAGUUCCUCCAGUGCUGCUAACUGCGUUGGGGCACGGGCUCGGGGGGCGCCCCCAUGGUGGCAUGCAGAUCUUUGUGAAGACACGGAACACUUUGAAUCAGAAGAGUAAGAGAUGACGAGCCUCGGCGAGACCCUUACCGAGGAAACCUACAAGACCCCCGGCAAGAUCCUUGUCAGGGACGACCACAACACCGUGACAAGACCGUUGUGUUGGGGAACAUAGCACAAAUUCAAAAUUUUCUAUGAAACACCAAGAUCAAUCUAUGGAGAUUCUAGCAACAAGAGAGGGAGAGGAUGAGCAUCUUCAUACCUUUGAAUAUUGCUAAGCGGAAGUGUUACAAGAACGCGGUUGAUGGAAUCGUACUCGCGGCGAUUCAAAUCACGGAAGAUCCGAUCUAGCACCGAACGGACGGCGCCUCCACAUUCAACACACGUACAACCCGGGGACGUCUCCUCCUUCUUGAUCCAGCAAGGGGAUAGGAUAAGUUGAGGGAGAACUCCAACAGCACGACGGCAUGGUGGUGGUGGAGCUCGUGGUAUUCCUGCAGGGCUUCGCCAAGCACUACGGAGGAGGAGAAAGAGUUGGAGGAGGGAGGGGCUGCGCCAAAAGCAAGGGUGUUGCAGCCCUCCCACCCACCCUCUAUUUAUAGGGUGAAGUGGAGAGGGGGCCGGCCCCUCUAGAUCCCAUCUAGAGGGGGGGCGGUGGCCAGGAGGGGCAGACUUGCCCCCCAAGCAAGGUGGAGGCGCCCCCCUCCCCUAGGGUUUCCAAACCCUAGGCGCCUUGGGCCCUUGGGGGGCGCACCAGACCACUAGGGGGCUGGUUCCCUCCCAUAUUCAGCCCAUUAAGUACCCCGGGGCAGGUGGCCCCACCCGGUGGACCCCCGGAGACCUUUUGGUGGAACCGGUACAAUACCAAUAACCCCCGAAACCAUUUCGGCGACUGAAACUGGACUUCCCAUAUAUAAAUCUUCACCUCCGGACCAUUCCGGAACUCCUCGUGACGUCCGGGAUCUCAUCCGGGACUCCGAACAACCUUCGGUAACCUAAUACUAUUUCCCAUAACAACUCUAGCGUCACUGGACCUUAAGUGUGUAGACCCUACGGGUUCAGGAACCAUGCAGACAUGACCGAGACACCUCUCUGGUCAAUAACCAAUAGCGGGAUCUAGAUACCCAUAUUGGCUCCCACAUGUUCCACGAUGAUCUCAUCGUAUGAACCACUAUGUCGGGGAUUCAAACAAUCCCGUAUACAAUUCCCCUUGUCAAUCGGUAUGUUACUUGCUCGAGAUUCGAUCGUCGGUAUCCCAUUACCUCGUUCAAUCUCGUUACCGGCAAGUCACUUUACUCAUUCCGUAAUGCAUGAUCCCGUGACUAACUACUUAGUCACAUUGAGCUCAUUAUGAUGAUGCAUUACCGAGUGGGCCCAGAGAUACCUCUCCGUCAUACGGAGUGACAAAUCCCAAUCUCGAUUCGUGCCAACCCAACAGACACUUUUGGAUAUACCUGUAGUGCACCUUUAUAGCCACCCAGUUACGUUGUGACGUUUGGUACACCCAAAGCACUCCUACGGUAUCCGGGAGUCACACAAUCUCAUGGUCUAAGGAAAUGAUACUUGACAUUAGAAAAGCUCUUAGCAAACGAACUACACGAUCUUGUGCUAUGCUUAGGAUUGGGUCUUGUCCAUCACAUCAUUCUCCUAAUGAUGUGAUCCCGUUAUCAAUGACAUCCAAUGUCCAUGGUCAGGAAACCAUAACCAUCUAUUGAUCAACGAGCUAGUCAACUAGAGGCUCACUAGGGACAUGUUGUGGUCUAUGUAUUCACACAUGUAUUACGGUUUCCAGUUAAUACAAUUAUAGCAUGAACAAUAGACAAUUAUCAUGAACAAGGAAAUACAAUAAUAACCAUUUUAUUAUUGCCUCUAGGGCAUAUUUCCAACAGUCUCCCAUUUGCACUAGAGUCAAUAAUCUAGUUCACAUCACUAUGUGAUUGUAAUGAAUCCAACACCCAUGGGGUUUGAUCAUAUCUCGCUUGUGAGAGAGGUUAUUAGUCAAUGGGUCUGAACCUUUCAGAUCUGUGUGUGCUUUACAAAUCUCUAUGUCAUCUUGUAGAUGCAGCUACCACGCGCUAUUUGGAGCUAUUCCAAAUAACUAUUCUACUAUAUGAAUCCGGUUUACUACUCAUAGUCAUCCAGAUUAGUAUCAAAGUUUGCAUCGACAUAACCCUUUACGACGAACUCUUUUACCACCUCCAUAAUCGAGAAAAUUCCUUAGUCCACUAGUUACUAAGGAUAACUUUGGCCGCUGUCCUGUGAUCCAUUCCUGGAUCACUCUUGUACCCCUUGACUGACUCAUUAAAGGCACACUUUAGGUGCGGUACAUAGCAUAGCAUAUUGUAGAGCCUACGUCUAAAGCAUAGGGGACGACGUUCGUCCUUUCUCUCUCUUCUGCCAUGGUCAGGUCUUGAGUCUUACUCAAUACUCACACCUUAUAACACAGCCAAGAACUCCUUCUUUGCUGAUCUAUUUUGAACUCCUUCAAAAUCUUGUCAUGGUAUGUAUUCAUUUGAAAGUACUAGUAAGCGUUUUUGAUCUAUCCUUAUAGAUCUUGAUGCUCAAUGUUCAAGUAGCUUAAUCCAGGGUUUCCAUUGAAAAACACUUUUCAAAUAACCCUAUAUGCUUUCCAGAAAUUCUACAUCAUUUCCGAUCAAUAAUAUGUCAACAACAUAUACUCAUCAGAAAUGCUAUAGUGCUCCCACUCACUUCUUUGGAAAUACAAGUUUCUCAUAAACUUUGUAUAAACCCAAAAUCUUUGAUCAUCUCAUCAAAGUGUAUAUUCCAACUCCGAGAUGCUUACUCCAGUCCUUAGAAGGAUUGCUGGAGCUUUGCAUACUUGUUAGCAUCUUUCAGGAUUGACAAAACCUUCUGGUUGUAUCACAUACAACCUUUCCUCAAGAAUAUCGUCGAGGAAACAAUGUUUUUUGACAUCCUAUCUGCAAGAUUUCAUAAAUCAUGCAGUAAUUGCUAAUAUAACUCCAACAGACUCUUGGCAUCGCUACGAGUGAGAAAGUCUCAUCGUAGUCAACUCCUUGAACUUGUCGGAAAACAUAUUAGCGACAAGUCGAGCUUUCGUAAUGGUGACACUUACCAUCAUUGUCUGUCUUCCCUUUUAAAAUCCAUCUGUACCCAACAGCCUUACGACCAUCAAGUAGUUCUUCCAAAGUCUACACUUUGUUUUAUACAUGGAUCCUCUCUCGGAUUUUAUGGCCUUGAGCCAUUUGUCGGAAUCCGGGCCCACCAUCGCUUCUUCACAGCUCGUAGGUUCAUUGUUGUCUAGCAACAUGACCUCCAAGACAGGACUACCGUACCACUCUGAAGCAGUACGCGUCCUUGUCGACCUACGAGGUUUGGUAGUGACUUGAUCCGAAGUUUUAUGAUCACUAUCAUCAGCUUCCACUUCAACUGGUGUAGGCGCCACAGGAACAACUUCCUGUGCCAUGCUACACACUGGUUGAAGUGACGGUUCAAUAACCUCAUCAAGUCUCCACCAUCCUCCCACUCUAUUCUUUCGAGAGAAACUUUUCCUCGAGAAAGGACCCGUUUCUAGAAACAAUUACUUUUGCUUCCGGGUCUGAAUUAGGAGGUAUACCCAACUGUUUUGGGUGUCCUAUGAAGAUGCAUUUAUCCGCUUUGGGUUCGAGCUUAUCAGCAUGAAACUUUUUUCACAUAAGCCUCGCAGCCCUAAACUUUUAAGAAACGACAACUUAGGUUUCUCUAAACCAUAGUUCAUAUGUUGUCAUCUCAACGGAAUUACUUGGUGCCCUAUUUAAAGUGAAUGCGGUUGUCUCUAAUGCCUAACCCAUAAAUGAUAGUAGUAAUUCGAUAAGAGACAUCAUGGUAUGCACCAUAUCCAAUAGGGUGCAUUUAUGAUGUUCGGACACACCAUCACACUAUGGUGUUCCAGGCGGUAUUAGUUGUGAAACAAUUUCCACAAUGUCCUAAUUGUGCACCAAACACGUAACUCAGAUAUUUAUCUCUAUGAUCAUAUCAUAGACAUUUUAUCCUCUUGUCACGACGAUCUUCAACUUCACUCUGAAAUUACUUGAACCUUUCAAUAAUUCAGACUUGUGUUUCAUCAAGUAAAUAUACUUAGCAUCUACUCAAAUCAUGUGUGAAGUAAGAACAUAAUGAUAUCCACUGCGUGCCUCGUCACUCAUUGGACAACACACAUCAAAAUGUAUUACUUCCAGUAAGUUGCUCUCUUGUUCCAUCUUAUUGAAAAUGAGGCUUUUCAGUCAUCUUGCCCAUGUGGUUUGAUUUGCAUGUCUCAAGUGAUUUAGAAUCAAGUGAGUCCAAAUGAUCCAUCUGCAUGGAGUUUCUUCAUGCGCACAUACCAAUAGACAUGGUUCGCAUGUCUCAAACUUUUCAAAAACGAGUGAGUCCAAAGAUCCAUCAACAUGGAGCUUCUUCAUGCGUUUAAUACCAAUAUGACUCAAAUGGCAGUGCCACAAGCAGGUGGUACUAUCAUUACUAUCUUAUAUCUUUUGGCAUAAACAUGUGUAUCACUACGAUCGAGAUUCAAUAAACCAUUCAUUUUAGGUGCAAGACCAUUGAAGGUAUUAUUCAAAUAAAUAGAGUAACCAUUAUUCUCCUUAAAUGAAUAAUCGUAUUGCGAUAAACACAAUCCAAUCAUGUCUAUGCUCAACGCGAACACCAAAUAACAAUUAUUUAGGUUUAACACCAAUCUCGAUGGUAGAGGGAGCAUGCGAUGCUUGAUUACAUCAACCUUGGAAAUGCUUCCAACACACAUCGUCAUCUCAUCUUUAGCUAGUCUCCGUUUAUUCCGUAGCUCUUUUAUUUCGAGUUACUAACACUUAGCAACCGAACUAGUAUCUUAAUACCCUGGUGCUACUAGGAGUACAAGUAAAGUACACAUUUAAUAUAAUGUAUAUCCAAUAUACUUCUGUCAACCUUGCCAGCCUUCUCAUCUAUCAAGUUUCUAGGGUAGUUCUGCUUCAGUGACUGUUCCCUCAUUAUAGAAGCACUUAGUCUCGGGUUUGGUUCAACCUUGGGUUUCUUUACUAGAGCAGCAACUGAUUUGCCAUUUCAUGAAGUAUCCCUUCUUGCCCUUGCCCUUCUUGAAACUAGUGGUUUUACCAACCAUCAACAAUUGAUGCUCCUUCUCGAUUUCUACUUUCACGGUGUCAAACGUCGCGAAUUGCUCAAGGAUCAUCAUGUCUAUCCCUGAUAUGUUAUAGUUCAUCACGAAGCUCUAAUAGCUUGGUGGCAGUGACUAUGGAGAACCAUCACUAUAUCAUCUGGAAGAUUAACUCUCACUCGAUUCAAGUGAUUGUAGUACUCAGAUAAUCUGAGCACAUGCUCAAUGAUUGAGCUUUUCUCCCUUAAUUUGUAGGUUAAGAAACUUGUUGGAGGUCUCAUACCUCUUGACGUGGGCACGAGCCUGAAAUCCCAAUUUCAGCUCUUGGAACAUCUCAUAUGUUCUACGACGUUUCAAAAUCGUCUUCGGCACCUCAAUUCUAAAUCGUUUAACAUUACUGAACUAUCACGUAGUCAUCAAAACGUGUAUGUCAGAUGUUCGCAACAUCCACAGACGUCGUUCGAGGUUCAGCACACCGAGUGGUGCAUUAAGGACAUAAGCCUUCUGCGCAGCAAUGAGGACAAUCCUUAGCUUACGGACCCAGUCCGCAUAAUUGCUACUAUUAACUUUCAACUAAAUUUUCUCUAGGAACAUAUCUAAAAUAGUAGAACUAAAGCGCAAGCUAUGACAUAAUUUGCAAAGUCCUUUUGACUAUGUUCAUGAUAAUUAAGUUCAUAUAAUCAAAUUAUUUAAUGAACUCCCACUCAGAUAGACAUCCCUCUAGUCAUCUAAGUGAUACAUGAUCCGAGUCAACUAGGUCGUGUCCGAUCAUCACGUGAGACGGAAUAGUCAUCAUCGGUGAACAUCUCCAUGUUGAUCAUAUCUACUAUACGACUCAUGUUCGACCUUUCGGUCUCUUGUGUUCCGAGGCCAUGUCUGUACAUGCUAGGCUCGUCAAGUCAACCUAAGUGUUUUGCAUGUGUAAAUCUGGCUUACACCCGUUGUAUGCGAAUGUUAGAAUCUAUCACACCCGAUCAUCACGUGAUGCUUCAAAACAACGAACUUUCACAAUGAUGCACAUUUAGGGGGGAACACUUUCUUGAAAUUUUAGUGAGGGAUCAUCUUAUUUAUGCUACCGUCGUUCUAAGCAAAUAAGAUCUAAACAUGAUAAACAUCACAUGCAAAUCAUAAAGUGACAUGAUAUGGCCAUUAUCAUCUUGCACCUUUGAUCUCCAUCUUUGAAGCGCGGCAUGAUCACCUUCGUCACCGGCAUGACACCAUGAUCUCCAUCAUCAUGUCUCCAUGAAGUUGUCUCGCCAACUAUUACUUCUACCACUACAGCUAACGGUUAGCAAUAAAGUAAAGUAAUUACAUGGCGUUGUUCAAUCACACGCAGGUCAUACAAUAAAUUAAGACAACUCAUAUGGCUCCUGCCGGUUGUCAUACUCAUCGACAUGCAAGUCGUGAUUCCUAUUACAAGAACAUGAUCAAUCUCAUACAUCACAUAUCAUUCAUCACAUUCUUUUGGCCAUAUCACAUCACAUAGCAUACCCUGCAAAAACAAGUUAGACGUCCUCUAAUUGUUGUUGCAUGUUUUACGUGGCUGCUAUGGGUUUCUAGCAAGAAUGUUUCUUACCUACGCAAAGCCACAAUGGUGAUAUGCCAAUUGCUAUUUACCCUUCAUAAGGACCCUUUUCAUCGAAUCCGAUCUAACUAAAGUGGGAGAGACUGGCACCCGCUAGCCACCUUAUGCAACAAGUGCAUGUUAGUCGGUGGAACCUGUCUCAUGUAAGCGUACGUGUAAGGUCGGUCCGGGCCGCUUCAUCCCACAAUACUGUCGAAACAAGAUAGGACUAGUAACAGUAAGCAUAUUGAACAAAACCAACACCCACAACUACUUGUGUUCUACUCGUGCAUAGAAUCUACGCAAUAGACCUAGCUCAUGAUGCCACUGUUGGGGAACGUAGCACAAAUUCAAAAUUUUCUAUGCAACACCAACAUCAAUCUAUGGAGAUUCUAGCAACAAGAGAGGGAGAGGAUGAGCAUCUUCAUACCUUUGAAGAUCGCUAAGCAGAAGCGUUACAAGAAUGUGGUUGAUGGAGUCAUACUCGCGGUGAUUCAAAUCGCGGAAGAUCCGAUCUAGUGCCGAAUGGACGGCGCCUCCGUGUUAAACACACGUACAGCCCGGGGACAUCUCCUCCUUCUUGAUCCAGCAAGGGGAGAGGAGAAGUUGAGGGAGAACUCCGACAGCACGACGACAUGGUGGUGGUGGAGCUCGUGGUAUUCCUGCAGGGCUUCGCCAAGCACUACGGAGGAGGAGAAAGAGUUGGAGGAGGGAGGGGAUGCGCCAAAAGCAAGGGUGCUGCAGCCCUCCCACCCCCCUCUAUUUAUAGCAUGAAGGGGAGAGGGGGCCGGCCCCUCUAGACCCCAUCUAGAGGGGGGAGGCGGCCAGGAGGGGGAGACUUGCCCCCCAAGCAAGGUGGAGGCGCCCCCCUCCCCUAGGGUUUCCAAACCCUAGGCGCCUUGGGCCCUUGGGGGGUGCACCAUCCCACUAGGGGGCUGGUUCCCUCCCAUAUUCAGCCCAUUAAGUCCCCCGGGGCAGGUAUCCCCACCCGGUGGACCCCCGGACACCUUUCGGUGGUCCCGGUACAAUACCGAUAACCACCGAAACCAUUCCGACGACUAAAACUGGACUUCCCAUAUAUAAAUCUUCACCUCUGGACCAUUUCGGAACUCCUCGUGACGUCCGGGAUCUCAUCCAGGACUCUGAACAACCUUCGAUAACCUAAUACUAUUUCCCAUAACAACUCUAGCGUCACCGAACCUUAAGUGUGUAGACCCUAUGGGUUCGGGAACCAUGCAGACAUGACUGAUACACCUCUCCGGCCGAUAACCAAUAGCGGGAUCUGGAUACCCAUAUUGGCUCCCACAUGUUCCACGAUGAUCACAUCGUAUGAACCACUAUGUCGGGGAUUCAAUCAAUAUUGUAUACAAUUCCCUUUGUCAAUCGGUAUGUUACUUGCCCGAGAUUCGAUCGUCGGUAUCCCAAUACCUCGUUCAAUCUCGUUACCGGCAAGUCACUUUACUUGUUCUGUAAUGCAUGAUCCCUUGACUAACUACUUAGUCACAUUGAUCUCAUUAUGAUGAUGCAUUACCGAGUGGGCCCAGAGAUAUCUCUCCGUCAUACGGAGUGACAAAUCCCAAUCUCGAUUCGUGCCAACCCAACAAACACUUUCAGAUAUACCUGUAGUGCACCUUUAUAGCCACCCAGUUACGUUGUGACAUUUGGUACACCCAAAGCACUCCUACGGUAUCCUGGAGUCACACAAUCUCAUGGUCUAAGGAAAUGAUACUUGACAUUAGAAAAGCUCUUAGCAAACGAACUACACGAUCUUGUGCUAUGCUUAGGAUUGGGUCUUGUCCAUCACAUCAUUCUCCUAAUGAUGUGAUCCCGUUAUCAAUGACAUCCAAUGUCCAUGGUCAGGAAACCAUAACCAUCUAUUGAUCAACGAGCUAGUCAACUAGAGGCUCACUAGGGACAUGUUGUGGUCUAUGUAUUCACACAUGUAUUACGCUUUCCAGUUAAUACAAUUAUAGCAUGAACAAUAGACAACUAUCAUGAACAAGGAAAUACAAUAAUAACCAUUUUAUUAUUGCCUCCAGGGCAUAUUUCCAACACGUUGUCGGGGCCCCGGCAAGGCCCUGCCGAGGACGUCCGCGAGGCCACGGCCAGGCCCGCACCUGCCAAGCUUCUGCCACCGCUCCCAUGCAGCUGCCAGCCCACUAGCUGGGCAGGCACCUGCGUGUCGAUGCAAGGCUUCCCAGCCAACUCAGCACAUGCCUACGUGGUGGCAUGCAAAUCUUCAUGAAGUCCCUACCAUCAUGCCACCUCAGUAGCCUGCCAGCCUACAUGGCGCUGACUGCCUCGCUGGCCUAGGCGCGUGUCGAGGUAGGGCAAUGCAGCGGUAAAGUGGAGGGGACAGGUCAGGGGCACAUUAAAUGCACUUUAUCCCGUAAUGGCAAGGGAUAGGCUUAAUCACAGUACCCAGACGCCGCCUCUUGUGUGCCACUGUGGCGGUCCCCUUAAAUAUAAAAGGAGGCCCGAGGCAUCCAGGAGAAGGAUUCGGACUUUUGGACAAGUUACGCUCAUUGUAUCUAGUUCAAAAACCUCAAGAACACCAAUACACACAUCCAAGCAGGACUAGGGUGUUACGCAUCUCUGCGGCCCGAACCUGGGUAAACUAUCUGCGUGCUUGAACUGACUGCUGAUCCUGCUCUCCUCACCACCCAGCGCCCCGCAACCGUAGUGGGGAUCCUUGUGAUCCCAUAGGUGUCGUUUCCCACCGACAACACAGGGAUAGGAAAAACACCGGAAUAUGAUAGGAAUGCACAUGGUAAACAGAGCAUUUGUAAACACAGGAUUUUUGUCAACUUGGGUGUUUGGUUCACAGGAAUUGGAAGAGAAGAGGAAUGCAAAUAAACAUGGCCAAAAUAAAGUGAAACCAUAUGAAAGCGUGUACAGUUAGAAUGUUAUUCUGCCAUUAAUGCACUUGGUCUUGUUUUCAUGCAUAGGAUUUUGAAAAGUAGGUCCUGGUGGAUGUUUUACUCCAUUCCUUUCAACAAAAUGCAUGAAUAAUUGAAUAGUAGAGUGCCAUAGGAGAACUUCCUAUUGCUAUGUUUUUACAUUGAACCAAAAUAGCCCUAAUAGAUUGACAUGAAUGUAGAGUAAUAAGUGAUGAAACAAGUGUACAACCUCUUUGUUGUAGCCAUGUCGACGUCAGCAUCAUUGGGUUGGUCGCUGAAGAAGUUGAGGCAGAGGUGGAUGUAGGAGGUGUGGGGGAAGAUCUGAGGAAUCUAUAGAUGACGUCCAGGGCACUGCUCUGUUGUGAUGGAUCGUUCUGUCGUUGGAGCAGCUCCGGUGAGCCAUAAGACGUCAAGGCUAAAGCAGCACAUGACAUACAUCAUUAAUCUCAAGUGGGAUUCUAGUAGCAUCUCCACAGAUGAUGUAAAAUAGAUGUGAAAUUUACAUCACCAAAAACCACCUGACUACAACAGAUGAGAUCAAAAUUGUUGACUCUGAACUUAACUGUCAAAACUGAAAUUUACUAUGGAAUCUGAAUGUUACUGUCGAAACUGAACACAAUGGUAGCAGAGAGGCACUUGACAUGUAGUUUAGGGAGGGCAUGCAGUUCAUCUUCAACCUACACCCUCCUGAGCCACCAGCCAUCACCGACCCCCACACUGCCUCGCCGCCCCGAAACAACUCCCCACCGUCGGUCCGCCGCCGCCACAAGUGUAGGGGAUCUAUCAUAGUUCUUUCGAUAAGUAAGAGUGUCGAACCCAACAAGGAGCAGAAGGAAAUGACAAGCGGUUUUCAGUAAGGUAUUCUCUGCAAGUACUGAAAUUAUCGGUAAUAGAUAGUUUUGUGAUAAGGUAAUUUAUAACAGGUAACAAGAAAUGAAAGUAAAUAAGGUGCAAGAAGGUGGUCCAUUCCUUUUUGUAGCAAAGUACUGUCAGGACCCCGACUCAAUGCCACAUCGAUCUAGCAUGUAACACCUCAUAUCACUUUGCGGCCUCACGCACGGUAUUCCCACGGGUGUCGCCUUACCUUUACCCGGGACCGUUUGCGCCUUUUGGCACACGUAUAUGACAGUGUCGCUAGCAUCUAUAUGAUAAAGAGCCUGGGCUGACAUGGCUAGUCGUAAACCCAAAGUGGCACAGACUUACAGGGACAGGCAUCCAUGACCCAGCAUCGAACGUGUCGGCCAUCAGCGAGUGAAUCCAGGCUGUAGCACUGGGCUAGCAGGACUCCGGUGAACCGGGCUGUAGCGGGCUAACAGGACUCCGGUAUUCAUCGCGUGACAUUUCCCCGAAGGGACAGACACAGGAACGAAGAAGGACACAUGCCGGCCAGCCUAAGUGUUCCGGAGCAGUAGCAAGCUACCAUGGCUCGGUGGAAACACUAGGAGACAUUUCCCCGUAAGAGAGGCUACUAAAGAUAAACAACUAGAUGGUAAGAUCCCACACAUACCAAGCAUUUCAAUAACAUACACACAAUAUGCUCGAUAUGUGCAAAUACAACAUGGCAUCACAACAUGACUCUACGACUCAAGUAAUUUAUUCAAUAGGCUCCGAGGAGUGAGAUAUUACAAACAGGGGUCUCAUGACCCAACAAUCAGAGCAUACAAGUCAAAGCACAAGCGGAAGCUAUCAUGUCUGAGUACAGACAUCUAUAAAUGAAAAGGGCUGAGAAGCCUGACUAUUUAUCAGAUCCUGCCGAGGGCACAAGAUCGUAGCUGAGGUAACAAGCUAAACGUCGAAGUCCAUGCGGAACUACUAGUGAGACUGAAGUCUCUCUGCACAAAACAUAAAAUAGGCAAACGUGAGUACAAAUGUACCCAGCAAGACUUACAUCAGAACUAACUACAUAUGCAUCAUUAUCAACAAAGGGGUGGUGGGGUUUAACUGCAGCAAGCCAGCUUUGACUCGGUGGCUAUCCUAAACUACGACUGCAAGCAACUCUUUUGAGGUGGCGCACACGAGUCCACAUAUUCACCAUAUCAAUACACCACUAUGGAUCCGCUCCCGUCUCCCUACGAGAACGCCAUCCAUAGCACUCACGCUUAUCUUGCGUAUUUUAGAGUAUCCACUUUCACUUGUCUAUGAACUGAUAUAAGCAACCCAGAAGUCCUUUUCCACGGACACGGCUAUUCGAAUAGAUGACGUUAACCCUGCAGGGGUGUACUUCUUCACACACGCUCUCACCACUUACCGCCGUUUACACGACAUGUACUCGGCAACCUUCAAGCGGAAGCCCAACAUGGGUGUCGGCCACGGCCUGCCUAAACACUCGAGUCUCUAGUCCAGGUUUAUCGCCUAUUCGGGUUCCAUCCAUGAGGAGAUCCGGCCGGAGUUUUGCUCACAGCCCCAAACGAUGUGAACAGGGUUCCCGAGACACCAAACGGGCACCCGGUACACCGUGCCACGUGCCUACCGCAUCACAGCCCACCCCUACGGUCAGCGCUGCCCACGGCCUCCAGCAUACUACAAACACCAUAAACUACUUGCAACUCCUGGACAGAGGACAAGGGUGAUUAAGAAGCCGAGAGGGUCCAUUGGUUUCGGGCCCAAUGCGUGGUAGUAGCUGAAUCAUGGAUCACAAACACAGAACUCAGUUCCUAAGGACGGCUUCAAUGAGACAACCCACCAUGUACUCCUACAUGGCCUCUCACCGCUACCUUUACCAAAUCGUGUUCACACACUUAGCUCACACACAGUAGGACAUGUUCACACGCCUCUGAUUCAUCCCCGAUGAAUCAGACCUGACUCAACUCUAAGCAGUAGCAGGCAUGACAAACAAGCAUGAAUGAGUAGGCACAUCAGGGUUCAAACAACUCCUACUCAUACUAGUGGGUUUCAUCUAUUUACUAUGGAAUGACAGGUCAUGCAACGGAUAAAGGGGUUCAGCUACCGCAGCAAGUAACAAAUAUGUCGUUGUUGUCCUAAUGCAGUAAAAGAGAGCAGGAGCGAGAGAGUGGGAUUUUAUCAGAAUGAACAAGGGGGGUUUUGCUUGCCUGGCACUUCUGAAGAUAACAUUGAGUCUUCAUCAGUGUCAACGAUCACAUCAUCGGUAUCACGUCUAUCGAGAGGGGACAAUUACCGGCAACAUAGAAGGGAACACAAUCAAUGCAAUGCACAAUAUGAUGCAUGAUCAUGACAUGGCAAAAUGAAUGUGUUUUGAGCUAAUGCAACUAGCAACAGAUUAAAUGAAGUUGGUUUGAAUACAAGAUUCAAAUUUAAACUCCAUAUGUGAUUAUUCAAAUGCCAUUUAAUUGAUUUGUGCUAAACAGCAGCUAUAAGUUGUUCUAUCAUGCAUGAAAAUGGUACGGAUGGAUUCCUUGAAUUUUUCUGAUAAUUUUUCAUAUAUAAUUUAUUUAAUUUGGAGUUACGGUUAAUUUUCUAUGAUUUUUAGAAGUUUUAGGCAUUUUCUGAAAUUUCCUGAUUAUUUUUAAAUCCAGAAAAUACUUAUUGCGUUAGCCCCACGUCACAGUGACAUCAGCAGGGUCAACUGGGCGCCCCAGGUCAAACCUGACGUGUGGGGGCCACACGUCAGUGACACAGGAGCUAAUCACGGUCAAACCCAGCGCUAACUGAGGUUUGACCAGGGGUGGGGCCCACAGUCAGUGGCCUAGGGGGUUGAUUAGGGCGUCAUUAGUGCUAAUUAAGCGUGCCACGUCGGCAGUCGCCGGAGUAUCGCCGGCGGCGACCAUUCCGCACGGCGGCGCGGCUCGGAUUCGAGCUAGGGGCGUCAGUUUGGCGCGCUGAGGGCACCAGGGGAUGGCCCUUGCUCCUGCGCAUCCAGAGGACCGAGUGGGAGGUCGUGGGGUCGCCGGAACUCAUGCCGGCGACGAGCUUUGGCGGCGAUGGUGUUCGGUGGUGCUCGGGCGCGUCGCUACGGUGCAUCAGUGAGCAAAUGGAGAGGCUGGGCAGCACCUGCUAGUCAUGGGGAGCACUAAGAGCAGCUCAGUGAGGCCAGGGGAGCUCGGAGGCUAUGCGUGCAGCAGCAAUGGCGGACGAUGGCUUCGGUGCUCGUGGGGAACGGCGCUACGGCACGGAGGGAAGCAUGCUGAGUUAGGGGAGAGGGUCAGUGACUCACGGCGAUGACGAGGGGACGCUCGGCGAGGUCGGGGACGGUCCGGAGCCGGCGAAUUUGACGAAGAUGGCCGGCGGGUCCGAGGUAGAAGACGACAGCGAUGGCGGCGAUGCAGGGCUUCCGGAGGGCUGUGGAUCGGUGGGGAGGAAGAGGGGGUCGAGGCGGAGCUCCUGGGUGCAUCGGCGAGGCUAGGGGUGGCCGGUGGCCAUGGGUACGGUGACGAUGACGGCGAGCUCCGCUCGGUCGCGGGAGGGGAAACAGAGGAGCGAGGGGGAGGGAGGUCCAGAGAGCGAGGGAGAAGUGAGAGGGGGUCGGGGACGUCUCCGUGGCAUCGCGAGGAAGUCGGGGAGGCUGCCACGGCGAAGCAGGAGGUGGCCGGCGUCAGCGCGCGUGCGUCCAGCACACAGCUGCUUCGGGGCGAGGGGGAGGAAGAUGACUGGCAGCUGGGCUGCACAGUAACGGGCCGCGCAGAAGCUGGGCCGGCUACAGGUAAGUGGCCCAGGUACGGGUCUUUCUCUCUCUCUCUCUCUUUCUAAUCAUCUCAGUUUUCUAUUAUUCUGUAAAUUUAGGGCUUUAUUAAAAAUACUCAGACACUUUCAAAAAUCAUGAAACUAAUCAUGGCUACUGUUUAGAAUAUAUCCAACAGUAAACAUUUUAGUUUAUGAUUAUUUGAGCAUUUGAAUAUUUAAUAGCAUUUAAAUGCCCAAAUGAAAAUACUAUAUGAUUUAAUUCAGUGACCAAAUAUGUCCUGCAAAAAUAUAAACCAUUUUUGGUAGAUGCUUCCACCUCAAACCAGAAAUGUUGAACAUUUUUAGAGGACAUUUUGAGUUCAAUGAAAAAGGUUUUAUUUUGACCCUAGUUGAAUUCAUUUGGUGCUAGGGCUUAGUCAAUCCCCAUCUCAGGUUUAAAUGAAAUUUAAACAUGAUGUAACACUCUAAUGCAUGCACUAGGCAUUGUCAGAACUAGGGAUGUGAUAACUCACCCCCACUAAACAAGAAUCUCGUCUCGUGAUUCAAGCGUAGGGUAAGGUGAAAGGUAAACGCAACUAGUAUAAUCUUCACGAUCCAGGGUGCACUUCAGUUGAACGUUGAUUCAGUCACCAUCAUUGUCUUGAAGUCUUGCUCUGAGAAAUCCUGUCAACAUGACAUGGAGGGAAGAAGGAGACUCUAGAAGGACUGAUCUUUCGAAGAUCGAACCACUCAGGAUUAACUCCCGGAAUGACAUAGCAACAUCUCUCGAGCUGAGAGACGAAGCAUACCUCUGGAGGGAUGGAGUGGAGCAGGUGACGAGGUUCACUAGGUAGACAACAAUUCCAGACUUAAGAAUGUGGCGAUCGGUUGUCAACGUAGCGAGGAGUUGAAUUGCCAUGAUACCACGACGAAACAUCCUGGAGAAGGGUGAUUCGUAAAUUGUUACCCUAAGUGGCAAAAAGAAUUACUUUUGAUUUAGAGAUCAUUGAAACUCUUCAUACCAGCCUAAGGCAAUUCACAACGAUCGUUUGGAGGGGGCCAGUAGGAUGGCAUACUCGGACUUGGAUGAUGUGGAUUACCUUGUUGAAGACAAUGCAAUGGCUGAUUUUUGCUUAUCACCGGAAAUGGAAGGGACCCAUGGUAGAAUGGCACAUUGGCGGUGCAAGCUCGGAACAAAAUGCAAAUGCUGGGAAUGAUUCUAGUAACUGGGGAGAGGCUCAACAAUAGAGAGUUAUUCCACUAUUGGAAUGGUUAUAGCAUUGCCGAGGAAACUGAGAGCAAACCCAGUUAGAGCCGAUGAUAACACGUAGCGCUUGUGCGUGCUCUCAAGAACUUGAGCAUUUCCACAAUCAUCAAGGUUUUAUCAACAUCCGUGUCAAGGGUGCUGACAACACAACAUACUACCAUGAUGAAUAGCGAUGGACGAUGCAGAUGCAAAGGAGGAUAACACUUUCUCAGAUUUCACCCUUGGCGGGGCCAAGGAAAUAAAAUCUGGAUGAUCGACCGAGAGACAUUUAGCACUCCGCUUCUAAUGUUCUCCUUGAUGUGCUAGUGUAACCCAUUCAUAGAUAUGGUUUGAUAUCUAGAACAUCAAGUAAAAGGUCGGACUUCGGAACGCAAAAAUCCAUAGGGGCAACUAGGGAGUCAACCCUACGAAAUCCCUAUGGGGGGGUGGCCAACUUCAUCAAUCAAGAUAUUAUAAUAACAGGUCUUCCGGCUGGGUGUGUUGGCCACGACAUCCACUUUACCGGUUAUCGCGCGACCAAUAUUAUAAUUCUUGGGAAAUAUUCCAACCAUCAUAUCUGCCUGAGAUUCAGAUCUGGUUGGUGUCAGGAUAUUCCAGACUCAUCAAGUCCAGGAAGAAAAAUGAAAGUUUGCAACACAAAUCGACGAGAUGACGUUGCGGAAUUCUCGGAAGAUGAACUACGAUAGCAAGCUCCAAAACAUGAGCUGGUUCUGCUACAAACAUGUGAACACGUUGUCCCAGACAAGCAUGCCCACAUGGUAGUCUUACAAUAAAACACUACCGAGUUCUGGUUGGGAACCAUCAGCGAGGAUAUCGAAGUUCUUUCAUAAGUCCGGAUUAGCUCUUAUGAAGAUACUCCUUCUCCUUGAACAAAUCAGUCAGUGGCUUGGUGUGCUAGGAUACACAUAUGUAAUGAAGGUUGCAAGUCUCCAGACCACAGAAUACUUCGCACGUGUGCAUGACUAACUUGCGAUGAUUCCAGAGGAAGCAACAUUGACUUUCUCGAGUCCACGGCGGCAACUUGCAUCAAAUGCACAUGAACUAGAGGAAGUCACUUCUUACAUCCGAACAUAUGCUUCAUGAGCUAGCAUGAACAAAUGCUUUCAAAAGUUUCCAACACUAGCUUAAUGUUCAGCAAAAUUAUGAAGAAGACAAGGAUGUUGUCAAUGGGCACAACAACAAUUCAUCUGGGUUUCCUUUUAUAAGGAAUUCCAUAGUUAAGUGAACAAGUGAUAGCAUUGGUCAGACCCAAAAGAUAUAAUGGUGUAUGCUCGAGGGAUCAACCACGAGUAAGACAACAUUACGAAUAUCGUUGGUUCUGGUCUGAUUGGAUGAUAGCCCAUACUCAAUCAAAGGUUUGGGUAAGAUAAUAGAUCCAACAAUUGUUCACAAGGACCAAUUGAUGAAGAUAUCAUCUUUCUUCAACACACACACACACACAAAAAGAUAUCCCUUAACAUGAACUAAGUCGGACAAGCUUUUAUCUUCCAACUCUCCAAGUUGUUGUUUAGCUUAUCCAACUAGCUCAGGGUAUCCAACACGGAUUCUUGGAGAAGGGGGGGUUUACAGGAAUAAACCAACUUGAUCACGAACUCAACAUAGCGGUCAGGUGACAACCUGGUAAUACUUCUAAGAAGAUAUUCAGAAAAUCACGAACCACCGGUAUGUUACUAAGCUCGAGAACAAUCUUGCUUUUCAGGGCAAGACGAUAUGAUCAAUAGAGCAAGGAUUUGAAAUAAUCCUAACUCAUCGAUCGAGGAGUGAACCAGGAGAAUGGACUAGGUAGCAUGAUCAACCUUAGAAUGAUGAUUCAAAACCAACACGCUAAGAAUGAAAUUAUUGUCCUUUAACUACCAAGCAACAAGGUUGCUAGGAGUAUUGAUUUCACACAUCACGAUUCACUUGUCGACAUUCCGGUUAUAACCACACGGAACCGAGGAAUGAGUAAUGAUGGCGAGAGGUAUCACUGUACCAAGAGUUCAUAGGAUGGUGUGCAAUUCCUAUAACAAUCCCGAUAUAAAAGAUGGUAAUACUCCAAGGUAGAACAGAGCAAAAGCUGGAUUAGCAAUUUGUUCUACGGAGCACAACUUCUUUGACCCAAUCCUGGAUAUGGAAGAGGUACUGGAGUUUGUUUCUCCUAGUCAUUCCACGAUAGAAUGGCUUGACGGACCACAAGAGUAAUAGGCAUCGAUAAACGAACGCACACAUACUCUUGACUAUCAAUUGAUAGACGAAGGUCAGUAGACAGCUAAAGAGGGACAACUCAAAGGAACAUACCAUUUUCUGAGUUGUGGAUGCAUGGUUUAGCAUGUCGAACGAAGUUCAACAUAUUUCUUCCGGAUAACCCAUGCAGAAAGGUAGAACUGGCAGAGCCACAAUAUAUAAUGGAGAACUCAUCAAGAAUAAUCCUGUUGUGAUAUUUCAGUUCAACGAGGAACUUCUGCCAUAAGUAGUUCAUGGUAUUUGGAAGAAGAAGAUACCACGGACUUCAAGGACUAUCGCAAAGGUUACUAAUAUCCUAAAGGCACUAGCAAUUACUAUCAACAUGAAGUAGGUAGAGUGAAUCUCGGGUUCAAGAACCCAGGAACAGAAUACCUAAUACUAAGUAGCAUCACGGGAUGCUUUCGAUAAUGACGGCCAGAGUCAUCACACUGGAACAUAAAUCAUGGCUAGACUACUAGAUGAUCCCCCGAGACACCUAGGGUCAUAAUAGUAACUCCAACAUAAGGUCAAGGCAAUAGAAUACCUCAACUCAACAAUUAGUGUGAUUGAGCUGGCAUAAAGGAACAUCGAAACCAGAGGGAAAGGAUUUUGCAAAUGCAUCAGACUAUUUAGAAACCUGGAAUGACUCGGACAGCAUAACGGCUGUAAAUGCUCAGAAAAGAUUUGAGACAUUCACAAAAAUGGUGGCAUAACCACUCAGAAGCACAAUAUCACGGUUUCGAGAUCAACAAUUAACAUACGGAAGCAGUAAAAACUGAACAGAGGCUUAAAUCCAACAAUCUUAUAAGUCCACUGAUUAGUAACACGUGAUCCUGAUAGAAAGAAGAGAUAGCCUAGUUCUUAAUCCCCGUAGGAAAGAUAAGAUGACUCAGAUCAGAAGGCAUAAGGUAUAAGGAGUAAAAAGAGCCUUACGUUCCAUCCCACAAUCAAUUCCCUUAUAUAACUAAAGAAUUUCUAGACUCAACUUCGACCAGUUUGGCUUGGUAAUCCUACAGGCAGUCAAGCUCUGAUACCAACGCUGUCAGGACCCCGACUCAAUGCCACAUCGAUCUAGCAUGUAACACCUCAUAUCACUUUGCGGCCUCACGCACGGUAUUCCCACGGGUGUCGCCUUACCUUUACCCGGGACCGUUUGCGCCUUUUGGCACACGUAUAUGACAGUGUCGCUAGCAUCUAUAUGAUAAAGAGCCCGGGCUGACAUGGCUAGUCGUAAACCCAAAGUGGCACAGACUUACAGGGACAGGCAUCCAUGACCCAGCAUCGAACGUGUCGGUCAUCAGCGAGUGAAUCCAGGUUGUAGCACUGGGCUAGCAGGACUCCGGUGAACCGGGCUGUAGCGGGCUAACAGGACUCCGGUAUUCAUCGCGUGACAUUUCCCCGAAGGGACAGACACAGGAACGAAGAAGGACACAUGCCGGCCAGCCUAAGUGUUCCGGAGCAGUAGCAAGCUACCAUGGCUCGGUGGAAACACUAGGAGACAUUUCCCCGUAAGAGAGGCUACUAAAGAUAAACAACUAGAUGGUCAGAUCCCACACAUACCAAGCAUUUCAAUAACAUACACACAAUAUGCUCGAUAUGUGCAAAUACAACAUGGCAUCACAACAUGACUCUACGACUCAAGUAAUUUAUUCAAUAGGCUCCGAGGAGCGAGAUAUUACAAACAGGGGUCUCAUGACCCAACAAUCAGAGCAUACAAGUCAAAGCACAAGCGGAAGCUAUCAUGUCUGAGUACAGACAUCUAUAAAUGAAAAGGGCUGAGAAGCCUGACUAUUUAUCAGAUCCUGCCGAGGGCACAAGAUCGUAGCUGAGGUAACAAGCUAAACGUCGAAGUCCACGCGGAACUACUAGUGAGACUGAAGUCUCUCUGCACAAAACAUAAAAUAGGCAAACGUGAGUACAAAUGUACCCAGCAAGACUUACAUCAGAACUAACUACAUAUGCAUCAUUAUCAACAAAGGGGUGGUGGGGUUUAACUGCAGCAAGCCAGCUUUGACUCGGUGGCUAUCCUAAACUACGACUGCAAGCAACUCUUUUGAGGUGGCGCACACGAGUCCACAUAUUCACCAUAUCAAUACACCACUAUGGAUCCGCUCCCGUCUCCCUACGAGAACGCCAUCCAUAGCACUCACGCUUAUCUUGCGUAUUUUAGAGUAUCCACUUUCACUUGUCUAUGAACUGAUAUAAGCAACCCAGAAGUCCUUUUCCGCGGACACGGCUAUUCGAAUAGAUGAUGUUAACCCUGCAGGGGUGUACUUCUUCACACACACUCUCACCACUUACCACCGUUUACACGACAUGUACUCGGCAACCUUCAAGCGGAAGCCCAACGUGGGUGUCGGCCACGGCCUGCCUAAACACUCGAGUCUCUAGUCCAGGUUUAUCGCCUAUUCGGGUUCCAUCCAUGAGGAGAUCCGGCCGGAGUUUCGCUCACAGCCCCAAACGAUGUGAACAGGGUUCCCGAGACACCAAACGGGCGCCCGGUACACCAUGCCACGUGCCUACCGCAUCACAGCCCACCCCUACGGUCAGCGCUGCCCACGGCCUCCCGCAUACUACAAACACCAGAAACUACUUGCAACUCCUGGACAGAGGACAAGGGUGAUUAAGAAGCCGAGAGGGUCCAUUGGUUUCGGGCCCAAUGCGUGGUUGUAGCUGAAUCAUGGAUCACAAACACAGAACUCAGUUCCUAAGGACGGCUUCAAUGAGACAACCCACCAUGUACUCCUACAUGGCCUCUCACCGCUACCUUUACCAAAUCGUGUUCACACACUUAGCUCACACACAGUAGGACAUGUUCACACGCCUCUGAUUCAUCCCCGAUGAAUCAGACCUGACUCAACUCUAAGCAGUAGCAGGCAUGACAAACAAGCAUGAAUGAGUAGGCACAUCAGGGCUCAAACAACUCCUACUCAUACUAGUGGGUUUCAUCUAUUUACUGUGGAAUGACAGGUCAUGCAAUGGAUAAAGGGGUUCAGCUACCGCAGCAAGUAACAAAUAUGUCGUUGUUGUCCUAAUGCAGUAAAAGAGAGCAGGAGCGAGAGAGUGGGAUUUUAUUGGAAUGAACAAGGGGGGUUUUGCUUGCCUGGCACUUCUGAAGAUAACAUUGAGUCUUCAUCAGUGUCAACGAUCACAUCAUCGGUAUCACGUCUAUCGAGAGGGGACAAUUACCGGCAACAUAGAAGGGAACACAAUCAAUGCAAUGCACAAUAUGAUGCAUGAUCAUGACAUGGCAAAAUGAAUGUGUUUUGAGCUAAUGCAACUAGCAACAGAUUAAAUGAAGUUGGUUUGAAUACAAGAUUCAAAUUUAAACUCCAUAUGUGAUUAUUCAAAUGCCAUUUAAUUGAUUUGUGCUAAACAGCAGCUAUAAGUUGUUCUAUCAUGCAUGAAAAUGGUACAGAUGGAUUCCUUGAAUUUUUCUGAUAAUUUUUCAUAUAUAAUUUAUUUAAUUUGGAGUUACGGUUAAUUUUCUAUGAUUUUUAGAAGUUUUAGGCAUUUUCUGGAAUUUCCUGAUUAUUUUUAAAUCCAGAAAAUACUUAUUGCGUUAGCCCCACGUCACAGUGACGUCAGCAGGGUCAACUGGGCGCCCCAGGUCAAACCUGACGUGUGGGGGCCACACGUCAGUGACACAGGAGCUAAUCCCGGUCAAACCCAGCGCUAACUGAGGUUUGACCAGGGGUGGGGCCCACAGUCAGUGGCCUAGGGGGUUGAUUAGGGCGUCAUUAGUGCUAAUUAAGCAUGCCAUGUCGGCAGUCGCCGGAGUAUCGCCGGCGGCGACCAUUCCGCACGGCGGCGCGGCUCGGAUUCGAGCUAGGGCGUCAGUUUGGCGUGCUGAGGGCACCAGGGGAUGGCCCUUGCUCCCGCGCAUCCAGAGGACCGAGUGGGAGGUCGUGGGGUCGCCGGAACUCAUGCCGGCGACGAGCUUUGGCGGCGAUGGUGUUCGGUGGUGCUCGGGCGCGUCGCUACGGUGCAUCAGUGAGCAAAUGGAGAGGCUGGGCAGCACCUGCUAGUCAUGGGGAGCACUAAGAGCAGCUCAGUGAGGCCAGGGGAGCUCGGAGGCUAUGCGUGCAGCAGCAAUGGCGGACGGUGGCUUCGGUGCUCGUGGGGAACGGCGCUACGGCACGGAGGGAAGCAUGCUGAGUUAGGGGAGAGGGUCAGUGACUCACGGCGAUGACGAGGGGACGCUCGGCGAGGUCGGGGACGGUCCGGAGCCGGUGAAUUUGACGAAGAUGGCCGGCGGGUCCAAGGUAGAAGACGACGGGGAUGGCGGCGAUGCAGGGCUUCCGGAGGGCUGUGGAUCGGUGGGGAGGAAGAGGGGGUCGAGGCGGAGCUCCUGGGUGCAUCGGCGAGGCUAGGGGUGGCCGGUGGCCAUGGGUACGGCGACGAUGACGGCGAGCUCCGCUCGGUCGCGGGAGGGGAAACAGAGGAGCGAGGGGGAGGGAGGUCCAGAGAGCGAGGGAGAAGUGAGAGGGGGUCGGGGACGUCUCCGUGGCGUCGCGAGGAAGUCGGGGAGGCUGCCACGGCGAAGCAGGAGGUGGCCGGCGUCGGCGCGCGUGCGUCCAGCACGCAGCUGCUUCGGGGCGAGGGGGAGGAAGAUGACUCGCAGCUGGGCUGCACAGUAACGGGCCGCGCAGAAGCUGGGCCGGCUACAGGUAAGUGGCCCAGGUACGGGUCUUUCUCUCUCUCUCUUUUUCUAAUCAUCUCAGUUUUCUAUUAUUCUGUAAAUUUAGGGCUUUAUUAAAAAUACUCAGACACUUUCAAAAAUCAUGAAACUAAUCAUGGCUACUGUUUAGAAUAUAUCCAACAGUAAACAUUUUAGUUUAUGAUUAUUUGAGGAUUUGAAUAUUUAAUAGCAUUUAAAUGCCCAAAUGAAAAUACUAUAUGAUUUAAUUCAGUGACCAAAUAUGUCCUGCAAAAAUAUAAACCAUUUUUGGUAGAUGCUUCCACCUCAAACCAGAAAUGUUGAACAUUUUUAGAGGACAUUUUGAGUUCAAUGAAAAAGGUUUUAUUUUGACCCUAGUUGAAUUCAUUUGGUGCUAGGGCUUAGUCAAUCCCCAUCUCAGGUUUAAAUGAAAUUUAAACAUGAUGUAACACUCUAAUGCAUGCACUAGGCAUUGUCAGAACUAGGGAUGUGACAAGUACAAGCCUGGACAAGUUCUUAUAUAGAGAAAAGCACUCCCGAGGAAACAUGGGAAUUAUUGGCAAGCUAGUUUUCAUCACGCUCAUAUGAUUCGCGUUCGUUACUUUGAUAAUUUGAUAUGUGGGUGGACCGGUGCUUGGGUACUGCCCUUUCUUGGACAAGCGUCCCACUUAUGAUUGUCCGCAACUACAAAAGAAGUAUUAAGGUGAACCUAACCAUAGCAUGAAACAAGUGGAUCCAAAUCAGCCCCUUACGAAGCAACGCAUAAACUAGGGUUUAAGCUUCUGCCACUCUAGCAACCCAUCAUCUACUUAUUACUUCCCAAUGCCAUCCUCUAGGCCCAAAUAAUGGUGAAGUGUCAUGUAGUUGACGUUCACAUAACACCACUAGAGGAGAGACAACAUACAUCUCAUCAAAAUAUCAAACGAAUACCAAAUUCACAUGACUACUAAUAGCAAGACUUCUCACAUGUCCUCAGGAACAAACGUAACUUCCCACAAAGCAUAUUCAUGUUCAUAAUCAGAGGGGUAUUAAUAUGCAUUAAGGAUCUGAACAUAUGAUCUUCCACCAAAUAAACCAACUAGCAUCAACUACAGGGAGUAAUCAACACUACUAGCAACCCACAGGUACCAAUCUGAGGUUUUGGUACAAAGAUUGGAUACAAGAGAUGAACUAGGGUUUGAGAGGAGAUGGUGCUGUUGAAUAUGUUGAUGGAGAUUGACCCCCUCCUAAUGAGAGGAUUGUUGGUGAUAACGAUGGUGAUGAUUUCCCCCUCCCGGAGGGAAAUUUCCCCGGCAGAACAGCUCCGCCGGAGCCCUAGAUUGGUUCUGCCAAGUUUCCGCCUCGUGGUGGUGGAGUUUCGUCCCGUAAGCUUGCUUAUGAUUUUCUCCAGGGUAAAAGCCUUCAUAUAGCAGAAGAUGGCCAUCGGAGGGCUAUCAGGGGGGCCAUAAGAUAGGGGGGCGCGCCCAGGGGGGUAGAGCGCGCCCCCCACCCUCGUGGAUGGUGGGUGGCCCACCUCAAGUAUUUCUUCUGCUCAAUAUUUUUUUCAAAUCGAAAAAUGAAUUUCGUGGAGUUUCAGGACUUUUGGAGUUGUGCAGAAUAGGUCUCUAAUAUUUGCUCCUUUUCCAGCCCAGAAUCCCAGCUGUCGGCAUUCUCCCUCUUCAUGUAAACCUCGUAAAAUAAGAGAGAAUAGGCAUAAGUAUUGUGACAUAACGUGUAAUAACAUCCCAUAAUGCAAUAAAUAUCAAUAUAAAAGCAUGAUGCAAAAUGGACAUAUCAACUCCCCAAAACUUAGACCUCGCUUGUCCUCAAGCGGAAGCCGAUAUCGAAAAAUAUGUCCACAUGUUUAGAGAUAGAGGUGUCGAUAAAAUAAAAUAUGGACAUGGGGGCAUCAUGAUCAUUCUUAUAACAGCAGCAUUUAUAUAUUGUCAUAUGAUUUCUUAUGCUAAAGUAACAAGCUAUUCACAAUAUCAAGUAUGAAUCAGAAACUUCAUUGAAAACUAAUAAACUAUGAUCUUGGUCAUUGAAGCAAUUGCAAUUUAUCAUAACAUCGGAAAGAGUCAAUAUAAGAGGUUUUCAGCAAGUCCACAUACUCAACUAUCAUUUAGUCUUUCACAAUUGCUAACGCUCACGCAAUACUUAUGGUUAUGAAGUUUUAAUAGGACACGGAGAAAGAUAGGGGCUUAUAGUGUUGCCUCCCAACCUUUUACCUCAAGGGUAAUGUCAACAAUAAUAGUUCAUGCUAACUUACAUCCAAUUGGAUAUAUAUAUAUAUAUAUAUAUUAGGAUCUUUCCAACACGUGGUGCUUGCCAAAGGAUAAAAUAUAAAAAGGAAAGGUGAAGAUCACCUUGACUCUUGCAUAAUGUAAAAGGCAUAAGUAAAAGAUAGGCCCUUCGCAGAGGGAAGCAGAGGUUGUCAUGUGCUUUUUGGUUGGAUGCACGAAAUCUUAAUGCAAAAGAACAUCACUUUAUAUUGCCAAUUGUGAUAUGGACCUUUAUUAUGCAGUCCAUUGCUUUUAGUGCUUCCAUAUCACAAGAUUGUAUAAAGCUUAUUUUCUCCACACUAAUAAGUCAUACAUAUUUAGAGAGCAAUUUUUAUUGCAUACAACAUGACAACUUACUUGAAGGAUCUUACUCAAUCCAUAGGUAGAUAUGGUGGACUCUCAUGGAAAAAUUGGGUUUAAGGAUAUUUGGAAGCACAAGUAGUAUCUCCACUUGGUGCAAGGAAUUUCGCUAGCAUGAGAGGGAAAAGGCAAGAUCAACAUGUUGGAUGAUCCAUGACAAUAUACUUUAUUUCGGAUAUAAGAAAACAUAACCCAUUAUGUUGUCUUCCUUGUCCAACAUCAACUCUUUAGCAUGUCAUAUUUUAAUGAGUGCUCACAAUCAUAAAAGAUGUCCAAGAUAGUAUAAUUAUAUGUGAAAACCUCUCUUUCUUUAUUACUUCCUAUUAAUUGCAACGAUGACCAAAAUUAUGUUUGCCAACUAUCAACAACUUUUAUGCAUCAUACUCUUUAUAUGUGAAGUCAUUACUCUCCAUAAGAUCAAUAUGAUCUCUUUUAUUUCUUUUUAUUCUUUCUUUUAUUUUUCUCAAGAUCAUAGCAAGAUAUCAAAUCCCUUGACUCAACACUAAUCUUUAUUAUAUAUAGCUCACGGACUCAAUUACAUAGAGUGAUCAUAAGGCAAAACUCAAAACUAAAUCAUACCAAAACUUUAUUCUACUAGAUCAAGAUAUUACUAAAAGGAUCGAACUAAGUAAAACAGUAAAGAUAGGAGUGUGAUGGUGAUAUGAUAUUGGGGCACCUCCCCCAAGCUUGGUAGUUGCCAAGGGGAGUGCCCAUACCCAUGUGAUUAAUUCCUCGGAGGUGGUGAUGAUGGAGUUGUUGAUGAAGUAGGCUUGUCGUCUGUCUUCCAAGGCAUAGGCUCACCAUCAUAGGAGGAUGAUCGACUCUCCGGUAUCCUCAAAUCUGCAGCCAAACUCAUCCUCUUGAAUCUAUAUUCAUACUCACAGUUUUGGUUUUGUAGGUCUUAGAUCUGGGCUUGGAGGUGCUCGAUUUUCUCAUGAAUCUUCAAGAUGGUUUCCCCAAUGUUCUUGGCAUCUAGCUUGUGGUUGUUGGUGAACUCCGCGAUCAUCAUCUGGUUGGCGUUGAGUCCGCGUUCCACCAUCCCUUGGCACUUGAAAACUUGUUAUUCCAUUGCUUCGAGUCUUGUCUCCAUGCUUCCGAUCCUUCUUGGCCCCUCAACAUCGUGGAUGUGCAGCACCCUCUCAUGCAUCUCAAUGGUUUGAGGGUGAUGCAGCACCUCCGCGAGGUAGGGGUUGAUAACCUUCUCAAAACACUUGUCCUUGGGGGCGCUUGGAGACGUCAUGGUGAUCUAGAUCUGUCAGAAAAACAACUCGAAACAAAGAUAGAGGAUAUUUGCGUGAUACGGUGGUCAAAACUUUCGGGAGAUUAUAUAAUGAAUAUUUACCGACCAAAAGAAGUAUCGUGCAAGAAAACGGAGUCCGGAGAGCACAAGAGGUGCCCACGAGGCAGGGGGCGCGCCCAGGGGGGUACGGCGCACCCUCCACCCUCGUGGACGCCUCGUGUCCUUCCCGGACUACUUCUUAUUUUCCUAUUUUCUUAAAUAUUCCAAAACGGAGAAAAAUUGCUAUUAUAACUGUUUUGGAGUCGCUUUACUUACCGUACAACAUACCUAUUUCUUUUUGGAGUCUGAAACAUUCUGGAAAGUAUCCCUUAUGUAUUCCUCCGGGGUUACAGUCUCAAUAACAUUAGUUUCAACAUUUAUUGGAUUACCUGAGAUAUAAUGUUUGAUUCUUUGACCGUUCACCACCUUCGGAUUUGUGCCUACAAAGUUAUUGAUUUUUAUGGCACAGGAAUGAUAGACCUCCUCGAUAACGUAAAGGCCUUCCCAUUUAGAGAGAAGUUUUCCUGCAAAAAAUCUUAAAUGAGAGUUGUAUAGAAACACAUAAUCACCUACAUUAAACUCAUGCUUUUGUAUCCUUUUGCCAUGCCAUCUUUUAACUUUUUCUUUAAACAGUUUGGCAUUCUCAUAGGCUUGAGUUCUCCAUUCAUCAAGUGAGCUAAUGCCAAAUAACCUCUUCUCACCGGCAAGUUUGAAAUCAUAAUUGAGCUCUUUAAUGGCCCAAUAUGCCUUAUGUUCUAGUUCAAGAGGUAAGUGACAUGCUUUUCCAUAAAUCAUUUUAUAUGGAGACAUACCCAUAGGAUUUUUAUAUGCAGUCCUAUAAGCCCAUAGUGCAUCAUCAACUUUCUUGGACCAAUUCUUUCUAGAUCUAUUAACAGUCUUUUGCAAAAUUAAUUUAAGCUCUCUAUUACUCAAUUCUACUUGACCACUAGACUGUGGCUGAUAAGGGGAUGCAAUUCUAUGAUUAACAUCAUACUUACCAAGCAUUUUACAAAAAGCACCAUGAAUAAAAUAUUAACCACCAUCAGUCAUUAGGUAUCUAGGGACUCCAAACCUCGGAAAAAUAACUUCUUUAAGCAUCUUAAUAGAGGUGUUAUGAUCAGCACUACUAGUUGGAAUAGCUUCUACCCACCUAGUAACGUAAUCAACAGCAACUAAAAUAUGUGUAUACCCAUUAGAGGAAGGAAACGGUCCCAUAUAAUCAAAGCCCCAAACAUCAAAUGGUUCAAUAACAAGAGAAUAAUUCAUAGGCAUUUCUUGAUGUCUACUAAUAUUACCAAUUCUUUGACAUUCGUCACAAGACAAGACAAACUUACGGGCAUCUUUGAAGAGAGUAGGCCAAUAAAAACCGGAUUGCAAUACCUUAUGUGCAGUUCUAUCUCCAGCGUGGUGUCCUCCAUAUGCCUCGGAGUGACACGUGCGUAGGAUCUAUUCCUGUUCAUGCUCAGGUACACAAUGUCUAAUAACACCAUCUACUCCUUCUUUAUAAAAGUGUGGGUCAUCCCAGAAGUAAUGUCUUAAAUCAUAGCAAAACUUUUUAUUUUGCUGGUAUGUGAAACUAGGUGGUAUAAAUUUAGUAACAAUGUAAUUAGCAUAAUCAGCAUACCAUGGAGCAGUACGAGAAGCAUUUAUGACAGCUAAUUGUUCAUCAGGAAAGCUAUCAUGAAUAGGUAGUGGGUCAUCAAGAACAUUCUCUAACCUAGACAAGUUGUCUACAACGGGGUUCUCAGCUCCCUUUCUAUCAAUAAUAUGCAAAUCAAAUUCUUGUAGCAAGAGAACCCAUCUAAUUAGUCUAGGUUUAGAAUCUUUCUUGUCCAUAAGAUAUUUUAUAGCAGCAUGAUCAGUGUGAAUAGUUACUUUAGAAUCAACAAUAUAAGGUCUGAACUUAUCACAAGCAAAUACGACUGCUAAGAAUUCUUUUUCAGUAGUAGCAUAAUUUCUUUGGGCAUUGUCUAGAGUUUUACUAGCAUAUUGAAUAACAUUUAGUUUCUUAUCAACUCUUUGUCCUAGAACAGCACAUAAUCACUAGCAUCACACAUAAUUUCAAAGGGUAAAUUCCAAUCAGGUGGUUGAACAAUAGGUGCAGAAAUCAAAGCUUUCUUAAGUAUUUCAAAUGCUUCUACACAAUCGUCAUCGAAGACAAAAGGAAUAUCUUUUUGCAAUAAAUUAGUCAGAGGCCUAGAAAUUUUAGAGAAGUCCUUAAUGAACCUCCUAUAAAAACCAGCAUGAUCAAGGAAACUUCUUAUACCUUUAAUGUCCUUGUGACACGGCAUCUUUUCAAUAGCAUCAACUUUAGCUUUAUCAACUUCAAUACCUCUUUCAGAGAUUUUAUGCCCCAAGACAAUGCCUUCAUUAACCAUAAAGUGGCACUUCUCCCAAUUCAAAACAAGACUAGUAUCUUCGCAUCUCUACAAAACUCGAUCAAGGUUUCUCAAGCAAUCAUCAAAAUAAGAUCCAUAAAUGGAGAAAUCAUCCGUGAAAACUUCACAAAUCUUCUCACAAAAGUUAGAGAAUAUAGCCAUCAUGCAUCUUUGAAAGGUAGCAGGUGCAUUACAUAAACCAAAAGGCAUACGUCUAUAAGCAAAAGUACCAAAAGGGCAAGUAAAAGUGGUCUUUUCUUGAUCCUCUACUGACACAGGUAUUUGAGAGAAACCAGAGUAACCAUCUAGAAAGCAAAAAAUGUGUAUGUUUAGAUAAUCUUUCUAGCAUUUCAUCAAUAAAAGGUAGAGGGUAAUGAUCCUUUUUAGUAGCUUUAUUUAACUUAUGGAAAUCAAUUACCAUCCUAUAACCUGUAAUAAUUCUUUACGGGAUCAAUUCAUCUUUAUCAUUACGAACAACAGUAAUACCUCCCUUCUUAGGGACACAAUGGACAGGGCUUACCCACUGACUAUCAGCAACGGGAUAAAUUAUACCUGCCUCCAGGAGCUUUAGUAUUUCCUUUCUUACCACUUCUUUCAUCUUAGGGUUUAACCGUCGUUGGUGAUCAAUAACUGGUUUGGCGUCUUUCUCCAAAUUUAUCUUGUGUUGACAUAAAGUGGGACUAAUGCCCUUAAGAUCAUCAAGAGUAUAUCCAAUAGCAGCAUGGUGCUUCUUCAGAGUUUUCAAUAAUCUUUCAUCUUCCUGCUCGGAAAGGUUAGCACUAAUAAUAACAGGAUAUAUCUUCUUUUCAUCAAGAUAAGCAUAUUUAAGAGUAUCAAGUAAUGGUUUAAGCUCAAACAUGGGAUCACCCUUGGGUGGAGGAGGAUCCCCUAGGAUUUCAACAAGCAAGUUGUGUUUCAAAAUAGGUCCCUGUUUAAAGAAUACUUCAUCUAUCUCCCUUCUUUCAUUCAUAAACAUAUCAUUUUCAUGGUCUAGCAAAUAUUGUUCUAAAGGAUCAUGAGGAAGCACGGCAAUAGAAGCAAGACCAAUAAUUUCAUCCUUACUAGGAAAUUCUUUAUCAUGGGGAUGUCUACGAAAUUUAGCAAAAUUAAACUCAUGAGACAUAUCCCCCAAACCAAUAGUAACAACAUCAUUUUCGCAAUCUAUCUUAGCAUUAACAGUAUUCAAGAAGGGUCUACCAAAUAUAAUGGGACAAAAAUCAUCUUGUGGGGAACCAAGAACAAGAAAAUUAGCAUGAUAUUUAACUUUCCCACACAAGACUUCAACAUCUCUAACGAUCCCAAUUGGUGAAAUAGUAUCUCUAUUGGCAAGCUUAAUUGUAACAUCAAUUUCUUCUAUCUCAGCAGGUGCAAUAUCAUGCAUAAUUUCUUUGUAUAAGGAAUGAGGUAUUACACUAGCAUUAGCACCCAUAUCACAUAAGCCAUUAUAACAAUGAUCUCCUAUUUUAACAGAAAUAACAGGCAUGCCUACAACAGGUCUAUGUUUCUUAGCAUCGGGUCUAGCAAUUCUAGCAGCUGCAUCACAGAAAUAAAUAACAUGCCCAUCAAUAUUAUCAGCCAAGAGAUCUUUAACCAUAGCAAUACUAGGUUCAACUUUAAUUUCAGGAGGUGUACAUGUUCUAGUAUUACUCUUACGAACCACAGUUGAAGCUUUAGCAUGAUGCUUUAUCCUAACAUGGAAAGGUGGUUUCUCAAUAUAAGUAGCAGGAACAAUAGGAUCAUUAUAAGUGAUAGUAUUUUCUUCAACUUUAAUAGGUGCAACUACUUUUACUUCAGUAGGAGGGUUAUAUUUAAACCACUUCUCCUUAGGUAGGUCAACAUGAGUAGCAAAUGAUUCACAGAAAGAAGCUACUAUCUCAGAGUCAAGUCCAUAUUUAGUGCUAAAUUCACGGAAAACAUCGGUAUCCAUAAAAGAUUUAACACAAUCAAACUUAGGUGUCAUACCUGACUCCUUACCUUCGUCGAGAUCCCAAUAUUCAGAGUUGUGUUUAAUUCUUUCUACUAAAUCCCAUUUGAAUUCAAUAGUCUUCAUCAUAAAAGACCCAGCACAAGAAGUAUCGAGCAUGGAGCGAUGGUUGAGAGAAAGUCGAGCAUGAAAAUUUUGAAUAAUCAUUUCUCUUGAGAACUCAUGAUUGGGGCACGAAUAUAACAUUGGCUUAAGCCUCCCCCAAACUUGAGCGAUGCUUUCUACUUCGCGAGGCCAAAAAUUAUAUAUAUAAUUACGAUCACGAUGAACAAGAUGCAUAGGAUAAAACUUCUGAUGAAAUUCCAAUUUCAAUCAUUUGUAGUUCCAUGAUCCCAUAUCAUCACAUAGCCUAUACCAUGUCAAUGCAUCUCCCUCGAAAGAUAAAGGGAAGACCUUCUUCUUGAUAACAUCAUCGGGCAUACCUGCAAGCUUAAAUAAUCCACAAACUUCAUCCACAUAGAUUAGGUGUAAAUCGGGAUGCAAUGUUCCAUCUCCUAUAAAGGGAUUAGCUAGCAGUUUCUCUAUCAUACCCGAAGGAAUUUCAAAGUAAAAAAUUUUAGUAUGUUCAGGAGCAACUCUUUGCUCUUCUGGUCGGGGUGAAGAUACCCCGAACAAGCCCCUCAAAGGAUUAUGUUCCAUAGUAACAAGUGACAGUAAAUUUCAGCACACUAUAUAAAUUUUUCCUUACCAAGUUCCACUUACCAAAGGCACUUCACUCCCCGGCAAUGGCGCCAGAAAAGAGUCUUGAUGACCCACAAGUAUAGGGGAUCUAUCGUAGUCCUUUCGAUAAGUAAGAGUGUCAAACCGAACGAGGAGCAGAAGGAAAUGUCAAGCGGUUUUCAGUAAGGUAUUAUCUGCAAGCACUGAAAUUAUCGGUAACAGAUAGUUUUGUGAUAAGGUAAUUUGUAAAGGGUAACAAGAAAUUAAAGUAAAUAAGGUGCAGCAAGGUGGCCCAAUCCUUUUGGUAGCAAAGGACAAGCCUGGACAAGUUCUUAUAUAGAGAAAAGUGCUCACGAGGACACAUGAGAAUUAUUGUCAAGCUAGUUUUCAUCACGCUCAUAUGAUUCGCGUUCGUUACUUUGAUAAUUUGAUAUGUGGGUGGACCGGUGCUUGGGUACUGCCCUUUCUUGGACAAGCAUCCCACUUAUGAUUUCCCCCUCCUAGAGGGAAAUUUCCCCAACAGAACAGCUCCGCCGGAGCCCUAGAUUGGUUCCGCCAAGGUUUCGCCUCGUGGCAGCAGAGUUUCGUCCCGUAAGCUUGCUUAUAAUUUUUUCCAGGGUAAAAGCCUUCAUAUAGCAGAAGAUGGCCACCGGAGGGCUGCCAGGGGGCCCACGAGGCAGGGGGCGCCCAGGGGGGUAGGGCAUGCCCCCCACCCUCAUUGAUGGUGGGUGGCUCCCCUCAGGUAUUUCUUCUUCUCAAUAAUUUUUAUUAAAUCCAAAAAUUACUAUCAUGGAGUUUCAGGACUUUUGAAGUUGUGCAGAAUAGGUCUCUAAUAUUUGCUCCUUUUCCAGCCCAGAAUCCCAGCUGUCGGCAUUCUCCCUCUUCAUGUAAACCUCGUAAAAUAAGAGAGAAUAAGCAUAAGUAUUGUGACAUAACGUGUAAUAACAUCCCAUAAUGCAAUAAAUAUCAAUAUAAAAGCAUGAUGCAAAAUGGACGUAUCAGCGACCCCCACCCCCACCCUCAACCCUAAGAUAGAUAAUGGGGUACCUCUCCGGUGAGCCCCCCUCCCUGCUAUGGGUGGUUAUUCCUUAACUCCGGUGAGCCCCCCACCCCCCCCCCUUAAAAUCGACUGACCCAAAAGUCGAUUCAGUCGACUGAAGUGUAGCUAAAUCAGAGCAGAGCAGCAGCACGAGCAAGGGGGAGAGCAGGAGCAGCAGCACGAGCGAGCGAGCAAGCGAGAGCUGGAGCAGCAACAACAGUGCAAGCGAACGAGCGAGCGAGAGCCAGAGCAGCAACAAUAGCGCGAGCGAGAGACGGAGCAGCAACAGCUGCGCGAGCAAGCGAGCGAGAGCCGGAGCAGUAGCAGCUGCACGAGCGAACGAGCAAGAGCCGGAGCAGCAGCAGCGCGAGCGAGCAAGUGAGAGCUAGAGCAUCAGCAGCAGCGCGAGCGAGCCAGCGAGAGCCGGAGCAGCAGUAGCUGCACGAGUGAGCGAGAGCCAGAGCAGGAGCAGCAGCUUGAGAAAGCGAGCGAGAGUCGGAGCAGCAGGAGCAGCGCGAGCGAGCAAGCAAGAGCCGGAGCAGCAGCAGCAGAUCCAGCUAGUAUGGACGCCGCCGCCGAAGGGGCCUCGCACUGGGGGGAGCCGUCGUGGAGAUGUCGCCCGUGGCGCCGGCUUCAAGGUAGUCGCCCCAUGGGGGUGCAGUAUUGAGCACCAUCAGCGCCGGGAGGUCGAGUUAAGGAGAAGGUGCGAUGCGAUGAGUGUAUAACCUCUUUGGUGGCGCCGAGUAGGCCUCGGCUUAGUCCGAGGAGUCAGUGAGGAUGUUGCAGUUCCGGUGGAGCAGGUUAAGGUGAUGCUGUGGGGAUGGAGCAGCCGCGAUAGACGAGGCGAUCUCGGAGCAGCUCCUUGGAUGUGGAGGAUGGGGCGGCUGAACCAGCGGUAUGACGAGAUGGAUGACUGAUCCUCAUCCGGGGAGGUGGACGAGGGACGUUGAGCUGUUGCGGUGGACGAUGCCAUCAGGGAAGAGGCUCCGGCUGGGCAGCGGUGAGGUCGCGGACAGAGGAGGGUGGGGUUUCGCGGCUGGAGCGGAGAGGUUAUGGCGGCCUGGGAUUUCGAAUGGCGAAAAGGAGGCGAUGGGAGGGGGAAACAUGACUUAGGGAUGCGCUUGUCCAAAAUGUAGGGUGUGUUACAGAAGUACCCCCACCGAUUUGAACUAGCGGCCCUUUCGGCUCAGGGUUAGAAGGGGGAUUUCGUGUGUCGGGAUUUGGCAGCUAGAGGGAGUUUUCGCGCGUGUUGUAAUUUCGGGAUAGCAAGGCGCGGAUUGUGAAGACGCCAGUUUUGGGAGCACGAUAUCUGAAUUUUCGGGAUAUAACAAGGUGCGGGUUGAAUUUUAGGGACAAGCCUAACCUGUAAUAUUAUACUUGUACGUGCCAAAUCAAUUCGCACUUCCCUCAACGAAAAAAACGAGAAAAAUAAAACUAUUCACACACCACAAAGAGAGAGUCUUGUCCCAUUUUACUAUACAAAUGCUAUUCAAAGCUACUCCCUCAUUCCAUCUAUAUAGGGGCUAAUGCGUUUUUCGAGGCUAACUUUGACCAAAUAUUAGAGCAAUAAUAUAUGACAUGCAACUUACACAAAGCACACAGUUAAAUUCGUGUGUGAAAGGAGCUUUCAAUGAUAUAAUUUUCACAUUGUGCAUGUCAUGUACUAUUAAUCUUGUCAAUAGUCAAAGGUCGUCCUAAAAAACGCAUUAGGCCCUAUAUAGAUGGAAGGAGGGAGUAUGAAUCCAUGUUAUGUCCAAUUAAAAAAUUUCACUGGUUGUAUAAUGCAUGUAACCUACUCAUACGAACAUUUUAGUGCAUUCCAAAUAUCUAUACUACCGCUGCAAUUCAAACUGAAUUUGAAUUCGUUUCUCUAUUUCAAUAGGAAUCUACAAUCAUGAUUGUUGCCAACUUCAACCAUCAUUCGUGUAUUACCUACUAUAGAGAUAGAUAUGAACUAUGUGUAUUAUAUGAACUCGAAUUCUAUUUUUUGAAUACACUUGAUGUUGAUUCCAAAUAAUAGUACAUUUGAUGUACUAACUAUAUAUUCAUAAUCUAAACCAUGUUCCAUAUGUACACCGUGUUUAUCACACAAAGUAUAGUGCCCUGUCCCCUACAUUAUGACAAGUAUUUAGCCCUGAGCUACAAAAGCCACACAUCAGCCCAAAUUAUAAUCAAUGUUCUACAUUAUGAUAUCUUCUUCAAGUAUGUGUAUCCACUUUUUUAUAAUGAAUUAUGAUCUUUGUUCGUCUUUUACACCUUCAGGAUCCUCUUCUAUUUGUAGCUAGCUAGCGCUAACUUUCUAUCAUGCAUGCACAUGCCCGCCCCCCUCUCACCCUCCCUCAGCGUCCCCUCCAUCGCGCACGUUCCUUAUUUCUCUUUAGGUCGUUCACCCGCGGUGUGUGUAGGCCCCCCGGCUCCUUCUCUCCGGCACACACCAGUCGAUAUACCUCUCUUGCCAAGUGUGCCUACCACAAACACAUAUAUACUUCCCGUCUUCUCUUCUCACCGUCCAUGCCCCCUAUGUCCAAUAUGGUUCCACGCAGGUGCACACUCCCGCCCCUCUUUUCAUUGAUCUCAUACUCGCACACUCCUCCCCCUCGACAUGGUAGGCCUCUCGCACCACCUCCUAGCCGUACCCCUCUCCCCCUGUCUAUCUCUCCGGACCUUAUUUUCUUCUAACACAUGCAUGCAUGCAUAUGUACCGAUCUCCCUACAUAUAGCCAGGUCGACUAUAAUUCGUUUUGCCCAUGCACCAAUACACUUACCUCACUAGUUAUGUCUCUCCCUUUCUCGGACACACGACGGUUGAUCUUCCUAUGUAGUUACGUAUGCUUACCACAACCAUAUCAUCUCCCCUCAUCAUCCUUGCAUACCUCCCGACCCGUCUCUCACACGCACAUGCAUAGACAGACAGACAUCCCCCGCCCUCUCUUAUUGAUAUUGCACUCGUACCCUCCGUUUGUCUAGCAGGCCUCUCCCACCAUUUGUGAGAUGCCACUCCACAACCAACCCUCCGACACUCUACCUUUGUCUUUCUCCCAACCUUAUUCCUCUGCUACACAUAUCCAUGGAUGACGAUCGAUCUCCCUCAAUACAUAGCUAGGUCUCUCUCCUUCCCCACACAUAUACUAGUCAAUNNNNNNNNNNNNNNNNNNNNNNNNNNNNNNNNNNNNNNNNNNNNNNNNNNNNNNNNNNNNNNNNNNNNNNNNNNNNNNNNNNNNNNNNNNNNNNNNNNNNNNNNNNNNNNNNNNNNNNNNNNNNNNNNNNNNNNNNNNNNNNNNNNNNNNNNNNNNNNNNNNNNNNNNNNNNNNNNNNNNNNNNNNNNNNNNNNNNNNNNNNNNNNNNNNNNNNNNNNNNNNNNNNNNNNNNNNNNNNNNNNNNNNNNNNNNNNNNNNNNNNNNNNNNNNNNNNNNNNNNNNNNNNNNNCAUGCCACAGAGAAAAACUGCACUUCUGCCCUCUCAAAUUCCAGUAGGCCAGCCGCCUUGUAUCUUUGACGUGGGCAAACACAAAUUCGAUGGCACUCUUUAUCGAUCGCGCAGCCACACACUUCAUCCCUGUUUUCAAUUCUAUCGAUAUCUAACGUCCAUGACUCCAUUUCACACACAUUUCAUAUGUUAUGUUUUUUUGUUUGAGAUAUCAUCGACACAUUGCCUCAGUUUCGCACAAACCAUCUCUCUCACACCCACCCACGUACGUACCUGCACCUAAAGAAGAGGUGCACGCAGGACGCACGUACUCAUGUCUCGUUCCCGACCACACCCGUGCAGGUACACGGUGGAGUUUGUUUCUAUACGAAAAGGCAGACCACGUGAUAAUUUGACGUGUGUAGCGGUUGUUUACUCGAAGGAGGGUCGGGUACCACGCCUAGACGGAGCAAAGUUUGACUUGACGCAUUAGCUUCAUUUAUUACCUUGUAGACUCAUCCUCUCUUAGAAAGCGCUAUGUUAUAGUAACAUAUUAUGUUACUCUAAACACAUCUCUCCUCAUUAAAUACAUGCCACAUAAGCAAACUUGUCUUGGACUGCGCUAUGUUACUACCUAUGUUACUCCCACUAUGAACUGUUGCACGUCCACCGCUUGUAAGCAAAAGUUUCUCCUCGUGCUGCGAGCCACCGCGCACACGUUGGCGAGGGAGAAGGCAUAGUAAGCAAGCUUCUCGUCGUUCUGCGAGUUGACGGGACACAUCAAAGUUAUUUAGUAUGUACUCUCUCCAAAAAAGGGUUGACCAUGUCAUGGCUACCAUCCCGUGCUCCGCCGUUGAGUACGUGCACUAUUCACGUGCCAUCGAGGAGAAAAAAUAUUGCGUAGUGGGUGCCAUCGAAGUGCACGACUCACUUACGCAUUGCUUAUCUGAUUAUCUCCAUUUUCUUGCAUGACACGUGCACCUUGAUGCCAGAUGUCUCGCGUGUUGGCAAAAGGAUGAACAAAGCUCACGUUAAAAAAAAGAGUGGAAGAACAUAGAUUCCUGAUGACCGAGAAGGAGCAAGGAACCUCGUGGUGGAGCGUCUACACUCAUAAUAUUUUAUAUUAUUCAGCAAUAUAAAAUCAAGCAAUCAUCUCCACAGUGGACUGGAAGAGUACGAAACACGGCAACCCAGUGUAGUUACAUCAUACUACAUGGCUAACCCACGCUAUCACUAUAUUUGUUGGCUUCCAUGCGACACCUAGCUCUAGAAAUCCAGCAACCUGUAUCGCUUCUCGCUCCUCGUCUCUCUCAAAGUGCGACGGGCUGGCAUUUUUGCCGUCUAUUGAGGUUUGUUAACUCAUCACGUGUUAGCGACAUGCCAAGAGCAUUCUAAAAAAUACUUUACUCUAUUGUUAUGCCAAGAAGAGGAAGCGCUUUGACCGACGGACCAAACAAGACAGGCGUGUCGUGCCAUGAGUGGGUCUAGUUUCUCGUUUUGAACUCGUUUAGAACACUUGGUUUUGACUAUUGAUAAGAUUUUAUAUAGGGCAUCAUAUAUUCUUCGAGGAUGCCUUUGACUAUUGAUAAGAUUUUAUAUAAUUUGAAAAUUAUAUCUUUCAAAGAUUUCACAUUCCGUUUAACAAAAAGAUCCUUUCAUGUACGAAUUUGACUGUAUGCUUUGAGAAACUUGCAUGUCCUAUACUGCUCCUGUUUGGAUACUCUAACUUAGCUAGAGGUUAGACUAACUCAUGACUAACCCUGAACUAACUGUAGCCAAAGAGGUGUUUGGGUGAUAGGGUUGGAUUGACAAUAAAUGCACUUGAUGGAGAGAGAAAAGUGAUACAGUGGGCCCAAUGCAAACUAUCUCCAAUUAGCACCUCUUGGGUGGGAUAGGCUUUUUUGGUGGGUUCGGUGCAACUUGCUCCAAUUUAACCCUCAUGCUUGGAUACUUUAGAGCUAUUUGAGCCCAACCUAGCUCAAACUAACUCUAACCCAUGGAUCCAAAUAGGGCCAAAGUUAGUAUCGAAAAAUGCAUUAAGCCCUAUAUACAUGGACAGACGGAGUACAUGAUACAUACUAGCAAACGUUCACCACUAGUAGUAGUUCAUUGGUUGGUUUCGAUUUUUGAUUCAGUUGUUGUGCUGCUACCGUCCACUAUUCGCGUGUGGUUGUUUCUAGAAUAAAAAAAGGAGGUACCCCUACUUAUGUUACUCCCACUAUGCCUAGCCUAAGGUUAGUAGGUGACCUUGCGCUUGGCUCUUAGCCUCUUAGGGAAGUCGAACAAUAAUGAUGGUACUAUAGUAGUACUUCUGGCAAUCUGACACCAAAUAAACUGCUGCACGUCCACCUCUUGUAAGCAAAAGUUCCUCCUCGUGCUGCGAGUCACCGCGCACGUGUUGGCGAGGGAGAAGGCGUAGUAAGCAAGCUUCUCGUCAUUCUACGAGUUGAUGGGACACAUCAAAGUUAUUUAGUACUCUCUCCAAAAAAGGGCUGACCAUGUCAUGGCUACCAUCCCGUGCUCCGUCGUUUAGUACAUGCACUAUUCAUGUGCCAUUGAGGAGAAAAAAUAUUGCGUAGUAGGUGCCAUUGAAGUGCACAACUCACUUACGCAUUGAUUAUCUUAUUAUCUCCAUUUUCUUGAAUGACACAUGCACCUUGAUGCUAGAUGUCUCGCGUGUUGGCAAAAUGAUGAACAAAGCUCACAUAAAAAAAGAGUUGAAGAACGUAUAUUCAUGACGACUGAGAAGGAGCAAGGAACCUCGCGGUGGAGCGUCUGCAAGGAACCUUGCGCGUUUUCCCCUGUUUUUUGCCGCUUGCCCACCUAUAAACAAAUAAAAUAACAUGAACUCUUCGCUAACCACUAGAGACGAUACAUCAGGAUGCUAAGUUGAAGAUGUUUUAUACUUUAUAUUGAUAACCACGCAAGAAGCCACGCAUGUACAGGACACAUGCAGUCACGCAUGUACACAUGCCAACACACUAACUCAUGCUGAUCCAACUCAUGCACAUACACGCACAACAUAGAGCACACAGCGCACGUACACAACACAUGCAUGCACACACACUCGGCCACAGAAUGCACGUGAAUAACACAUGCAUGCGCACACAAUCGGUUGCAUGGAGGUGUGCGCCAUCUGCGGCGACGUCCAGUUCGUCCUGCUAUGGUGAAGCUCGCACACAACGGCGCCUACACAUCUCUUGGUGCACCUCUUUUCCGUCAUUGCUCAACGACUAGUCGGCGACGAAGACGACCGCAGCCUCGGCCUUACAGCUAGCACCAAUGGAAAAGCACGCACGCUGCAUGCACACGAGCACGUACGGAGUGCCCACGACGUGGUGCGUCCCCAGUCGCCUCUACUCCUUCUGCGCAUGUUGUCUAUCAAGGCGGCUGCAUGCCUAAUGAUGAUAUGGGUGAGAUCUUCUAGGACUAAGAUGAUGACGAGGAAAAUUAUGAGACUACCCACAGUGGGAGUAACAUAGGUAGUAACAUCACACAUGUCUAGAUAAGGUAGAUGAUGUGGCAGGCAAUAAAUGAUGAAAGAGAGGAAAGUAGUAACAUCACACAUAUCAAGGCAAGAUGUGUCUAUAGACUAAUAAAUAAAGUGUUGCAUGUUACCACACAUAUGUUACUAUAGAGGUAGUAACAUAGACUAGUAACAUGAGCAUGUUACUAGUCUAUGUUACUACCCAUUGUGGCUAGUCUGAGGGGGGUGUCUCCAACAGUGUUCCUCGGCUCGUACCUCUUGCAUCACAGUGGCAUCUCAGAUCUAGACACAAGGUGACGUACACCGUCAAGGUCCACGGUCAAGGGGCUCAGGGCGAACGCGACCUCUCACUGCGUCCGCCAUUUGAAGUGGCACACCGCCCAGGGCGCCGCCCACUGCACUCCCAGCUGUACCCGCCUCCUCGCCGCAUUCAAAAACCUACAUUUAAAACCGCGUGGAAUGGGAGAAACCAGCUCCGACCACACACUUCCGUUCAGGAGCAGGACGCCGACCAAGCUCCUCCUUCCACCAUUUUGUCCACUCUUUCGACGGCAUCCAACGAGCAGGAAGAGCAGUUCUCCAGCAUAAAAGCCGUCUGGGUGGCCCAUCGAGCCCGGCAGUUACGAGCGAGGCAGCUCGCUUCUCCACCUACCUCGCCUAGCCCUUGGGAGGAAGUUGCCGCACUAAGCCAGUGCAUGGUUCCGCAGCUGGCCUCUCCAAUACAGCUCAAGGAAUAGUGCUGACUUGCUCCAUGCCGGCUUGUCGAGGAGCACGGCGGCACGGGCAUCGUCGCUACCCUCGAUGCCGCCGCGAUGUAGAUCGCCUCUAGUGUUUGCGACUGCGCCAUCCGUCGUCGACACGCUUGUAGCCGCAACAUGCAGGCAGAUAAAAAAGCCGCCGGGAAUGUCGACGAGGUGAUGCGACUACACGGAUGUCGAUGAGGUGACGGGCAGCAUGUCCCCUCCCGCUGCCAUCAUCGAGGAGAAGUAGAACACGGGAGGCCGACGCCGAUUGUAUCCCAUGAAGGCCACCGCCGAGGCGACGCCGGUGAAUACAGCCAGUGUCUUGCACAAUUCUUCUUCUGCCGGAUGCUGGAGGAGGACAAAGGGAUCGGGCGGCGACCAUUAGAUUAGGUAUUUUAAUUCUACCAGGCUAGUUGUAAUGGGAGUAUUAUAAGUAGUAUCAUGCAUGCCAACUAGUAGUAGGCAAAUUUGAUGAGGUGCAUAGAAUUAAAUGAAGAAAGAGAGAGUUGAGUAUCAUAUUAUGAUACCGUAUGGAAUUAAGACCUCUUCAAUGCAAAUGUGCUUAGAUGAGAUGCUAAGUGUAUUAAAUGGCUUAGCAACUCAAGUCUCCAAUGCAUAGGUGCUUAGUUUGUUGUUGCUAAGCUUGCUUCAUUUAAUUAGCUAUACUCAAAAUUGUCUUCCCGCAGUUUCUUCCUGGGGUCACCAAACUAGUCUCUCUCUCUUCUUAAUUAACUUGCCACAUCAUAUUUUAUGCCUACGUGGCAGGCUUAGCAGCUAUACAUGGUGGAGCGCUAGGAGAGGCCAAGGCUGGUCAUAGUGGGGAGUAACUUAUACUGUAACAUAUUACUAUGUUACUCUAAACAUCUCUAUAAACCGGAAAGGAGGGAGUAGUAACAUAGACUAGUGUCAUAUGCAUGAAACUACUAGUGAAUAUGGGAGCACAUGAUAUUUCGCCGUCCGGACCGAUCCCAAGUUGGCUUCUCACCUUCUUGGCCCAACAAAAAAACCUCCCCCCACCCACACGUGCUUCCCGCCCGGCGCCAGCUGAGCCCGCCGCUCCACAUUGAUGGCAAGUCAGGGCGACGCGACCUCUCACUGCUUCCAUCGUUGAAGCAGCGCGCCGACCGAGGGCACCACCCGCUAUACGCCUGGCAUUUCAGACUACGCAGUGGAGAGUAACUUUAGAGCAAGUACUACAAUUAGAUGACAUAAGCAGGCUAUAAGGACUUAAAUAUAGUAUUUGUGCUUAGUUGAAGGAGAGAGAAGAGGAGAGAGAAGAGAAGUGGGUUGUAAACUUGUAGCCGGUUGUAGCAGGAGCUCCAACAUACUUUGUGAGACAACAGGUGGGGCCAUUAUUAAUGAUAUAGUAUUAUACUAAAGGGACUAACUAUUGUACUAGCAGGCUAUUAGGUUGGUUCUAGAUGAUGUGUCAACUUCAUAUAGCCGGAUGAUGGCUAUACUAUUAACCAUGCUCUAAGUGUGGUGUGAAUAGGUGAGUGUGAGUUGCACCACUUUUUAAUGUGAUCUAUUCUAGCAUUUGCAUCAGCAUGAUAAUAGUCACUCGCUAAGGAACUUGAGUACUUUAAAUGUGUGUUGUCAGACAAAUUUGUUGUUGGGACCAUCAUUGCCAAGCUUCCACCUUCGUGGAACAAUUUUGCUACUUCUCUGAAAAACAAGAGACAUGAGUUUUCCGUUUUGGAUCUCAUUAGCACUCUUGAUUUUGAAGAGAAGGCGAGAGUAAAAGACACACGUGCUCGGGUCGCUGAGGGAGCUUCUAGUGCCCACAUGGUACACGAGAAGAACUUCCAGCCCAACUAGCCCCAAAACAACAAGAAGUGCAGCCAAAGGUGGAAAUCAACUAAGGACUUAUGAAAUUAUAUAUAAUCUUCCUCAGGCAAGUCAGUAUCCCCUUCAUCUAGAUGAUCGUGUUUUGUCAUGCCGAGCUAUUGAUAUGUGCUACUGUUUUGCAACACCGUUUAAGUAUAGCUAUUAUUUUCCUAUCUUUUCAGAUUCAAGACAAUGAAGAUGACUUCAAGGGAACUGCACAAUAUGGACUCAUAUUGAGUCAUCUCUAUUGCCUCAUGUGUUUGCUGCAAAUGAGUCAGCAUCAAUUGCAAGAUGAGGCAGCUAGCUAGCUGUGGAGUUGCCAACAUGCUCAAAGUGCUCGCAACAUUGAGAAGAAACAAGCAUGCCCAAGAAAUUAAUGCGUGCGCAGGGAGGCCCUUUGCUCAGAGAAGCAUCAACCGAUUUUCCUUAUUUCCACACCUUCUCACAGCUUUGUAUUGGUUAUAGUAUAGCUCGCUCUCCCGCUUCCGUCUCCCCCCAAUUCCCCCCGCUCCCCAUCUUCCUCACUCGUCUAGAAAACCCCCCGCUCACCUUCUUCCUCACUCAUACAGAAAAUGCCUGCUCCUCUUAUUCCACUCCUACAGAAAUCCCCAGCCCUCCUUCUUCCCCACUCGCACUGCCACAAGGCUCGUCUCUGGCUACUCUGCUCAAAUCCGUGAUCUCGGCGCGACACCCACAAGGAAAAUGGAGUCGGCUGGCCCCAGCGCCAAGAANNNNNNNNNNNNNNNNNNNNNNNNNNNNNNNNNNNNNNNNNNNNNNNNNNNNNNNNNNNNNNNNNNNNNNNNNNNNNNNNNNNNNNNNNNNNNNNNNNNNNNNNNNNNNNNNNNNNNNNNNNNNNNNNNNNNNNNNNNNNNNNNNNNNNNNNNNNNNNNNNNNNNNNNNNNNNNNNNNNNNNNNNNNNNNNNNNNNNNNNNNNNNNNNNNNNNNNNNNNNNNNNNNNNNNNNNNNNNNNNNNNGGUGGACCGCAUCAGCGAUCUCCCAGACGUCAUCAUUGAGGAGAUCAUCUCGCUUCUCCCCACCAAGGAUUGUUGCCGCACACAAGUCCUCUCAACUCGGUGGCGCCCUCUAUGGCUCACCGCGCCCCUCAAUCUCUAUUGUCAUCAGAUAUCUGUCCUUCCUGAGUUUGAUCUCCUCAGAGCCAUCGUCUUAUCUCACCAGCAGGGCCCCAUUCAACGUCUCUGCAUCCCGACAUGCUACAUGAUGUCCAUACCCGGCACGGUGGAUGCUUGGCUGACAUCCCCUAAAUUUAGAAAACUCCAGCAGUUUGAGUUUUACCAUUACUACGAAAGUUUUCAUACGACAAACACACCAAGAAUUUGUGCCCACACCACCGUUGUCCAUCUCGCCGUUUUCCUCCUCUCUCCACACCGCUACCUUCACCCGGUGCCAUCUAUCAGACGAUCUGGUACAAAUGCUUCGACUCCCACUGCUAAAAAAACUUCCACUUGUGGUGGUUUAUCUGCCGGAGGCCUCACUGCACAUCAUCAUCCACUCCAAUUGCCCUGCCCUGGAGCACUUGUUGAUUGUUUUGGGAAUAUAAAUCCCUAUCAGUUGCCUCCAAAUAAAGCCGCCUCACCUUAAAAGCAUUGGAAUUUGUUUUGAAGGACAGCAGCUCAUCAUCGAAUAUGUCCCUUCACUUCAAAGGUUGCUCCUUGAUGAUUGUUGUAAACCUUCACAGAUAACUGUCGUCUCUACGACCAAACUGGAGACCUUGGGUGUAAUUCGUGACCCGUUUAAUUAUCACAAGAAGUUGGUGUUUGGCUCCUCACUUUUUCAGGUACUGGAUAUUAUCAUCUACACAUUUGUAAUCAUAAGUUGCAUUUUUCAUUUGUGUGCAUAAGUUUUAUAUCAUCUUGGAGUACACUUUGGGUACUAAUAUUAUGUUAUAUGCUCAAUGAAGAGUUCGUCCAUUGAUAGCCUAUCAAUGCUACUGGAUUCUGUCAAGAUCUUAUAUAUCGGAAUGUUUAGUUUUGAUCUGAACAUAAUUAUUGUCUUGUUGCAAUGCUUUCAAUCUCUGGAGAAUUUAUAUAGAGAGGUGAUGAUUUCAUGCACAUUGAAAGCCCGUAUAUAUUGUACUAGAAUUAACCGUUCAGCUGUGUUCUUUCGACAUACUCAUUUUUUAGACCUUGAUUGUUUUCAAUCUUCAUGUCUACUUAGGCACAACCACAUGGAGCAAAACAUAUAACCAAUCGGUGGCGUAAUAAGCACCAGGAUUUUCUCAGUUCUCAUGACAUUCGUUUGAGGACAAUAACAAUGGAAGGAUAUGCAUCCAACCAGGCAAACAGAAGCUUUGUCACAUUCUUCCUGUUGAAUGCAAGGUUACUAUUGUCCAUGAGGCUUAAAUUUUACCGCAAGAGAUUCCUCACGGACGGACACGUUGAACAGCAAAAGAAGAAGUUUCAGGUGGACAAAUGGGCUUCUAAACGUGCUCGUCUUCUAUUUACAACAAGUUGUAGUCAUCCUGAAAUAAAUUUUUUUGCAUAGGAUGUUGAUUUUAUGGAUCAGACCGAUCCAUUUGUUUGUGACUGCGAAAAAGAGUGGUUGGGUUAGAUGUUACUGCCAUGUUCAAUCUGGGUUUUGUCUAAAAAUUUGAUGAACAAUUAAUCCUUGUGCUUUUUCUACCAUUUGUAAGCUUGAGUUGCAUGUUGUUGCCCUCGUACUCCCCUCCACCUGCCACUACACUGUCGCAUCUUCCACGGUUGUUGUUCGUUCCCGUCCGAGGCCUUGUCGUCGUUCUCCGCCUUGGUUCGCUCGUUGUGCCCGCCAUUGUCUGGUGUUGUCAACAUGGUCAACAACCAAGAGGAAUCAGGAGAUGAUUGUACGUGGAGAGGCUGACAGUAGGGACCCACCAGGGUCAUUGCAUUACGCAAGCUGGUGCCUCAUUAUUACAAGCCAAAAAAAUACUUCCUCCUAAUUGUUUGACAACUAGGUCCCAUGCCAUUGUCAAUGUAGUCAAUAAACGAGAAAAUUACACAACGACGGAUAACACCAGGGACCCAGCAGCUCACCCAGUUUUUUUAACCUGGAAGAAUGCAGGGCUUACACCCCACAGCAUUUUAUUGAUCUUGCAAAAAAGCACUGUUCAAGAUAUCUUCCGAUAUUCUGAUAAAUCGGCCGAUUUAUCGCUUACUGUUAUCUGACCGAUAAGAUAAAUCGGUCGAUAAAUCAGAUGAUAUGGCAAUAAAUCGGUCGAUAUGUCGAUAAACAGGCCGAUUUACCCCUUACCAUAGGUCGGCCGAUAAGUUCCCGAUAAGCGAUAUCCCCAACAUUGCAAAAAAGAAUACAAAAGGUUCCUUAAGAAAAGGAACAAAACAGAAAAGAAACACUAUACAAGCUAACCUAAGAGUAAGCACUAAAAUCUAAAAAGAAGAAAAGAAAGAUUACAUCUGGGAAACACCUCAAGGAGGCAGGAAAUCAAUCCAUUUGAUCAAAGCAUUUCUGUGUCUGGUCUUGAUCCUGUGUGCUGGGAGAGAGAUGUCAUGGAUAAAACCAUUCCUCCACUGCCUGAAAGUAGGUCUGAUGUGCCUAAAGGCUUUAUCAUUCCUGACUUUCCAAAUAUUCCACCAUGUAAGGAAGGCCACUUCUGAGAAAAAGGGUUUAUUAAAAUCCUUCCUAGCAUGAAGCGCAAUGUGCACCAUGUCCUGACUAUCCAACCAAUUUAUUUGAAGAUAAUUCCACACUCUCAUGCUAAAGUUGCAUUGAAAGAAUAAGUGGUUCCUGUCCUCAAGCGCUCCCAUGGGGAAAAGUACACAUUCAGGCCCAUCAUUAAUUCUCCAAUGUCUAUGUUGAAUCAUAUUCUUGGUGUUUACUCCGUCCAUAAUGACAAGCCAUGCAAACAUUUUAAUUGUCAUGGUAUAACAAGAUCUCUAGACCCAACUGAGAAUGGGAUUGGUAUGCAUUGGCUGAUGUACAAAGUCAUAAUACUUCUUUGAUGUAUACUCAGAUUUCUUCCCAUGCCUCCAAGCCCAAGAGUCAUUGCAAUCAGUAUCCAGGGAGAUCCCUGUCAAAAUGCCAGAAAGUUGAUUAAACUCCCUAAAAGCCAAUUUAGACAAGGGUAGAGAGAACAUGCUCUGCAAGUCUCCAGCUUGUGACACUUCCAUAACAGAGAGAGUCUUCUGUAGGCAGAAAGAAAAGAGCCUGGGAAAUCUAUCCUGAAGAGGGAUGCAUGAGUUAUCAAUCUCCCAAGAGUUAGACCAGAAAAGCACAGAAUCUCCUCUUCCAACUGUAACCGAGGUAACAGCCCUAAAUUUAUCCAUUAAUUUGCAGAUAUCUCUCCACCAAAAGGAACCACACAAAGUAGUGUCAUGAGGAACUCUCUGAAAAUAAUAAGAGUCCCAAACCAAAUGAACCCAAGGUACAUCUGCUCUGUUAUAGAAUUUGUUGAGGUAUUUCAGAAGCAAAGCCUCAUUUUGCAGACCCAGAUUGAGUAUUCCAAGCCCACCCUUAAGCUUGGGCCUACAGACCAGAGGCCGGGCAGCCAAAGAUUGCCCCUUCUCCUGACCAUAUUUUCUCCACAGACACUGCCUCUGAAUUCUUUCCAAUUGCUUCAGAAUUCCCUGUGGUAUAUCCAGACUGCAAAGGAGAAAAAUGGGCAAUGAAGAGAUAACAGAGUUUACCAACUACAGCCUGCUACCCUGGGGCAGAAACCAGGAGCUAGCAGUUAACCUUCUUUCCAUGCAGUCUACCAAAGGUAGAAAAUCAACAAUUUUGGGCCUAGUUGUUCCCACUGGCAAUCCUAAAUAUGUGAAAGGCAUUACACCUAACUGACACCCAAAUUGUGCAGCAAGGGCAGAGGCAACAUUGGCCUCCACAUUAAUUGGGUACAUUGAGGAUUUGUGAAAGUUGAUCUGCAAUCCAGUUGCCAAAGAGAAGGAAUUCAAAACUCUUUUAAGCACCUCCAACUAGGCAAAAUCAGCAGACAAAAAAGCAAUGUAUCAUCUGCAUAUUGUACCACUAGAUAGUCAGGGUCAUGUGUUGCCAGAGGCAAAGAAAGAAGGCCAUGAUUCAAAAGAUCAUUUAUCAUAGUCUGCAACAGAUCAGCAGCAAUCACAAAUAGCAAAGGUGAGAUAGGAUCACCUUGCUUAACACCACACUUGCACUUGAAAUGCUUUCCAGGUACACCAUUUGGUAAGAUUGAGGAGGUUGCAGAUGACAACAACUGCUUAACCCAGGAGAUCCAUUUGUUAUCAAACCCCUUUGCCACCAGGAUUUUUAUAAUUGCCUCAUGCUGAAUAGAAUCAAAUGCUUUUUCAAAGUCUAGCUUGAGCAACAUGAUUGGCUUUUUUUGAUUGGUUACACUAAUGGAUGUACUCAAAGGUCCAGGCAAUACAGUUCUGAAUUGUUCUUGACUUGAUAAAACCAUAUUGAUUCUUAUGCACACAUUUGGUGAUUUCUUCCUGAAAUCUGUUAGCAGCAAGCUUAGUGAGGAAUUUCAACCCCAUACUUUUCAAAGAAAUUGGCUUAAAAUCUCCAGUAGUCUCAGGAGAUAGCUUCUUAGGGAUCAAUGUAAUGAAGGCCUCAUUGAGAUUUUCCAACUGAGCAGUUCCAGCAUGGAACUGCUUCACCAGUGUAAUGAAAUCACUGGAAAUGAUCGGCCAACACUUCUUCAUAAAAAGCCCAUUAAAGCCAUCAGGGCCUGGUGCCUUGUCAAUUGGCAACUCUCUAAUAACAUGUUCAAUUUCUUUAACUUCAAAGGGUUUGUGAGCACUUCCAGUCCCUGCACCCGAGGAAUAAGAGAGAGAAUGUCAUUGCGCAUCGGAAUUGGCUUUACAGUUCCCAUUCUGCUCUUAAAAACCUCUAGAAAUUCCUUGGCCAUCAUUCCAUGGUUUGAGGAAACUGUACCAUCAGACAGCUGCAGACUGGCAAUAGAAUUUUUUUCUAUAUCUUUCAGUUGCCAUGACUUGGAAGAAUUUUGAGUUUUCUUCACCAACUUUGAUAUAUCUAAUAGUGCAUCUUUUCUUCCAAUAUAAGAACUACAAAUGAAGAAGAUGCUCAUGGUGCAUCUUCACCAAUUUCCUGAAAUUGGAUUCAGUUCUGAACAAAGACCUCAAAUCUUCCAAAUGAUCCAACCAGAGGAUCACCCAGUUGCACUUCUCAAUCAGUGUUUUAAUAUGUGACAAACCCUUCUGCCAUUUCUUAAGUGCAAACCUCCAUGAUUUUAAUUUGUCCAUAAUAACUGUUGAUAUAUGAGUUUUCAGAGAAGGUUUUUUCCACACCUCCUAAACACACUCCAUAAAGCCAGGUUGAUGUACCCAAUAAUUUUCAAAUCUGAAGAUAUGAGCCUUUGGGAUGGUUGUGCAGAUGGAAACUACACAAGGAACAUGAUCUGAAGCAGUUUUAGCAAGAGGUGUUACUUGCGUAUUGGGGUACUGACUAAUCCAACUGGCAGAGAUAAAAAAACCAAUCCAAUUGUUCAAGGAGUGGAGAAUCCUGCAUGUUGGACCAGGUAAAUCUUCUCCCCUUGAGGGGUAGUUCCAACAGACCCAAAUGACCAAUGAUCUCAUUGAAGAUGAAGAUAUCAUUGACAUCACCACCAGGAAGAUUUCAAUUAUCCAAAGAUCGUAUGAAAUUAAAAUCUCCCAACAACAUCCAAUUCUGCUCCGGUUCUACUUGUAGAUUGUAAAGCCAAUUAACAAACUCAUCUCUUAAAGCACCCUGGCAAGGCCCUACGUUUACCAUAAACCAUUGAUCAUCAUUAUGCACAGAUUUGAAACUAAUCACAAUACCAAAGGGUUUAACUUCAGUUAAAGACCUGAGAAAAAGUCUGAACGCCACACAGUCAAAAUUCCACCAGAAGCUCCUCUUGAAGGAGAUUCAAUGAAUUGAUCAAAACCCGCGGGACAAAUGCUCUUAAUUAAAUGACGAGGGAAAUUCGAGAGCUUAGUUUCUUGCAAACAGACAACUGCACACUGACUUUCAGUCACUUUUUGCCUAACAGCACGUUGCCUUGUUUCAGAAUUCAAUCCACAGACAUUCCAAGACAAAACCUUCCAGUUACGCAUUGACAUUCGAUUCAUAAAGUAACAUAUAAUAGCGCAACAGAACCAGCAUGACACACAGUGCCAUACAACCUAAGUCAUAACAGAUCAAAAGUGCCAAGUCUCGAUCGAACUGCAUAAGUUUAAGAACGACAUAAAUGAAAGCAAAUUUAACAGGCUCGCUACACCUAUAUAAAGCCUUAAACAUUAACAUUUAAGCACUAUCGGAGGAGGAGGAGUCCUUGGGAUUAGCCAUAAGCUUCUCCCUAGACAGCAGCUUGGGGUCAAUUUCCAGCUCAGCUCUGAUUGCUUGCAACACUAGGAGAGGCGUCUGAGGAGGAACAUCUUCAGACUUCUCAUUGCCAGCAGCAUCUUCAGAAUUGGGCCGGGCCUUCUCUUCUAUGGGCUUGGAACGAGGGUGCCUUUUGGCGGGCUAAAGUGAGAGUUGCUCAAAGAUAACCGGUUUGAAACCAUCUAGCUUUGCCGCGCUUCUCGUGCACCUUCUCACCAAGGUGUCCAACAAGGGGGCAGACACCUUCCGUUUGCCUCGCAGAUUCUUUUGCUUGAUCUGCGACUCAGCAGAAAAAACCACAGGUGAAGAAAUCUCCUCCGAGCCUCUUGCACCACAGCCUCAGGCACAGACAACUCACUAGUUGCCAUAGCUUCAGGCACAGCCGCUCCAGUCAUAGCUUGUGCAGACAGAUGAUCGUUAGAACCAGAGGAAACAUCAUCAGAUAAACCUCCAAACAACAAUCUGGCAACUGGGCGCGCAGUCACAACAGUUUUAUUGCGAGGCAGAAUGCUAGGCAACCUUGGCACCAACAAAGACAUCCUCAGGGAAUCAUCAAAAGCAAUUGACCACUUGCACUUGGAAUAGGUGACUGUACCAAGUGGCUUAAAGAAGAUAGACCUGGGCACAGUUUUAACUAAAAAAUCAGACAUCAAAUUUUCAAAAGAUCUCUUCCAAAUCAUCUCAGGUGGAAGAGGAGGUCCUGCCACAUUCCUAGCCAUCCCAAUGAAGAUCUGAUGAUGCUGAAUGACAGGUGGUUGAUAAGGGACAAUAGUCAAAGGAUUUUCCACAACUACAGGUUGGUCUUGAACCUGAAAGAGCUUCUCAGGCAUAGGUUGAUGUUGCUACUCAUUUACCUGAAUAUGCUGCUCAACAGACCCAGAGCCCUCUGGUUGAUCAAUGACAAUAGAAAUUUGAUCCUAUUCUGGCGCAGCAGGCUGCGGGGGCUGAUUAAUCUCCUCAUCAUUGUCCCCUAGUGAGCAUGUCCCCAAUCAACAUCCACAACGUUAUCUGGUGGCGGAGGAGGAGCAAGUGGUGCAUCAUUCCACUCCAACAUUGGGUAGGGAGGAAGAACAAAAGGUAAAUUAUCAGGUAUUAAAUGACCAGGCAUUGGAUGAGGAUUACUAUCCAAUGGCAUUGGAUCCUCAUCAUUUGGCAUUUGAUCAGCAAAGUCUGCCCCUAGCACAUAACAAGCAGCCGUCCAUGAAACCUGAGCACCACCCCCCCCCCAAUCAGCAUAAUCUCCAAAGACAACAUCUCUUGGUACCAGAGGCGUAUCAGGAAAGCUUGCCUCAACCAAAGUACGGACUAGGUACGGAUCUUCACUAUCCCAAGAGUAAAAUUUACCAAAAGUACCUACUGCUUGCAAGAUAUACUCUGUCGUGCGGUAAUCUAGAGGGAUCCCAACAAACAUGAGCGAGCCCUUACAAAAACCAUGACUCCCCUUGAAAUUCUCUCCCUCAUCAUGUUUCAAGAAUCUAACAAAUCGAUCAUUGCCUAGAGCAAAAGGUGGAUGCUGAAUCAAAGUGUAUCUGACAGACGGAUCCCGCACCUGGAAUAAACCAACCCCAUGAAACCAUGGCUGAGCAGAGCGGACAAGAGUACCUCUGUUCUGAAGAAACUGCACAAUCUCCUCUCUCACUGGCCCAAGAUGUAACGCCCCGGAUUCGAUGCGCCAGGUGUCCGCCAGUUAUUCGCUUUCAUUGCCAUGUCAUUUGCUUGCGUGUUGCAUAUUGAUAUGUCAUCAUGUGCAUUUCUUUUUGCAUAUGUGUUCGUCUCAUGCAUCCGAGCAUUUUCCCCGUUGUCCAUUUUGCAAUCCGACACUCCUAUGUCCUCCGGCGUCCCCCUUUUGUCUCUUGUUGUGAGCGGGUGUCAAACAUUCUCAGAAUGGACCGAGGCUUGCCAAACGGCCUUAGUACACCACCGGUAGACCGCCUGACAAGUUUCGUUCCAUUUGGAGGUCGUUUGAUACUCCAACGGUUAACCGGGGAACCGUAAAGCCCUCUUUUUUUGCAGCCCAACACCCCUUCAAAGUGGCCCACUAACCCAGCAAACUCCCCUCCAUGCUCUCGGUCGUUGGAUCAUGAUCGUGUGGGCAAAAACGCACAUCAUUUGGAGUCUCCUAGCUCCCUCUACCUAUAAAUAUGUGAUCCCCUCCGAUUUUCACACAGUCCAACCCUAGCCCUCUCCCUCCUGGCGCCGCCGGACAUGUCCGCCCGGCAGCCGGACACGUCCACCGUCGCCUCCACGUCGCCCGGACCAAUCCGGGGACGCCACGUCAGCGCCGCUGCCUCCCUCCUCCACUCACGCGUCGCCACGUCGCCUCCUCUCUCUCCCGCACCCGCCGCGGCCCGCUCGGUCCAGAUCGGGCCCGCCCAUGCCUAUCCGGGCCCGUGCCGCCCGCGCUCGCCCUCCGCGCCUGUCGGUUCUCCCGCGCCGCCGCUCGCUGGCGUCCCCCGCCAGAGCAGACCGCCGCCAUCGCCGGCCACCAUCGUCGCCUNNNNNNNNNNNNNNNNNNNNNNNNNNNNNNNNNNNNNNNNNNNNNNNNNNNNNNNNNNNNNNNNNNNNNNNNNNNNNNNNNNNNNNNNNNNNNNNNNNNNNNNNNNNNNNNNNNNNNNNNNNNNNNNNNNNNNNNNNNNNNNNNNNNNNNNNNNNNNNNNNNNNNNNNNNNNNNNNNNNNNNNNNNNNNNNNNNNNNNNNNNNNNNNNNNNNNNNNNNNNNNNNNNNNNNNNNNNNNNNNNNNNNNNNNNNNNNNNNNNNNNNNNNNNNNNNNNNNNNNNNNNNNNNNNNNNNNNNNNNNNNNNNNNNNNNNNNNNNNNNNNNNNNNNNNNNNNNNNNNNNNNNNNNNNNNNNNNNNNNNNNNNNNNNNNNNNNNNNNNNNNNNNNNNNNNNNNNNNNNNNNNNNNNNNNNNNNNNNNNNNNNNNNNNNNNNNNNNNNNNNNNNNNNNNNNNNNNNNNNNNNNNNNNNNNNNNNNNNNNNNNNNNNNNNGUCGCCGCCCCAUCGCCGGCCCCCUCCGCCGCCUCCCUCCUCGUCUCCGGCGCCAGCUCCAGCGAGAGCUCGGCCCCGCCUCGAUCUGGAUCUGAAGGUUGACUUCCCGCCCCCUCGAUUUUUCUCUAAGUCCUGAAAAUAGUUGCAUUCUGGUCCCCUGUUCAUCGCAUCAUAUCUCCUAGCAUAUAGCUCUGUUUUGUGCGUGUAAUAUAUCAAAAUGUUCAUUGGGAGAUGCUCUUCACUUUGUUACAUUGUCCCAUGCUUGUUUGAGCCCACCUUGAUGCUCUAAUCAUCGUUGCAAGAGUGCUAUAUGAUGUUAACUGAUGUCUGUUAACAGAACUUGAUGAUUUGUCAUUUUUGUUGCAUUUGAUGUGUCCAUCUUAUGAGCUUGAUGUAUACAUCAGUUUUGAUCUACAUCAUGCCAUCUUUAUAGGGGUGCAAUCCAUGUAUUUUUGUGAGUCUUGUAGUGACUGCAUCAAGCUUGUUAAGUAGGGUACUUGCUGUUACUAUUUUGCUAGGCUGAAUCUGUUAUUUCGUGAUGCUAUGCAAACCUGCUGCUACAAGUCAUUCUAUGCAUAAUAUGGAGAUGUUCACUAAGGAUGUUUUGUUAUACAUGUCAUGCUCUAUCCACCCAUGCCCCUGUUUGCAUUUAUAGCUUGCUGUAGAUUGUUCAUAUCAUGCUCCAAAAUUGCUAAAUAAUGUUGUUGUCAGCCUGUUAACAUUAAGUUCAGUUUUGCCAUGAGCUUUGCUAGUGAUCCAUGCACCCUAUGAACUUUCUCUUGCCAUUAUUAGCUUCAUAAAUAUGUAAUAUUACUGUUAGUCACCUUGUCAUGCCAUGUAUUGCUCUGUGGUGAGUGGUACAAGUUCACCAACAUGCCUACUUAUUGUUGUUCCUGCCAUGUCUGAAUCUGUCAUAUCAUCUGCCAUGUUUACAUGGUUGUCAUCAUAUCUUCUGAUCCUUUUUGGCUCAUAGUCAGUAAAGGAUUUUUGUUCUAUGCGUUUGGUAUAUUCAUGAUGUGCCUUAAGUUUCUAUGAUAAGUUCCUGUAGCAUGUUGUUUGAUAGCUCUAAACAUUGCAACCUGAUGUUGUUUCUGCUAAACCUGUAAACUGUUAUUAUUUGCAAUCUUGCCAUGUCUUUUUGAGCAUGUUAUCGUGUUUUCUGGAGUUAGCUCAGUGUACAUGUUUUGUCAUGCUUUACCUGUACUUAAUGCACAUGCCUUUUUUCUUAUGUUGAGGUGCUGUUGCAUAUUGUUUUGAUGCUUGCUAGAUGCCUAGAUGCUGUUUUGGACAGCUUGUCCUUUAAACUUGUUUCAUGUGUAUGUGUUGAACCGUUGCUCCGUUUUGGGUGUGCUCUAUAUGAAACUUGCUUAGUUUUGCAUGUAGUUUCAUAUUAUCAUGUUGCGUCCUUAUUUUGAGGUGUUUGCUUGAUGUUUGUAUGCAUUUUGCAUCAAUGUCAUGCUUAACGUGUUUUGCUCAUAUCUUCUAGGCCGUAGCUCCGAACUAAAUGAACUUUAUAUGUAACUUGACUAGAAUCUCGUGUACAUCAUGUUGGUGCAUCUUAACUUGCUGUUUAACAAUUUGAACAUAAGGUUUAUUCAUAUCUGCACCAAUUUCGAAAUUUGCAUAUGAGGACUUACCGGAAUUGUUAUAUGUUGUUUCCGGCCUCAUUUAAACUUGCUUUGAUGUGUUGCUCUUGUAUGCAUCAUCUCUGGCCAUGAGUAGCUUCAUGUAGCCUUGUCAUGCAUCAUACUUGGUUGAGCAUCAUGUCUUGUUCAUGUGUGGUGCGUUUACCAUGUUGUGUGCUUCUUCUCGAUAGUUCCUGUUUCGUUGCGAUCGUGAGGAUUCGUUCGUCUAUGCUUGGUUCGUCUUCGUGGCUUCAUCUUCUUCAUGGACUCGUUCGUCUUCCUAGCGGGAUUUCAGGCAAGAUGACCGCUACCCUGGAUCUCACUACUAUCAUUGCUAUGCUAGUUGCUUUGUUCUAUCGCUAUGUUGUGCUACCUAUCAUUUGCUCUUCAAGCCUCCCCAAAUUGCCAUGUCAGCCUCUAAUCUUUUCACCCUCCCUAGCAAACCAUUGUUUGGCUAUGUUACCGCUUUUCCCAAACCCUCUUAUAGCGUUGUUAGUUGCAGGUGAAAUUGAAGAUUGCCCCAUGGUGGACAAGAUUAUGUUGGGAUAUCACAAUAUCUCUUAUUUAAUUAAUGCAUCUAUAUACUUGGUAAAGGGUGGAAGACUCGGCCUUAUGCCUGGUGUUUUGUUCCACUCUUGCCGCCCUAGUUUCCGUCAUAUCGGUAUUAUGUUCCCGGAUUUUGCGUCCCUAACGCGGUUGGGUGAUUUAUGGGACCCCCUUGACAGUUCGCUUUGAAUAAAACUCCUCCAGCAAGGCCCAACCUUGGUAUUACCAUUUGCCUCACCACCACCUACUUUUCCCUUGGGAGUAAUUAACCCAAGGGUCAUCUUUAUUUUAGCCCCCCCCCCCCCCGGGCCAGUGCUUCUCUAAGUGUUGGUCUGAAUCGAGCAGCCUGCGGGGCCACCUCGGGGAAACUCAAGGUUUGGUUUUACUCGUAGCUUGACUUAUCCGGUGUUGCCCUGAGAACGAGAUAUGUGUAGCUCCUAUCGGGAUUGUUGGCGCAUCGGGUGGCUUUGCUGGUCUUGUUUUACCAUUGUUGAAAUGUCUUGUAACCGGGAUUCCGAGACUGAUCGGGUCUUCCCGGGAGAAGGAAUAUCCUUCGUUGAUCGCGAGAGCUUAUCAUGGGCUAAGUUGGGACACCCCUGCAGGAUAUGAACUUUCGAAAACCGUGCCGUGGUUAUGUGGCAGAUGGGAAUUUGUUAAUGUCCGGUUAUAGAUAACUUGACACCAGAUACAAUUUAAAACACAUCAACGGCGUGUGUAGCCGUGAUGGUCUCUUUUCAGCGGAGUCCGGGAAGUGAACACGGUUUUGGAUUAUGUUUGACGUAAGUAGGAGUUCAGGAUCACUUCUUGAUCAUUGCUAGCUUCACGACUGUUCCAUUUGCUCUCUUCUCGCUCUUAUUUGCGUAUGUUAGCCACCAUAUAUGCUUAGUCGCUGUUGCAACCUCACCACUUUACCCCUUCCUUUCCCAUUAAGCUUUGCUAGUCUUGAUACCCAUGGUAAUGGGAUUGCUGAGUCCUCGUGGCUCACAGAUUACUACAACAACAGUUGCAGGUGCAGGUUUUGCGAAGAUCAUGACACGAGAGCGAUGUUUGCUUGUUUUGGAGUUCUUCUUCUGCUUCUUCUUCGAUCGGGGGAUAGGUUCUAGGUCGGCAGCCUGGGCUAGCAGGGUGGAUGUCGUUUGAGCUUCUGUUUGUGUUUCAUCCGUAGUCGGAUGUCGUUCUCAUGUAUGAUAUAUUCUUGUAUUCAUGUGUCAUUGGAUGUAUUGGAUGUAUCCCCACUAUUAUGUAAUGUUGAUGUAAUGAUAUCCACCUUGCAAAAGCGUAUCAAUAUGCGGUUCUAUCCUUGGUGGGACCUUCGAGUCUUUUUAGGAUAGUAUCGCAUAUUGGGUGUGACACAAGAGGUCCCUCCGGAGCAGGCAUGACCUCAGCAACCAUGUAAUCUUCAUGGCGAUGAGGGGGAUGAGUUGCAGGAGUGAAGAAGGUGUGCGGGAGAUGCCGAUCCCCACCAUCAAUGAUGUGGUGUCCCGCCGGCACAAGGCGAUGCGGGUCAAGCUCGAAGUUCGACAUGGCCGGUUGAAGUGGCGAUGAGCAAAGGUUUUCUUUGGAUGGGAGAGGAGGAGAUUGGAGCAAUGUGGGCAGCGGCGAUGUGACUGGGCAGGCUAUCCCAAUAACUCCGGCUCCCUUCCCCUGACCAGCCGAGGAUUCCGAAAUACUCGUGUUUUGUUGCAGAGAAAUUGGCCUCCAAACCAAUCCAUUGAAACAUGUGAAAUCAUUACAGUCUUGUCUAGAGUGACCCACAUGAGAGCAAGCCGAGCAGACCGCGCGCAUUCCACAAGAGACUGCCAGGUGGCCCCUCUGAGAGCAAAUAGUACAGGUUAGAACCCGCUCCACCAUGUCAUCGACCAUAGCAUCAAACUGCCGGGCUGCCUCUUGUGAAGAUGGGAUUUCUAGCUAGCCCAUCAUCGGGCUUGGGUCGAGUGAUGUAUUUGGACCAAGAGAUGGCCCAAUAGGCGUGGGUUCAGAAAGUGGCCCAACAGAAGCUUGGCAAUCCUGGCUCAUAGGGCAAGCGCACGGUGGGUUUUCCAUAUGGGAUGGGCCCGUCCCUAAACAGGCAUUUUGAACUAGAGAGGUUCCCGCCUCCGCAAAUCGCGCCAAGAGAUUCCCGGAAACCACGGGUUGUGGAUCCAUAGAUACCGGGCUACACGGCAGCACCGUGGCCUGCUGGUGCAACUCUGGCAAUGGCAUGACAGUACCAAACAUGAUGGGUGGUCGAGCCACCGUCCAAUGCAAGUCUAGGGCAGGCGAUUGCCGAAUCACAACACGCUCAUGAGAAGAAAGAUCAUAUCCUCCAUCAACUAUAGUAUCAAUGCAUUUUUGACUAGCCGGAUAUCUAUAGCCUUUGCAAGCAGAAUAAUGUUCAAACAUGGCAAAAUAAAGCUUCUUCCUUACUGAACUUUAAGAUUUUAAAGAAGAUCUAACCGGGGGCUUAUGCAUGGCCAUUAAACCUAGCGAUGACCUACGCUUGGUAGGUCUAAUAAAUAUCCAUUCUGCAUCACAUUCCUUUCGCUAGAUCUUAAGCUCCCAAACCCAAUUAGGUCCUCCAUUACCCCAAAGGUGAAAAUAGCACUUGAACAGAUCACAAGCAAAAGAACGAAGAUCCAUAAUAAUAAAACCAACUUGCUUGCAAGAGACUUGGAAAGAGUAAACCUUGUCCUUGAUAUGACUAACCCGAAGAUCAAUUGCCGAUCAACCAAGCGCAGCUUCCAGUGCCGCCACCAUAGAAUCUUCCGACAACCGAAAAGCGUGUCAACUGAAAGACACGAUCACAAUGAAGGCCCUCCCUCGUCCCAACGGAUGGAUAGUGCGACCAGUAGAUUUGAAAACCUCAUCAGAAAAACCCUACCCUUGGAGAAAUCCAAGCCAAUGGUAGAUCCACCAGAUGAACCCAUAGAAGAUGGGUAUUGCCUUGAUCCAGAGGAGGCACUGGAGAAGAUGGUUGGAAGAGAUCCACAAAUUAGUGGAGGAGGAUGGAGAUCGCCGGAGGAGAGGUCAGCGCCGUGGUGGGAGCUGGAAGCGCCAUCCUAGAUAUGAAGGCCCUCCCUCGUUCCAACGGAUGGAUUGUGCGACCAGUAGAUCUGAAAACCUCAUCAGAAAAAACCCUACCCUUGGAGAAAUCCAAGCCAAGGGUAGAUCCACCAGAUGAACCCAUAGAAGAUGGGUAUUGCCUUGAUUCAGAGGAGGCGCCGGAGAAGAUGGUCGGAAGAUAUCCACAAAUCAGUGGAGGAGGAUGGAGAUCGCCGGAGGAGAGGUCAGCACCGUGGUGGGAGGUGGCAGCUCACCCAGUUGUUAUUUCGCUUCAGAGACGGAGCUCAACUGCGCGUUGUGCGGGGGCUGUGGCCCGUCUAGCCCAUGCUUACGCUUUUAUUUAAGCACAUGACGAGCCAAGUUGGUAUAUUUUUUCUUUCUGAAAAUGGCUAGCCCGGUUCUUUUUUUUUGGAGAAUACCAAAACCAAGGCCUACUUGCUUUUCUCAGCCCUACUGGGCUGCAAAUCUUUCAAGACAAGGAGGGAUGUAAGUAGUAAGAAAUGGGCUUCCCCAGAAAAUGGGCUAUAAGUUGUAAGAAAUGGGUUGUAAAUUUUUAAACCAAAGCCAACCGACAAUUACAUUAAAAUAUCAUUUUUCUGGAUUUCUCUAAUCUCUACUCUUAUAAAAACCAAAGCCAACUGGCAAUUACAUUAAAAUCUCAUCUUUUCUCCCACAAGAUAAACUACUCAUACAAAUGCAUCUUUAUGUUAUGUGCAACAAACGGGCAUCUUGCUAGCUAAGAUUUUAAAUUUCAUUCAUUUCUUUUGCGGAGAAUUGUUUUUUGAAUUUUAGUUUGAUAUAAUGUUUUUAAAUUAUUUUUAAUGUGACUCAAAAUUUCGUGAUUAAAAGAGUUCAGACCCCACUGAAAUAUGCAAAAUUUUGUUGAAUUUCUUAGCAGUGCCCAGAAUAUAUGGUCUAUAAUGCUAAUAAAAAGAAUAUGGGCUUCAAAUAUCCUUAAGAAUUAGCAAAUGGGCUGUAAAUUAUUGAAAAUAACAGCUAAUGGGUUGUAUGUUGUUUUCCACAGAUUUGGAGGCUGACUUCUGGGCCUACUAGGUUGAUGAUGACGUUGUCCUAAAAACAAUUGACGUGUACGCAAGGCUUUGUCAACUUAGUCAACACAGAGCAGUGAUUGUUGGAUGUCCAUCCAAUGGCCGCCGUGCUUCUUCAAUCUCUGGUCUUCCUGCUCCAGCCACCCAAACCAGCUCCGGCGGGACUGCCUACUCCCUCCUCCCAUGGCUGGUUGUGCUGCCGCCAAGCCAUCCCUCUACCCACCCACACAUCCUGUUAUUUUCCGGCAACGUCAGCCUUACCCUGCAGCCGACCAGUUAGUGCUCGUACUCCCCUCACCAUGGGCAUCUGCUGCGGUGGCUUCGCCAGCUCAGGGUCGUUCCCUUCCUGGGCCUCGCCCUCGUCCACCGCGUUUGUGCUCUCGGCAUGGCGAGAUCAACAUGGUCAACAAACAACAACCAUCGGAAGAGGCUGGCAGUAGGGGCCCACACAAGGAAAUGCCUCCUUAUUACGCGCAAAAUAAUGAUUCCUCCACUUGACAGCUGGGACCCACCAGAAGGGCCUCUGUAUUCCACAAAAAAAAUGUUCCCCCCGCUGUCAGCUCGGACUCACCAGCUAUAUCUUCACACGCAAGGAAGUGCCUCCUUAUUACGCACAAAAAAAUGAAUACUCCCCCUGCUAGCUGGGACCCACCAUAGUGGGAGGCUGACUUGUGGGCCUACUAAGUUGAAAGGGACGAAGGGCUUUGUCAAAUUAGUCAAUAUGAACGAUUCUAGCUCUAGUGACCGUACGAUGUCCAUCCAAUGGACGUAGUGCUUCUUCAACCUCUGGUCUUCUUGCUCCAGCCGCCAAAGCAGCGUCAGUCGUGUCGCAUGCUCCUGCCUCCCAUGGUCGGCUGUGCCGCCGCGGAGGCCUCACCGCCACCUACUAUUCCCACCACUGGCCAGGCCCUGCGGCGACGGCAGCCUCACACUGCAGUCGAACCAGUGAACCCUCGUACUCCUCUCCGCGUGGGCAUCCACUAUCGCGUCUUCCCCGGCUCCGCGUCGUCCCCUUCCUAAGCCUCACCAUCGUCCACCGGCUUGGUGCUCUCGGUGCGGCCUGGUCAAUGUGGUCAAUGAACGACUUCCAUUUGGAAGAGUACUAUACGUGGAGAGGCUGACAGCUGGGUCCACGGCCGCAGGAAGGAAGUGCCUCCUUAUUACGUGGAAAAUAAUGAUUCCUCCACCUGACAGCAGGGACCCACCAGACAAGCCAUCAUAUUUCGUGACAAAAACGUUUCCUCCCUAACUGUUGGGACCCACCAGCUACAUCUUCGCACACAAGAAAGUGCGUCCAUAUUACGGGCAAAAAAAUGAUUCGCCCCCUAACUGCUGGGACCCACCAGCUACAUCUUCGCACACAAGGAAGUGCGUGACAGUCGGGACCCACCUAGUUGAAGCGUACGUAGCAUUGUCAUUCUGGUCAUGAACGUCUAUGUACAUGCUGGUCGACGUAGAGGCGUGCAUGUGUCGUAGUAGAGGCGCGCACGUGUCGUAGUAGAGGCGCGCACGUAGCAUGCACACGUACGUACAAUGGCCAGGGUGCAAGAAAGUAAAUAUGGCCACGUACGUACAUACGGGCGGGGUCUUGAAUGCCUACUCGUGCAUACGUACGGCCAGGGCUCAUGUACAUGGCUGGGUCCGAACGGAGAAACUGCGUCGUCGUCGUGUUCAUGGGGAGCCAACCGGCUGGGUUGGAACGGAAUGCGUCGUCAUGUUCAUCGGGAGCCAACUGGCUUGGACGGAACAGCCGAUGGAAACGAGGCCUGGCGUACCGCAGAACGGAGGAAACGGACUUGUGUUUGACCGGCCAUGGUCGAAACGGGAUCCUGUUCAUCAGGAGGGGUCUGGCAUACCGCAAAACGGAGGAAAUGGACCUCCUACAGUUGAAACGGGGUCCUGUUGAUUGGGAGGGUUGUGGCAUACCGCAAAACAUAGGAAACGGACUUGUGUUGGAGCGCUACGGUCGGAAAGGGUGUCGGUUUCAAAACCGGUAGAUCUCGGGUAGGGGGUCCCGAACUGUGCGUCUAAGGCUAAUGGUAACAGGAGGCAGGGGACACGAUGUUUACCUAGGUUUGGGCCCUCUCGAUGGAGGUAAUACCCUACUUCCUUCUUGAUUGAUCUUGAUGAUAUGAGUAUUACAAGAGUUGAUCUACCACGAGAUCGUAGAGGCUAAACCCUAGAAGCUAGCCUAUGAUUAUGAUUGUUGUUGUCCUAUGGACUAAACCCUCCGGUUUAUAUAGACGCCGGAGGGGGCUAGGGUUACACAGAGUUGGUUACAGAGAAGGAGAUCUAUCAUCCGAAUCGCCAAGCUUUCCUUCCACGCAAAGGAGAGUCCCAUCCGGACACGGGAUGAAGUCUUCAAUCUUGUAUCUUCAUAGUCCAACAGUCCGGCCAAAGUAUAUAGUCCGGCUGUCCGUAUACCCCCUUAUCCACGACUCCCUCAGUAGCCCUGGAACUAGGCUUCAAUGACGAUGAGUCCGGCGCACAGAUUGUCUUCGGCAUUGCAGGGCAGGUUCUCCUCCGAAUCCAGAGUACCUGUCGUAGCGAACAGUGUCCGGCCUCCAAUUAAUGUUGUACUCCUCGGCCUGUGUGCUUCAAUAAUGGCCAUCUCCACGUGUCGAGCGAAUACGAGGAGCCGGGGCAUUUUUACAUUUGCCACCCUAACCUUGUAAGUGAACCGUCUAUUUGAAGAGACGGGGAUCCUCAUAUCCAAAUCUCACCAUCUUAUCCCAAGCAAGCAUUCAACAGAGUGCGUCCGGAAAAAUCCAUUCCAUCAUGGCCGGUCGCUGCAGCUCUUCUUCUUGCUCCCGUAGCUCUGCGCCGGGUAACUGGAAAAAGUGACCCGUCCCCCAUAGCCGUUUAGUAGAGUUGCAGACCCAAGGGUUCCUUCCACCUGCAUAUAUGAUCCCCGUCCGAGCCGGACUAGCCACCUAUAACGGCGGGGAGCAAGCGGAGAACUUUCCAAACCCAUCUAGAGGGGAGAGGAUAUGCCUUGUCCCAUAUUUGCUGAGAGGGCUUGGGUUUCCAAUCCACCCAUUCCUCCGCGGGCUCCUGGAGUUCUACGGUCUCCAGCUGCAUAACUUCACUCAUGCCUUCAUAUUGCACAUCGCAGGGUAUGUUGCCUUCUGCGAGCUAUUCCUGGGCUACGAAGCUCAUUUCGAGUUAUGGAAGAGGUUGUUCUACCUCGUCCCUCGCAAUCAAGAGGGAUCUAUAUAUCAAGUGGGUGGAGCCGAAAUAUGGCGUGUCGCCCAGGCCGGAUACCUGUUCGGCACUCCAAAGAAGGCAUCUGAAGACUGGCCUUCGAAGUGGUUUUACGUAGAUGAUGUUCCCCUUCCGGACCCAGUCUGGUCGGGCCUUCCUGAUUUCACCAACGCCCCGCUGAAGAAACGCCAAAACUGGCGCCCGCGGAGCCCCCAGGAGGAAGACGACAGAGAGGUCCUCUAUCUGAUGGGCAGGAUAAAAAUACUGGCCAAAUCAGGAUUGACAAUAACAGAAGUCGUGUCAAUAUGCAUAAUGCGGGGGGUGCAGCCACUUCAAUAUCGGGGGAAACCCAUGUGGCACUUCAACGGAGAAGACGACGCCACCCGCUGCAGUCGUAAAGGUCUGGACUCCGCCGCCGCACUGGCAAAAAUAUUGUCUGAUUUGUACAAAGGGGAAGAAGAGGAGUUCCUCCGCAUUAAGCCACGGGAUGGAUUUUCCAUGUACAACCCCCCAAGCUGGGUAAGCUGUCAUUCUUCACUCGACUCUAUUCAUCCCUGUGUACUUUGUCACCAAUCAUUUAUCCUGCUAUUUUCGAAGCAGGAACUGAGAAGGGUCGUGGAGAAGUUCAACAGCCCACCUCCGCAGCCAGAGGAUCCUGGCCGGGCUCUCGACCCCGGACUUGAAGAAGAUCCGGAUAUAUCCAUGGAGCUUGUCAACGGGACAUUCUAUCAAGCAAGCCGCGACGGUGCCUUGGUGGCCAUCCUUGCCGAUUAUCCCAGGUUGCUCCUGGUGUCGAAUGUAAGUAAAGCCGGAGCCCUAACUUCCGAAUUAUGUCAUGCCUUAUGCGCACAUGUUGUAUUUUUACAGAAACGGCCACUAGGACGCCGUGUUGAGCCCGCGGGGGCUUAUCAGCAAAGGGCACCUGGGCCGGGCAGGCUUAAGAGGAAGGCGGUUAGGAUUUAGACGCUGGGGCAGAGGUACAAAUUAAACUUGCUCCAUGAUUAUUUGUGCCAAAAUGUGAGAGUUUUCAUUAUGUCCUGGUAGAAAAAGUAGCCGCCGGACUAUAUCCGAAGACCCUGCCGACCACGCCUCAAGCAGCCGGAUUCCUGAACCGGACUCACGGGUGGAGGCUGAUGCAGGGGCAACACCAAAAUGCCCUCCCACAGAGGAUGUGCAUAGGCUUUCUGCUACAAACUCCAAAGUGGAGAGCGCCAUGAAUCACCAGUGCACACGGGCGGUACUCCGCAAUGGUAUUUUUUCCGAAGAGGCGUUCAAUGCCUUCAAUUCCGGAGACGCAUAUAUCCGCGUUGCUCAAGAUGGACUUGCCAGAGCAACGGACCAGUAUGUGAAGGAUAUACGGGUAAGAAAAUUUGAUAAGUAUGUGUAGUAGUAGCCCCUGAGACUUGAAACAGUUGGCACAACUGAUUUAAGGAUCAUUGUAUGCAUAGGUUCUUGUAGAGAAGAAUACCCAUUUAUCUCAAGAGCUGGAGGAAUGUAAGACCCAACUGAAGGCCGUUGUUGCCGAACAAGAGGAAUCCAAAAAGGCUUCUGCUGGUAAUACUUGCCUUGAUAACGGAAUUUGUAAGGAUGUAUACCAGUUAUUUAUUCGGCAUGGUUUAUAAAUCUAACAGAAGAUUAUGUAGACAAUCCCGGAGAGAAUCCGAAGAUUGUGGAAGAUAAUGAGCCACAUCUGCGAAGUCAACGGAAGGCGGGCGAGCGCGUGCUGAUGCAGGCUAUUCAAGAGAAAAAUAAGCUCCAAGAUGCCAAUAUCCGACUGAGCGUCGAACUGGCAGAUGUUCGGGCUCAGCUUGCUGACUCCAUAAAGGAGACUAGGAGGCUUCGACGCGGCAUUUAUAGUAAGUGUUGUAAACGAGCUGUGGAACAGUUCGGCGAGGAAGCGAAUUAACAGAGUUGUGUUUGUAGGUAUGCUGACGGGCCGUCCUGGAGAGGAGAUGCCCGGAUCCGCAGGUGAUUUGCUACAAGAUCUUUUACAACUGCACGAGCGAGCUCGGCAGGUGAUGCAGGGUAUUGCCCAGGCCUUGUGGUCGUCUUCUUCCUUGCCAGAAGGCAUGAGCGAGCUUGUGGAGAUGCUCAGAGGACGGCGGCGCUUCCGAUUAUGAAAGAUAUCAGCUUACCGACAAGGUGCGAGGGAAGCUUGGGCCAUGGUGAAGACGCAAUACGCCAAGGCUGACCCGAACCAUAUGGCCGAAGUCGAACCGGUGGGGUCAGAUGGGCAAGAGAUACCCGUAAGUCUGGUCUAUGACCAAGUAGCGUUAGCCACAAAGUAUUCCCAACAGGAUUGUAGGCUAGACAGCCUGUUGGAUGGUAUAGAGGAAGAAUGACUAUGUAAUUAAAUGGACCUAUGUACUCCCUAGGCGGAUUGAAAAUCAUUUGUCAUGGCGGACAUUUUCGCUUCGGCCUCCAGACCCGACAGUUCGAAGUGUAUCCGAAUACCCGCACAGUUAUGAAAGAACCGGGGUAUGCAUGGAAACCAGGCGUAGGGGUUAUAAUUGCAUGAACAGACAAGUACCCAACUAGUUAUGUUAUAUUACAUGGAUAGUAAGAAACAUCUUCCAGAGAGAAUAGUUCCGUUAAGGGUUCCUUUCCCUGGGUGCGCAUGCAUCGAUGUGCAUGUCUGAACUGCGAACAGAAGCGCAGGAAACAAAACAUCUGGGGAUUCACGUUGUAAUAAACAAAAACAUCUUUUGUUCACCGACCGAAUAUUCCCUUAAGAACGCUAGCUUUCAACUUCACCCAGUCUGAGGUACACAUCCGGCUAAACCGGCAGUAACAAUUGAAGAGGUGCUCCCCUUAUGCCCUAGCCGAAUUAACGGGAACGGAGGGCAUAAACACAAGAGCCAGGCAACCCAGCAUGGCCAAAACUAUCGAUGCAUAUAAUGGUGAAGAAAAGGCACAUAUGGAAAGAAAACGCAUAUGUGGCUGGCAGGAAGCCAUUAAAGUAGUUAUAUUUAGCUUCCGUAUAGGAAGCCCCCAGGUAUAGUGUGCACGCAUAGUGCGGCCGGAGUGAUCAAAGCAUCCGUACAGUUUUUAAGGUUGUAUGUGAAAAGGAAAAGAGGGCGAGAAAGGAAGAAAGAGAACAUAAUUGAAGAAGUGGAGGUAAGGAGACGAACACUGAGUUCGGCACUAGGCGUAGAAUCUUCGGAGUCUGGCCGCGUUCCAUGGGUUUGGCUCGAGUCUGUUAUCAGAUGCAUUGCGCAUACGGUAUGCUCCUCCAGUGAGAACUUUAUCAAUGAUGAAGGGACCCUCCCACUUAGGUUUGAGCUUGUCCUUCUUCUUCUCCGGGAGGCGUAGAACUAGUUCGCCAACGUUAUAAGUUUUGGCCCGUACUUCUCUGCUUUGAUACCUUCGAGCCUAUUGCUGAUAGAAUGCGUAACGGGCUUUUGCGACGUCAUGCUCCUCCUCCAGAGCAUCUAAGUUGUCAUGUCGAUCUAGUUCGGCUUCCUUCUCUUUGUACAUGCGCACGCGAGGUGAGUCAUGGAUUAUGUCGCAGGGUAGAACUGCUUCUGCACCGUAUACCAUAAAAAAUGGUGUGUAUCCGGUUGUACGAUUCGGCAUGGUCCGUAGCCCCCAGAGUACGGAGUCUAGCUCCUCGACCCAAUGCGUAUCUGAUUCCUUCAAGGAUCGCACUAGUAUGGGUUUGAUGCCGCUCAUGAUGAGACCAUUUGCAUGUUCGACUUGAUCGUUUGUUUGGGGGUGAUAGACAGAGGCGUAAUCGAGCUUGAUGCCCAUGUUGCUGCACCAGGUUUUCACCUCAUCGGCUGUAAAAUUUGAGCCAUUGUCAGUGAUGAUGCUGUGGGGGACACCGUAGCGGUGUACAACCCCUGAUAUGAAGUCUAUCACUGGUCCGGAUUCGGCCGUUUUAACUGGUUUGGCUUCUAUCCAUUUGGUGAACUUGUCCACCAUGACCAAUAAGUAUUUUUUCUUGUGGCUUCCCCCUUUAAGAGGUCCGACCAUGUCCAGCCCCCAGACCACGAAGGGCCAAGUUAUGGGGAUUGUUUGGAGAGCGAUAGGGGGCAUAUGGCUCUGAUUGGCGAAGAGUUGGCAACCAACGCAAUGUUGGACAAGGUCCUGUGCAUCUGCCCGGGCUGUCGGCCAGUAAAAACCUGUACGGAAGGCCUUGCUUACAAGUGCCCGAGCUGCAGCGUGGUGCCCGCCGAGUCCGGAAUGGAUUUCAGCUAAGAGCUGCCGCCCUUCCUCUUCGAAGAUGCAUCUUUGGAGCACUCCGGUAGUGCUUUUCUUGCUGAGCUCUCCUUCAUGGACUUUGUAGGCCUUAGAACGUCGCACAAUAAAACGUGCCUCAUUUUGGUCCUCAGGGAGCUCUUGCCUAUUUAGGUAGGUUAAGAAGGGCUCGGUCCACGGGGCGAUGACAGCCAUGAUUUCGUGGGCCGAAGGUGUUAUUUCAAUGGCAGAGCCUCCGAUUACGUCAGAUGGUUCGGAAUCUGGGGUUGUAUUCGGAGCCGGACUAGUAUUGUCGGACUCCCCCUCCCAUACCACGGACAGCUUGAACAGUCUUUCCAAGAAGAUAUUAGGUGGGAUGGGGUCGCGUUUAGCGCUGAUGCGGGCGAGGACGUCCGCCGCUUGAUUAUUUUCUCUGACCACAUGGUGGAAUUUGAGCCCCUCGAACCGAGCUGACAUUUUGAGGACGGCAUUACGGUAAGCCGUCAUUUUUGGAUCCUUGGCAUCAAAGUCUCCAUUUAUCUGAGAUAUUGCGAGGUUCGAGUCCCCGUGCACUUCGAGGCAUUGGAUGCCCAUGGAGACUGCCAUCCGAAGACCAUGCAACAGAGCCUCGUAUUCGGCUGCAUUGUUGGAGUCUAUGUAUAAUAUUUGGAGUACGUAUUGGACCGUGUCUCCGGUGGGGGAUGUCAGGACAACACCCGCUCCCAAUCCGGCCAGCAUUUUAGAGUCUCGAAGUGCAUGAUCCAAUUGGAGUAUGCGUCGUACUCUUUAGGGAGUUCGGCUUCGGUCCAUUCGGCGACAAAGUCACCCAGAACUUGUGACUUAAUGGCAUGUCCUGGUUUGUAUGUUACGUCGAACGGAAGGAGCUCGAUAGCCCAUUUAGCAAUUCGGCCUGUUGUGUCGCGGUUGUUUAUUAUAUCAUCGAGUGGUACUUCGGAGGCCACCAUAAUUGAACACUCUUGAAAGUAGUGUCGUAACUUCUGGGAUGCCAUGAAGACCGCGUACGCUAUCUUUUGAUAGUGUGGGUACUGAGAUUUGCAUGGAGUGAGGAUAGUGGACACGUAAUAUACCGGCUUUUGGAGCGGGAACUUGUGUCCAUAUGCUUCUGGUUCGAUGACGAGCACUGCGCUUACAACUUGGUGUGUUGCAGCUAUGUAUAAUAGCAUGGGUUCGCCAGUAUUUGGCGCGGUCAGGACUGGAUUGGUGGCCAAGAGUGCCUUUAUUUCUUCCAGUCCGGCCGUGGCCGCAUCCUUCCACUCGAAGUGUUCGGUGUGUCGAAGAAGGCGAUAAAGAGGUAGUGCCUUUUCUCCUAAUCGGGAGAUAAAGCGGCUUAAGGCAGCCACACAUCCAAUUAAUUUCUGGAUCUGCUUGAGGUCUGUUGGGAUAGCCAACUGUGGCAGAGCUCAGAUUUUUGCCGGAUUUGCUUCAAUUCCUCUAUUGGAAAUGAUGAAGCCGAGCAAUUUCUCGGAGGGUACAUCGAAGACACAUUUCUCCAGGUUGAGCUUGAUGUCGUAUGUUCGGAGGUUGUCGAACGUGAGCCUCAAGUCAUCUAUUAAAGUUUCAACGUGUCUUGUUUUAAUGACCACGUCGUCUACAUAAGCCUCUACUGUUUUGCCGAUUUGUUUUUCCAGGCAUGUCUGAAUCAUGCGUUGAUAGGUUGCGCCGGCGUUUUUGAGCCUGAAAGGCAUGGUGUUGAAACAGAAGGGGCCGUAUGGCGUAAUGAAGGCCAUUGCGGCUUGGUCGGACUCCGCCAUCUUGAUUUGAUGGUAUCUGGAGUAUGCGUCGAGGAAACACAAUGAGUCGUGUCCUGCGGUGGCGUCGAUGAUUUGAUCAAUGCGGGGGAGGGGGAAGGGAUCCUUGGGGCAAGCCUUAUUGUGGUCCUUGAAAUCGACACAUAGGCGCCAGGAUUUGUCCUUCUUUGGUACCAUUACCAGGUUUGCUAGCCAAUCCGAAUGUUUUAUGUCCCUAAUGAAUCCGGCCUCGAGUAGCUUGGCUAGCUCUUCUCACAUGGCUUGCCGCUUAGGCUCUGAAAAGCGCCUUAGAGUCUGCUUGACUUGCUUGUAUCCUUUCAGUAUAUUGAGGUUGUGUUCGCCAGCUUGCGUGGGAUGCCCGGCAUGUCUGAAGGAUGCCAGGCGAAAAUAUCCCAAUUCUCACGUAGGAAAUCUCGCAGUGUGGCAUCUAUUGUGGGGUUCAGCUGUGUCCCGAUGGAAGCUAUCUUUGUAGGGUCCAUUGGGUGGACCUGGAAUUUGACUAUCUCAUCCGCGGGUUUGAAAGAGGUGGACUUGGGUCGCUUGUCCAGUAUCACGUCGUCUUUGUCCACUGUGGCGCACAGUGUUGUUAGUUCUUCGGCCGCGAGGGCUUCGGAUAAUGCUUCCAGGGCUAGUGCGGCAGUCUUAUUUUCGGCUCGGAGUUCUAUGUCCGGGUCACUAGCUAGAGUGAUGAUUCCAUUGGGUUUGGGCAUUUUGAGCUUCAUGUACCCGUAAUCGGGUAUAGCUUGAAAGCUCGUGAAUGCAUACCGCCCUAAGAGGGCGUGGUAUCCGUUGUUGAACGGGGCCACUUGGAAUGUGAUUUCUUCGGACCUGUAAUUCUCCGGUGUGAUGAAUACCACAUCCAGUGUGAUUUUUCUCGCGCACCGUGCCUCCCGACUAGGGAUGAUUCCCCUGAAGGUCGUGCUGCUUUGCUCAAUGCGGCUCUUGUCAAUUACCAUCUUGUUGAGGGUUUCUUCGUAGAUGAGGUUUAAUCCGCUUCCGCCGUCCAUGAGCACUUUAGUGAGCCGAAACCGUCCACAAUUGGACUAAGGACCAAGGCGGCCGGUGCCCGGACUGUUCGGAAUUGAGGUUCGUCACUGGCAUUGAAGGUUAUGGUCGUGCCGUUCCAUGGAUUUAUUGUUGCCAUGUGGCAAACUUCGGCAAGACUGCGUUGAGCUCUCUUGCGCCUAUUGUUUGAGGCGAAAGUCUCGAAGACUGUCAAUACCGUAUUGUUAUUUCUGGUGGGAUGUUGCUCUACUGUGUGGUUUAUGAGGAGAUUCUCGCCGCUCUUUGCUACCUGCCGGAGUAUCCAACAUGCUCUAAGGCUAUGUGUUGGCGUGGUAUCCGGUGUGCUGUGAAUUUUGCAUGGCCCAUUGAGCCAUUCCUCCAAUACGGUUCCAUGCCUUGCAUCGGGCUUUGGUUUUUUGGUAAUUGAAUCGGUAGCUUAUGAGAGUGUGCCCUUUUAGUUCGGACGAAGGGUUUAGUGAGAGCCGGAUUAUCCCAAAAGUUUGUUUGGGUUUUCCAAGUGCUUUCCAUUGCGCAAUAUUUUUGCACUAUGGCUGCUAAGUCAGCGAAGUGUACUAUGUCACGGCUACUUAUAGCGUUGAGGAUCCCUUUGUCCAUGCAAUUUUUGCAAAAGAGGGAGAUUGCAUCUUCCUCCCGACAGUCCUUGACCUUGUUUAUCACAAGGAGGAAUCUGGCCCAAUAAUGAUGUACUAUCUCUUGGGGCUCUUGUCUGAUAUGCGAAAGAUUGAAUAAGUCUGGGUGGGUGGGUGGUUUUGAAUCUGAAUCCUGACCCAAUCUGAGACCCAGGGGCAAAGAAGCUUCCGAGCUUAACAGCUCGGGCUCCGGGGUGUUGCCCAAUUUCUUUGGCCAGCCACCCGAUUCUGAAUUUGGGAUUUGGGUCAUGUCCUCCCGCGAUCGGGUGUCCAGCUCAGAGAGCUCGGAAAUCCGGACAUAGUUCGUCCUCAAAAUAGAGGGACAAUUUGUAUGAUGCUCUUCCACUACCGCUAUCUCAUGGGUGACCGGUGGAGAGUGAAUCUCCCUUUGGUUAGGUUUAAGCCCGAUCCGGUCAUAGUCUGUAGCGAUGCCCAGGGCGGCGAUGCGAUCCAAGAGCUCAUUAAGGGAGGAGAGCUCCAUUGGGUCCAUCUGUUCGGAGAGUUCCAAAUCGACAUGGAGGUUGUUUCUGAUGACCUGAGAAGUCAUCGUCGGCGCGAUAGCCGAUCGGGCGGUCGUGACGAAGCCGCCCAGCCGGAGAGUUUGGCCUAGGUCCAGGGCUCCUCUAGAGGUGAUGUUGUCCUUGACAACGAGACGAGCCAUUGAGCCUUAUCACGACGACACAGUGGAACUCUCAAUGAAAGCACCAAUGUCGGUGUCAAAACCGGCGGAUCUCGGGUAGGGGGUCCCGAACUGUGCGUCUAAGGCUAAUGGUAACAAGGGGCAGGGGACACAAUGUUUACCCAGGUUCGGGCCCUCUCGAUGGAGGUAAUACCCUACUUCCUGCUUGAUUGAUCUUGAUGAUAUGAGUAUUACAAGAGUUGAUCUACCACAAGAUCGUAGAGGUUAAACCCUAGAAGCUAGCCUAUGAUUAUGAUUGUUGUUGUCCUACGGACUAAACCCUCCAGUUUAUAUAGACACCAGAGGGGGCUAGGGUUACACAGAGUCGGUUACAGAGAAGGAGAUCUAUCAUCUGAAUCGCCAAGCUUGCCUUCCAUGCAAAGGAGAGUCCCAUCCGGACACGGGACAAAGUCUUCAAUCUUGUAUCUUCAUAGUCCAACAGUUCGGCCAAAGUAUAUAGUCCGGCUGUCCGGAUACCCCCUUAUCCAGGACUCCCUCAAUGGGGGUCCUGUUCAUCAGGAGGGGUGUGGCGUACCGCAAAGCGGUACUCCAUGGGAUAUUGUUCGUCUCCACCGUCGACCUCCUCUAGCCUCCAUGGGCUACUGUUCAUCCACCGUCGACCUCCUCUAGCCUCCACCUGCGACUGUUCAUCCACGGUCUCCUGUUCAUCCAGCCUCCACCGCUCCUCCACCGGCUACUGUUCAACCAUCCCUCUCCACGGGGUCAUGUUCAACCACCUCUCCACGGGCUACUGUUCAUCCAUCCCUCCACCGGCUACUGUUCAACCAGCCCUCCACGGGGUCGUCCUAUUCAUCUAGCCCUUCAUGGGGUCCUGUUCAUCCACCCCCAACCGGCUCGAUCGGGGUCCUGCUCAUCCAGAGGCAACACCACGGNNNNNNNNNNNNNNNNNNNNNNNNNNNNNNNNNNNNNNNNNNNNNNNNNNNNNNNNNNNNNNNNNNNNNNNNNNNNNNNNNNNNNNNNNNNNNNNNNNNNNNNNNNNNNNNNNNNNNNNNNNNNNNNNNNNNNNNNNNNNNNNNNNNNNNNNNNNNNNNNNNNNNNNNNNNNNNNNNNNNNNNNNNNNNNNNNNNNNNNNNNNNNNNNNNNNNNNNNNNNNNNNNNNNNNNNNNNNNNNNNNNNNNNNNNNNNNNNNNNNNNNNNNNNNNNNNNNNNNNNNNNNNNNNNNNNNNNNNNNNNNNNNNNNNNNNNNNNNNNNNNNNNNNNNNNNNNNNNNNNNNNNNACACACAACACUCACUAUUCAUCAAGGGAAGGAGGCAGCAGGGUUCGAUCGGCUUUAGUUAGCAGCGGUACCAAAGGAAUCACUCGGGUUCAGUUAACAGCAAGGGAUCAAUCGGUCGGGUUCAGUAAUGUAGCUAGUGCAAUCGCUUGGGUUCAGUUAGAACCCAAUGCCUCGCUCGGGUUCAGUUAGAGCCCAACGCCUCGCACACACGCGCAUACGUGUACGAGAGAAACACGCAUCGCUCGGCCCCCGACCACCCACCGUAACCGGGAACUCCCCGAUAUUUUCCUCGCCCUCGCUUCUACCAUGGUUUUUUUCCAUCAUGGACGGCCCAAAGAAUGUCAUGCAGCUACGUCUCUGGCCCGCCCAGGAUGAAAGCCCAUUUUCUGUCAUGAUUUUUUCCAUAGAAUUAGGAGCCCACCACAUCUAUGAUGAUACCGGGUUUUGUCACAAUUAUCGUCAUAGAAGUGUCAUAAGCAUGACAGGAAAAAAAAUCGCUCGGCCCAAAAUGUCACGGGUGUGUCUUUUUUUGUAGUGUAUACUCCAUGAUAGCCCUCCUCGGUAACUCAACACUAGAAAAUGUCUGGCCCACUUGGACUCUGGUUUAGACAGGUCCUCUUCUCUGAAACAUUUGAAAUUCAGCUUAACCUUAUCGUCAUCAGAGGAAGGCAAGCACAUGUCCACAUCUUCAUUAGGAUCAUCAGCUUCUUCUUGGACUGCUUUACCUUUGCCUUUCUCACAAUCAACAUUUUUGUCAAACAAGUCAUCAUCAUCUUGUAGAUCAAUGUCUGAAUCAACAAUUUGUGGAAUGAAAUCUUCAUCUGAAUCCUCCACUACUGAACAACCAAUUGUAUCUGCUGCAUCCAUGUUUAAAACCCUAUAGCUUUUUCUUCUGCCCCUGAACUCAAACUUAAAUGUAUGCAUGUACUCUCCUGGUUGAGGUGGUCCUGGCAUGUAAUCCUCUUCUUCUGAAUCUUCCUCACUUUCUGAUAGUGCAUCUUCAACUAGACCUGGCUCAGCCUCAUGAUCUGGAUCUUGCUCAGCCUACUCCUGUGCCACUACAACUUGCUCAACAUUGUCCUCUUGUUGUUCAUCUUGAUCUUGCUCAACCUGCUCCUGUGCCACUACAACUUGCUCAACAUGGUCCUCUUGCUCUUCAUCUUGAUCAUGCACUUGCUCUUUCUUUGGCCUACUUCCACUGAACUUGGCAAAUGGAGGAUCCUCAUCAUCAGAAUGAACAAGAAUAGGUGAAAUAUAUGAUCUCAUGCUCUCAUCAUGAUCAAGAAAUAUUUGCUGAAAAUGGUUCCCAUUCAGAGCACAAUCCUUCAUGUUCUCUGUCAUAGUGUUGUCCCCUAUCUUAAUCUCUCUUAAUCCAUUCUUAUACACUGCCAACCCAGGAACACACCAGUAAGCUCUGAUCCUGCCCUCAAACUCAUACCCAAUUUCCUCAACUAGACUAGCAACAACAGCAGGGGUCCAGUUAUCUAUGUCACAGUAGUCAUACCAAAUGGAGUGGCCUUCAUGGUAAUACCUAUGCUUGCUUGCACAAAGGAAAUAGCCACCAUGUAUGACCUCAACAAAGAAGUGGUUGCUUAGGGGUCCUGCAAAACAUUCAAAGUGGCAAUGUUCAAACAAGAUAUAGUCACCAAACUGAAAAUGUUCAGACAAUGUUUAGUCAAGCUGAAAAUGUUUAGUUAACUCCAAAAGUUUAGUUAUUGUAUCAAACCACUAGUAGCUCAAUUUACUGAGUAAGCAAGACCUAAUCAAGGGUACUAAGCAAGCAGUAAAGAAUGUAAUUGGACCAAAACAAGCAAUGUGGCAAUGCUCAGUGUCAAUGCUCAGUUAUUGUACUAUAUCAAGUUCACACAUUUCAAUAUUCAGACAGGUUCACACAUAAAAAUUAAAUUAUCUUACAGAGCAAAAUUCAUACAUGUGGCAGAAAAAAAGCACUGAUUCAUGGCCUCCACUACACAAAUAUAUGAUCUUUCAUGGGCAAAACGAUCAUCUCAUGGGCAAAACAUGAACAUGAUCAACAACUAGGCCAUAUAAAGCAAAGAGACAGGGGAGAAGCGAGCAUGGCCUUCCCCCUAACAUAUCCAAAAUCAAACCCUAAUUUUGCUCUGCAAACCAUAGAUCAUCUCCAAACACAACAUCCAUAGCCCAUACGAAACCCUAACUGUCAUUUGUGGCCCUGUUCAACGUCCACUGCUAAAACCCUAAACCUUACACCAUCCAUGGCAAAAGGGGAGAGAAAUAGCACAAACCCUAGAACCCAUGCGCAAUUGACUCGAAUGUGAACUCUUUCCCGGAGCUAGAAUGGACAGAUUGACUACACAACAUGUCGGCGACGGUGACGUACCAUAGAGGGGCGGUGAGGCAUGGUCCUGACGACGCGUCGGUACGAGAGGGGCGUCACGCAGGCCCCUCUCGAAUGGCACGGAUGGCAGUGGCUCAGCGUCCGACGACGAGCUCAUGGGGCCGUCGCCGCACUCGCACACGUCGGCGACCUCAAGGCAACCACCUCGGCAGUUGCUAUGUCUUGAGCUUGCAUUGGUUUUCCUUGAAGAGGAAAGGGUGAUGCAGUGAUAGUAGCGUAAGUAUUUCCCUCUAUUUUUUAGAACCAAGGUAUCAAUCUAGUAGGAGGCUCCUCAAAAGUCCCACGCACCUACACAAACAAACAGGAACCUCGCAACCAACGCAAUAAAGGGGUUCUCAAUCCCUUCACGGCCACUUGCGAAAGUGAGAUCUAAUAGAGAUAAUAUGAUAAGAUAUAUUUUUUGGUAUUUUUAUGAUAUAGAUUGGAAAGUAAAAGAUGCAAAUAAAAGAUAGAUGAAAACUUAUAUGAUAAAGGAUAGACCCGGGGGCCAUAGGUUUCACUAGUGGCUUCUCUCAAGAUAGCAUAAGUAUUACGGUGGGUGAACGAAUUACUAUCGAGCAAUUGAUAUAAAAGCGCAUAGUUAUGAGAUUAUCUAGGCAUGAUCAUGUAUAUAGGCAUCACGUCCGUGACAAGUAGAUCGACUCCUCCUGCAUCUACUACUAUUACUCCACACAUCGACCGACUCCUGCCUGCAUCUAGAGUAUUAAGUUCAUAAGAACAAAGUAACGCAUUAAGAAAGAUGACAUGAUGUAGAGGGAUAAACUCAUGCAAUAUGAUAUAAACCCCAUCUUUUUAUCCUCAAUGGCAACAAUACAAUGCAUGCCUUGCUGCCCCUACUGUCACUGGGAAAGGACACCGCAAGAUUGAACCCAAAGCUAAGCACUUCUCCCAUUGCAAGAAAGAUCAAUCUAGUGGGCCAAACCAAACUGAUAAUUCUAAGAGACUUGCAAAGAUAACUUAAUAACACAUAAAAGAAUUCAGAGGAGAUUCAAAUAUUUAUCAUAGAUAAACUUGAUCAUAAACCCACAAUUCAUCAGAUCUCGACAAACACACCGCAAAAAAAGAGUUACAUUGAAUAGAUCUCCAAGAAGAUCAAGGAGAACUUUGUAUUGAGAUUCAAAGAGAGAGAAGAAGUCAUCUAGCUAAUAACUAUGGACCCGAAGUCUGUGGUAAACUACUCACAACUCAUAGGAGAGGCCUUGGAGAUGAUGUAGAGGCCCUCUGUGGUCGAUUCCCCCUCCGGUGGAGCGCCAGCGAAGGCUCCAAGAUGGGAUCUCACGGAUACAGAAGGUUGCGGUGGUGGAAUUAGGUUUUCGUGGUCACUUCUGAUGGUUUCAGGGUACGGGAGUAUAUAUAGGAGGAAUAAGUAGGUCAGUGGACACUCGAGGGGCCCAUGAGGGUGGGGGCGCACCCACCCCCAGGGGGCGCCGGGCACCCUCGUGGCCGCCUCGGUUGGUUCUUGACGUCCACUCCAAGUCUCCAGGUUUGCAUUUGUUCCAAAAAGAUCGCUCCCGAAGGUUUCAUCCCGUUUGGACUCCGUUUGAUAUUCCUUUUCUUCGAAACACUGAAAUAGGCACAAAAAAACAGUAGUUUGGGCUGGGCCUCCGGUUAGUAGGUUAGUACCAAAAAUGAUAUAAAAGUGUAAAGUAAAGCCCAUAAACAUCCAAAACGGGUAAUAUAAUAGCAUGGAACAAUCAAAAAUUAUAGAUACCUUGGGGACGUAUCAAGCAUCCCCAAGCUUAAUUCUUGCUCGUCCUCGAGUAGGUAAAUGAUAAAAACGGAAUUUUUGAUGUGGAAUGCUACCUAGCAUAAUUCUUAGUGUAUUUUUCUUUAUUGUAGCAUGAAUGUUCAGAUCCAAAUGAUUCAAAAUAUAAGUUCAUAUUGACAUAAGAAAUAAUAAUACUUCAAGCAUACUAAUAAAGCAAUCAUGUCUUCUCAAAAUAGCAUGGCUAAAGAAAGUUAUCCCUACAAAAUCAUAUACUCUGGUUGUUGCUCUAUCUUCAUCACACAAAUUAUUUAAUCAUGCACAACCCCGAUGACAAGCCAAGCAAUUGUUUCAUACGUUAGUAAUCUCAAACUUUUUCAACUUUCACGCAAUACAUGAGCGUGAGCCAUGGACAUAGCACUAUAUGUGGAAUAGAAUGGUGGUUGUGGAGAAGAUAGUCUCACAUCAACUAGGCGUAUCAACGGGCUAUGGAGAUGCCCAUUAAUAGAUAUCAAUGUGAGUGAGUAGGGAUUGCCAUGCAAUGGAUGCAUUAGAGCUAUAAAUGUAUGAAAGCUCAAUAAAAGAAACUAAGUGGGUGUGCAUCCAACUUGCUUGCUCACGAAGACCUAGGGCAUUUUGAGGAAACCCGUCAUUGGAAUAUACAAGCCAAGUUCUAUAAUGAAAAAUUCCCACUAGUAUAUGAAAGUGACAACAUAGGAGCUCUCUAUCAUGAAGAUCACGGUGCUACUUUCAAGCACAAGUGUGGUAAAAAGGAUAGUAGCAUUGUCCCUUCUCUCUUUUUCUCUCUCUCUCUCUCUCUUUUUUUAUUUGGUCUCUCUUUUUUUGGCCUUUCUGUUCUUCUUUUUUCGUAAAGUUCGAAGUCUCAUCCCAACUUGUGGGGGAAUCAUAGUCUCCAUCAUUCUUUCCUCACUUGGGACAAUGCUCUAAUAAUGAAGAUCAUCACACUUUUAUUUACUUACAACUCAAGAUUACAACUUGAUACUUAGAACAAGAUAUGACUCUAUAUGAAUGCCUUUGGCGGUGUACCGGGAUAUGCAAUGAAUCAAGAGUGGCAUGUAUGGAAAUUAUGAAGGUGGCCUUGCCACAAUACGAUGUCAACUACAUGAUCAUGCAAGAGCAAUAUGACAAUGAUGAUCCGUGUCAUAAUAAACGGAACGGUGGAAAGUUGCAUGGCAAUAUAUCUCUGAAUGGCUAUGGAAAUGCCAUAAUAGGUAGGUAUGGUGGCUGUUUUGAGGAAGUUAUAUGGUGGGUGUAUUGUACCGGCGAAAGUUGCGCAGCACGAGAGAGGCUAGCAAUGGUGGAAGGAUGAGAGUGCGUAUAAUCCAUGGACUCAACAUUAGUCAUAAAGAACUCAUAUACUUAUUGCAAAAAUCUACAAGCCAUUGAAAACAAAGUAUUACGCGCAUGCUACUAGGGGGAUAGAUUGGUAGGAAAAGACCAUCGCUCGUCCCCGACCGCCACUCAUAAGGAAGACAAUCAAUAAAUAAAAUUAUGCUCCAACUUCAUCACAAAGCGGUUCACCAUACGUGCAUGCUACGGGAAUCACAAACUUCACAACAAGUAUUCUUUAAAUUCACAAUUACCCAACUAGCAGGACUCUAAUAUCACCAUCCUCAUAUCUCAAAACAAUUAUCAAGCAUCAAAUUGAUCAUAGCAUCCAAUUCACUUCCUAUGAUAGUUUUUAUUAUACCCAACUUGGAUGCCCAUCAUUCUAGGACCAAUUUUAUAACCAUAGCAAAUACCAUGAUGUUCUAAAAGACUCUCAAAAUAAUAUAAGUGAAUCAUGAGAGAUCAAAGAUUUCUUCAAAAUUAAGCCACCGCCGUGCUCUAAAAGAUACAAGUGAAGCACUAGAGCAAAACUAUCUAGCUCAAAAGAUAUAAGUGAAGCACAUAGAGUAUUCUAAUAAAUUCCAAAUCAAGUGGGUUUCUCCCAAAAGGUGUGUACAGCAAGGAUGAUUGUGGUAAUCUAAAAAGCAAAUACUAAUAUCAUACAAGACACUCUAAGCAAAACACAUAUCAUGUGGAGAAUAAAAAUAUAGCUCCAAGUAAAGUUACCGAUAAACGAAGACAAAAGAGGGGAUGCCUUCCGGGGCAUCCCCAAUCUUAGGCUUUUGGUUAUCCUUGAAUAUCUUGGAGUGCCAUGGGCAUCCCCAAUCUUAGGCUCUUUCCACUCCUUAUUCCAUAGUCCAUCAAAUCUUUACCCAAAACUUGAAAACUUCACAACACAAAACUCAACAGGAAAUCUCAUAAGCUCCGUUAGUGCAAGAAAGAAAAAACACCACAUAAGAUACUGUAAUGAACCCAGUCUUUAUUUAUAUUGGUGUUAAACCUACUGUAUUCCAACUUUUCUAUGGUUUAUACCCCCCGAUACUAGCCAUAGAUGCAUCAAAAUAAGCAAACAACACACGAAAAAUAGAAUCUGUCAAAAACAGAACAGUCUGUAGCAAUCUGUAACUCUAGAAUACUUCUGGAACUCUAAAAAUCCUACCAGAAUAGUAAGUCCUGGGAAAUUUGUCUAUUGAUUUGCAGCAAAAACAAUCAACGAAAAAGCAUGUUUCUGUGAAUUACUAAAAUUAUUUUUGUGCGUGCAAAAGUUUCUGUUUUUCAGCAGAAUCAAAUUAACUAUCACCGUAGGUUAUCCUAUAGGUUCUACUUGGCACAAACACUAAUUAAAACAUGAAAACACAUCUAAACAGAAGCUAGAUGAAAUAUUUAUUACUAAACAGAAGCAAUAAGCAAGAAACAAAAAAAAUUGGGUUGCCUCCCAACAAGCAGUAUCGUUUAACGCCCUUAGCUAGGCAUUGAUAAUUUCGAUGAUGCUCAUAUGAAAGAUAGCAAUCGAAACACGAAGAGAGCAUCAUGUAGCAUGUGAAAAACACAUCUAAGUCUAACAUACUUCCUAUGCAUAGGCAUCUUGUAAGCAAACAAAUUAUCAAGGCAAGCAAAAACUAGCAUUUGCAAGGAAGAACAAAGAGAUGGUAGCAAUCUCAACAUGAAGAGAGGUAAUUUGGUAACAUGAAAAUUUCUACAACCAUAUUUUCCUCUCUCAUAAUAAUUACAUGUAGGAUAAUAAGCAAAUUCAACAAAAUAGCUAUCACAUAAAAUAUUUUCAACACAAUCCACAUGCAUGCAAAGUUGACACUCUUCCAAAAUAGUAGGAUUAACAUUAACUAAAGUCAUGACCUCUCCAAGCCCACUUUUAUCAAAAACUUCAUAAGAUUGAUCAAAAUCCAAAUAUGUGGGAUCUAAAAUCGACACUCUUCCAAACUCACUUUCAAUAAUAUUGCAAACACUAUUAUCAAUCUCAUAUUCAUCAUGGGGGUUAAAUAAAUUUUCAAGAUCAAAAGAAGAAUCACACCAAUCAUGAUCAUUGCAACAGGUAGUAGACAUAGAAAAACUAGCAUCCCCAAGCUUAGGGUUUUGCAUAUUAUUAGCACAAUUGACAUCAAUAGAAUUUGUAGUAAAAUCAUUUCAAUCAUGCUUUUUAUUCAAGGAGCUAUCGUGAAUCUCUUCAUAAAUUUCUUCAUCACAAUUUUUAGAUUCACAAAUUUCAAGCAAAACAUCAUAAAGAUAAUCUAGUGCACUCAACUCACAAGCAAUUGGUUCUUCAUAAUUGGAUCUCUUGAAAAGAUUAGCAAGUGGAUGAGGAUCCAUGAACUUUUAGCAAGCGAAGAUGCAAGCAAAAAGAAGUCACAUGGAGACACAAGAUCGAACGGAAGAGGGCGAAGAAAACGGCCAGGGUGAAGUGGGGGAGAGGAAAACAAGAGGCAAAUGGCAAAUAACGUAAUGUGAGGGAGAUGAGUUUGUGAUGGGUACUUGGUAUGUCUUGACUUGAGCGAAGACCUCCCCGGCAACGGUGCCAGAAAUCCUUCUUGCUACGUCUUGAGCUUGCGUUGGUUUUCCUUGAAGAGGAAAGGGUGAUGCAGCAAUAGUAGCAUAAGUAUUUCCCUCUUUUUUUGAGAACCAAGGUAUCAAUCCAGUAGGAGGCUCCUCAAAAGUCCCACGCACCUACACAAACAAACAAGAACCUCGUAACCAACGCAAUAAAGGGGUUGUCAAUCCCUUCACGGCCACUUGCGAAAGUGAGAUCUAAUAGAGAUAAUAUGAUAAGAUAAAUAUUUUUGGUAUUUUUAUGAUAUAGAUUGGAAAGUAAAAGAUGCAAAUAAAAGAUAGAUGAAAACUUAUAUGAUUAAGGAUAGACCCGGGGGCCAUAGGUUUCACUAGUGGCUUCUCUCAAGAUAGCAUAAGUAUUACGGUGGGUGAACGAAUUACUAUCGAGCAAUUGAUACAAAAGCGCAUAGUUAUGAGAUUAUCUAGGCAUGAUCAUGUAUAUAGGCAUCACGUCCGUGACAAGUAGAUCGACUCCUCCUGCAUCUACUAUUAUUACUCCACACAUCGACCGACUCCUGCAUGCAUCUAGAGUAUUAAGUUCAUAAGAACAGAGUAACGCAUUAAGAAAGAUGACAUGAUGUAGAGGGAUAAACUCAUGCAAUAUGAUAUAAACCCCAUCUUUUUAUCCUCAAUGGCAACAAUACAAUGCGUGCCUUGCUGCCCCUGCUGUCACUAGGAAAGGACACCGCAAGAUUGAACCCAAAGCUAAGCACUUCUCCCAUUGCAAGAAAGAUCAAUCUAGUGGGCCAAACCAAACUGAUAAUUCUAAGAGACUUGCAAAGAUAACUUAAUAACACAUAAAAGAAUUCAGAGGAGAUUCAAAUAUUUAUCAUAGAUAAACUUGAUAAUAAACCCACAAUUCAUCAGAUCUCAACAAACACACCACAAAAAAGAGUUACAUCAAAUAGAUCUCCAAGAAGAUCGAGGAGAACUUUGUAUUGAGAUUCAAAGAGAGAGAAGAAGCCAUCUAGCUAAUAACUAUGGACCCGAAGGUCUGUGGUAAACUACUCACAACUCAUAGGAGAGGCCUUGGAGAUGAUGUAGAGGCCCUCCGUGGUCGAUUCCCCCUCCGACGGAGCGCCGGCGAAGGCUCCAAGAUGGGAUCUCACGGAUACAGAAGGUUGCAGCGGUGGAAUUAGGUUUUUGUGGUCACUUCUGAUGGUUUCAGGGUACGGGAGUAUAUAUAGGAGGAAUAAGUAGGUCAGUGGACGCUCGAGGGGCCCACGAGGGUGGGGCGCGCGCUCACCCCCAGGGGGGCGCCGGGCACCCUCGUGGCCGCAUCAGUUGUUGCUUGACGUCCACUCCAAGUCUCCAGGUUUGCAUUUGUUCCAAAAAGAUCGCUCCCGAAGGUUUCAUCCCGUUUGGACUCCGUUUGAUAUUCCUUUUCUUCGAAACACUGAAAUAGGCAAAAAAAACAGCAAUUUAGGCUGGGCCUCCGGUUAGUAGGUUAGUCCCAAAAAUGAUAUAAAAGUGUAAAGUAAAGCCCAUAAACAUCCAAAACGGGUAAUAUAAUAGCAUGGAACAAUCAAAAAUUAUAGAUACGUUGGAGACGUAUCAGCAGCGACGACAAACCAGGGGAGAAGCAUGGGAUAAGCGAGACACUGAGUGGCUCGGACGGACCAGGGGAUGUGCUCGGUCCGACCAGGUGGGGGAUCUUUUAAUAACUAGCAAAUUUGCAAAAAAACUGCGUGCAUGCGUAUUUGAUUGAGCUAGCACACGUGGCAGUCAAUGCACACUUGGCGGUGGUUGACUCGGGCCAGAUCAGCCAAUACGUAUAGCAAAGCGUACAAUGGACCGUAGAUGACCCCUAAGUGCAAGUUUGGUGACUGUAUUUCGGGUAUUUGUAACCGUAGGGACUAAAGUGGGCACCAGCGCAAGUAAUAGGGCUUGUAAUGAAUUUUUCUCUUCCAAAAAACACUAGUACAAAUGUAAUCACGAUCAUACACAAUGGAGCUUAUAAACAGAAUCCAAGAAAGCCUCUGCCACCUUUCUGAGCCGUGAAAGGGUGAUGUGAGGGAACAAAAUGGUCGUAUUUGGACAAUUUGUCGAUGACCACAAACAAACAUUUGUACCUGCCAGAUGUGGGCAACCCUUUUACAAAAUCUAUCAUGACCAUUUCCCAAGGAGUUUUAGGUAUUGGUAACGGCUGCAGCAAGCCGGGGUAAGGAAUCCUCUCUGGUUUGGCCUGCUGGCAGACAAGAAAGUGUUGGACAAACUGUUUGAUAAAACCUUUCAUACCAUCCCAACAAAAAAGUUGAUAAACAUGGCGAUAGGUGACAUGGAAAUCAGAGUGCCCUCCCAAGGGGCUGUCAUGGAAGGCACUCACUAUUUUCUUGUGCAAAGAUGGAUCAGCUCCAACCCAGAUGCAACUGUCAACUCGGAGUAAACUGGCCACAAUGCAGCCCAGGUAAUGUUGGCCACAAUGCAGCCCAAGGAAUCAUUGUAUAGCUGGCCACAAUGUUACCGAACCACACUGAUUGGGUAGAAGAAAUAGCAUGCAGCCCAGGUAAUGUUUCACUCACUGAAUGAGGCAUGUGAGACAAAGCCUCGGCGCCUCGAUUCUCGGAUCCUUUCUUAUAGCUGAUGGUAUACUAUAAACCCAAAAGCUUGGUUAGAGCCUUCUGCUGCCAACUAAUAUGCAAACGCUGAUCAGUCAAACUAGCCAAAGUAUGUUGAAUGAUGAAGUCUGAUAAAUGAAGAGAUUAACGACAAUGCUCCACUGCCAACAAGAUUGCCAAGUACUCAUUUUCAUAACAGAUAGUAUUUGAUUUCUUGGACCUAAAGCUUAACUCGGAUAUGCCAAAGGGUGACCUUGCAUCAGAACAUCACCAAUGCCCACAUCACAAGCGUCAGUCUCCGCUACAAAUUUCUUAGAGAAAUCUGGAAGAGCCAAACCAGGGAUGUAACCAUAGCAUGUUUGAGAGCAACAAAAGCUUAAUUUCCCACUUUUGUACAAUGAAACGGCACGCCCUUUUUAAGAAGGUUUGUAAUAGGCCUACAAAUGAUCCCGUAAUGUUGGAUGAACUUUCUAUAUAGAUAGCUAGGCAGGGAAGCAGUUUUAGGCGGGAAAGAGAGAUGAUGUUGGCGCCAAUCCACACGCGCCUCCUCCUUCUCUGGCUCCUUUCCUCCAGUAGAUCUGCUCCCUCCUCUACAGCAGAUCCUCUCAAGUAGCUCCUCAUCCUCCUCCUCUUCAGUACAGCAGGAACCAUCAACAGGCAACAGCAAGGAGCCAACUGCCAAGAUAUACCUCCCCCAUCCUCUACUCCUCUCCCUCCCCCUUCUCCCUCCUCUGCUCUGUUUCUUCCAUGUUCAGCUGUUCAUUGCUUGCUGCUUUUCAGUUGUUCAUUGCUUCCUGCUUUGCUGGUUGCUCACUACUUUGUGCUAGUUGCUUUGCUGGUUGCUCACUGCCUCUCUUAUAGGAGGUGUUUGUUUCACAGUUUUUGCGUCGGUACCUGAUUACAGCGCUAUCCAAAUCCGCUCCCCGUGUUUGGUUGAGUUAGGCUGUUAUUGAAUACUACGUAAUCGAAUUACAUUGCUAUUUCAAAUCCCAUUACGCCCACCUCUGGUCGUAAAGCGAUCCCAUCUCGAUCUGCUAUUCUCGCUCAAGUCCUCUUCUCGUUCCGCCAAAGAAGCCAGAAUCCAUCAGUCAAACCAUUGCCAGAUCUCUCUCUUCGUCCGCCACCGCCUUCCCGGAGCACCACCGCCCCGCCGGAGUGCCGCCAGUCGCUGCCACCGGCGUUGGAGCAGUGGCGCCGCCACCGCCCUGCCGGAUCGCUGCCGCCACCACCAGCAGCGCCACCUGAGCUUGGUGUCCAUGACCGGUGAUCUAUCCAUGGAGAAGGAGAAUCACGCGGCCAUAGCCCUCAUUUUCUUGUAUCUUCGAUCGUUGAGUUCUCUGUUACCGUUACCUGAACGAACCAAGCAAAACCAGAAAUACACCGAUUACAGCGACAACAUGGUGUAACCUAAUUACGUUACUGGUUACGUUAACGAUGACGCAACCAAACACCUCCAUAGUGGUUAGUGGAUGCCUGGAUGGUUAGAAUAAUGCAUGAUUACUGUUGGGGAAAAGAGAAAGUGCAAAGAGGAUGGAUUCUAUAUGGGCUCUACAACCAGCAGCAAGCGCAAGAUGUGUACUGUGUAUGCCUAGUUGCCUACCAAAUGUUGCUUCAUGCUGCUGCUUAGAACUCUCUAAGGUGUCUGCCUUGCCUUAUGACUUAUCACUUAGGCAGUGAGCCCUGGAACCUUCUAGAACCCAAGAAUUGCAUGAAAAUCAUUAUAUCAUAUGAUGACAAAGGCAUGUAGAAGGGGGUUGUGGGAAACGCAGGGGGCUCANNNNNNNNNNNNNNNNNNNNNNNNNNNNNNNNNNNNNNNNNNNNNNNNNNNNNNNNNNNNNNNNNNNNNNNNNNNNNNNNNNNNNNNNNNNNNNNNNNNNNNNNNNNNNNNNNNNNNNNNNNNNNNNNNNNNNNNNNNNNNNNNNNNNNNNNNNNNNNNNNNNNNNNNNNNNNNNNNNNNNNNNNNNNNNNNNNNNNNNNNNNNNNNNNNNNNNNNNNNNNNNNNNNNNNNNNNNNNNNNNNNNNNNNNNNNNNNNNNNNNNNNNNNNNNNNNACACACACACACAUGCGCGCGCAUGCGUGUGCAUGCAUCUAGGGCCUGAUGUGCUCUAACCUCUAAGGGAUACAACGAAGAGAAAAUGGGGUUUUUGAUGUGUGAUCUACAAGCAAGUUGGCUAACUUGAUGUUCCUCGUCACAAGCACAAAACUAUCAAAUGAAGUAGCAUAUGUUGUGGACAAGAGGACGAGUGUAUGGUUGAACCCAUGCGAAGGAGUAAAGACAGGGUUUGUUUUGGAGAUCGUUCGUCUUUGUGAAGCAUUGAAGAAUGCGUGUGCUUAGUCAGUACCUUGAACCAUUGGCCAUGAUCCUGGAUCAGCUGGUCGUGCCGAUGAAUGGAAACGUGUGUGUUAAACAGCAAAAUAGUCUUGAUGGAAGCCAUCAACGACAUGAACACCGACGCCAAGGUGAUGCUUGCAUCAACCAAGGCCUGCUGUGAAUGCAUAACACUUGUUGGUCACUGCGCGACACUCAUGGAGAGCAAUCUUUAAAUUAUUCAGAAACACAGUUGGUGCAUAGCGAGUAGUUCUCCUCAUUAUCCUAUGGAAUUCUUUUGUCGGAAGGCAACGAUUGGCCGAGCCUGUAGAAGGAUGUGUUUAUCCACUGGGGGGCCAUGGCCCCCCACAAAAAGAUUGCAAAAUGUUUUUUAAUAGUGCAUGCAUAUGCAUAUAUCCAUUAUAUUAAUUUUGGUGCAGCCUAAAUACUCCAAAACUUCAACCCUUCAUAAUGUUGCCUUCACAUAGGUCGAAAUCUAGGUCCACCACUGCGGUGAGGAGAGGUGAUUUUUCUAAGCGAGAAAACAUAUAGCAAUAUUGUACUUCCUCCAAUCCAAAAUAAGUGUCGCGGUUUUAGUUUAUAUUUGAACUACUACGACACUUAUUUUGGGUCAGAGGGAGUAUUAAGAACUUGCUCCAUUCCUAAAUUUCAUGUUGUAAAAUAAAAUUAUCGGGUAGGUAAUUUUGGACUCUAUUCCUUUUGGUUACCAUAGAUCAUGUUCUCUUUUGCCACUGCAUAUUUAAAAUAGACUUCUACAUGUUCACAAACAUGAAAAAAUUACCCUAGUUUUCAUACAUAUCACCCUAAAUAUAUUCCUCUUUUGGAUUAGGUGGGAGGGAGGAUUGGCUGGUCUAAAGAGCAAAAUGGAGUCUUCUGCAAAAUUGUCAUAGCUGAUCAGACGCACUGUAGAAGUGGGAUUUGUUAGUAUCAUGCUAUUUCUCAUGGUUUGGUUAUAAAUCAUCGUCCUGCGCAUUUACGAAAUAGAUGCAGAGUGCCUGGCCAUUGAAGGAACCAAAAAGAAAUCGUGAUUUUUUGUCUCUGGCACUAACUAAAAGUAGAUGCAGAGUACCCCGACCAUUGUGUCUGGCACUAACUAAAAGUAGAUGCAGAGUGCCCGACCAUUGAAGGAACCGGAAACAAAUCGUGGUUUUUUUGUCAGAUUUUAAACAUGGCAACUCAAACGUUUUUUAUGGCAACUUCAGUUGACACGAGGUGGCAAGUGGUUUUUUUGUCGGAUUUUGAGCAUGGCAACUUCAGUUGACACGAGGUGGCAAGUUUAAUUGGUAGACAUGUGUCAAAAUGACAUGCUUACCCAUGAUUGUGAAGGACGUGCACUGAUUUCCAGCGCCUGCCUUCUUGCUUCUCAAAGCAACACUUCAGUUAUCUUAUCCACCUGAACACCCAGUUCCUUUAGGGAUUCUAAAGUGUGUAAGGGCUUAAGGCUGCGCAAUCCUCCUAAGUCCAUAAAUUGAAACGAUUAAGCAAACGUACAGCUCUAGGCACGAGAGCUUCUUAUUGCUUGGUGGUAAGAUCGAGUUCCGAGUCACAGCUCAGAUAUGGAAACAACUGUAAACAAGAACAUCUGGAUCAUCCUAUCACAGUUAUCAAAGACUGAUUUUACUCCACAUGAUAGAUGUUUCGCCAUUACAAACCGCUCAGCAAUUCAACUAUUUAAAGGUAGCAGGCAUUCAAGACCAGGGCAUCACUCAAAAACAAAACCAGUAGCAUUUCUGUAAGAGGGGUAACUAAAUGGGACGACAUAAUGUUUUCCAGAUCAACCAAUCCCAGUACCAAGAAUCCAGCAGCAACAGGUGGGCGAACAAAGAUUCUAG